UUUUUUUUUGUCCCAAUAAUAGCAUGCUAAAUCACUUUACUAUUUUCUUGUAUGUGUAUAAUUUGAUGAGAAUACCUAUUAAGGACUUACCUAGUUUUUAAUCCUGAUCCUUGAACAUUGGUUUUAAUCAUGUUGGGUAGAAUUUCUUAGUUGCUUAAUUUUGGGACGGUAAUAAUUUUGAGAAUAUUAAUCAUGACCUUUAUUAAUGUUAUACCGGCCUGUGUUAAUACAAGAUCACUUGAUUUAAUCGGAACAUGGAGAACCACCCAGAAAAAUAGUGCAACCACAAGUACUAUCAUGGCUCUUAUCUUGGCUAAUUAAUUAGAGACUCUAGUCUGGGGUAAUCUUACCGAAAGGGCAAGAGGGGCGGCGGUUGAUGGGUACAACCCGCUUCUCAAACUGAUCUGCUCUAUGGAAGCUUCGCAGUCUUGAGAGGGGCUUAUGCUCUACCACCAAUCCGAAAAUCUUAGCGGGUUACCACUUACUAGGGGAUUUUUGUAAAGGCCUCAUAGCGUCCCUAUGCAAUCACACCUCAGAAGUGUGGUAUUGUGCUUGGCCAGCAUAACAUGGUUGAGUUUAAAGUUCUUUUGAACUAUUAUGCUACUUGUGGGUAAAGAUGUGCAACAUCUGCAAAGUGUAAAACUGAUAUAUCAACCGUACUCAUGGUUAAGAGCGGCUUGGACCCUCACAUGAUAAUUGAACUUAAAGAUGAGAAUAAAUCAUGGUUCCUUUAUCAUUGGGUUUUUUAAUGCUUUAUGCUUAAGUGGGUUGGUAUAAACUUACACCUAAAAAUUAGGUGCUUGCUAUGCAUUCGGUUUUGUCCAAAAAAUGGGGUGUGAUAGAAGUGGUAUCACAGCUGUGUUGACAGUAGGAUGCAAGCCUAGAUAGAAAUGGUCUAAAUAAGGACUCAUCUUCUUAGCAAGCCAUGUCUGCUCAAAAAUAUCUUAUUUUCCUCAUAAAAAUCUAUUUUAUUUUUGUUCUUUGUCACAAAAACUUGUCUCUUUUUGUCUUUGUUUUGAGUAUCUCUUGUUUCUUUGUCAGAUGGCUAGGACCAAGUUGACCACUCACAAAAGCAUUGGAGGGUACUUGGUUGGCCUUGCCCCUGCUCAGCCAGCUGCUCCGAUUCAGCAUGUGGAGGUGGUUGAAGAAGAUUUGGAGGAGGUCUACAAGCUGCCUCAGCUUCAGACAGACACGCAUUAGCUACCCCUGCAUCGGACGCUCCAGCACCAGCCGAUCUUGCUCCAGCACCUGCUGUCGAUGGUGGAGACCCGGACGACUCCGGGGAUGACAGCGAUAAUGAGGAUAAAGAAGAUAACGACGACGACUACAACAAAAACAACGACCACAGUAGCAACAAUGACCAUGAUAACAAUAGUGGUGACGGAGAUGGAAAUCAAAAUGGUGGACCACAGAAUGUGACACCAGCUUGUGACUACCACACUUCAGAGGAUGAGUCUGGAUACUUUCCCAAACUGCUCUGGGAAGUACUAUAGAGUUUGGGAAGCACUAUGAAGCCCCUCUACGUCACUCACCAUGUCUUCCACUCCACCAUGGACGACUACUAUGCCAGUCAAGUCCACAUCAGGGAACGGUUGGCAACUUCCAGAGUAUUGAGGAUUUGCUCGGCACACGACUCCACUACGGCCCACGCCACCUAUGCCUUAGCCAUCAGCGACACCGCCAGGAGAGCUCUGUCUGCCCUCUGCUUCACCCAUCUCCAGGAGUUGAGAAACACCAUCUACCAUCACCUGCCUCGCCGAGCUAGUGGCACUGAGGACACAACUGUAUAGUUGGGAGAAGCAGGAGAAGAUUGCAUCAACAUCCUUGCUCGAGUCAUCGCUGCUCUCAACACCAACCUCGACGGAGCUACUGCAGAGCUUGCCAAGAUCAAUGAUGAGCUGCAAGAUGCUCACGCUAGGAUUGCGUAGCUUGAGGCACAGCUUGCCAAAUAGGAGCCACCUGAGGAGGCAGCCGAGUUCCACUGCCCCACCGUUUCACCACCCCGCAAGAGGCUUCACUAUGGCGUGUCUGGCUCCAUCACCGGUCUUUUAGACUAGGUUGUCUUUUUAGGUUGCCUUCCAGAGUCUUUUUGUUAGAACCGUUACUGCGAGGACGUGCGAUGUAAUAAUGUUUGCUGGUUGAAAACAUGUUUGAUUUGGACCUUUGUAUUUUCUAGGAUAUUUUGUGGAGUGAUGGCCACAAAUGCAUCAUUACAUAAAAUAAAGUUAAUAGUUUAUUGGGUCUAAAUCUUGGUUCUUUGCCCCUAUAUCUGCCUUAUCAAAUCAUCAUUCUUAUCUGAGAUUUAUUCGUCUAACACUCAGAUGGUAAACACCAAGUCAGGAGGAGGACAAGACAUUCCAAGUCAGAGGCGUGCUCACAUAAUUAAUUAGCAGAAUCAAGCACCACCUCCACCACCAAGUUUGACAAUGGAACAAUUUUUGGCUACUCAGAUGCAACUACUAUAGAACCUCAUUGCUACUAUUUAGAAUCUACAAGCUUAGCAGAAUCAGCAACCACCACAAGCACCUCAGGCACCAAGAGAUAAGCACAGGGAAUUCAUGAGCCACCACCCUCCUCCUUACUCUCACUCAGUGGAUUCAUUGGACGCUGAUGACUAGCUGAAGGUCAUCAGUAAGAAGCUGGAUAUUACACAGUGCAACGAUCAUGAGAAGGUCUUGUAUGCUGCAGGACACUUAGAAGGAGAUGCAGCCGACUAGUGGGAUGCCUAUACUACUGCCCACGCCAAUGUUAAUGCUAUUACUUGGGAAGAGUUCACGAACAACUUUCGCACACACCACAUUCCAGCUAGUGUGAUGAAGCUCAAGUAGAAGGAGUUUCUAGCUUUAAAGCAAGGCAACAUGAUAGUCAGUGAGUAUCAGGACAAGUUCACACAAUUGUCUUGUUACACGCCAAAUGAGGUGGACACCAAUGAGAAGAGACAUGAAAGUUUCCUGGAUGGACUGAUAGGGCCACUUAACUAUCAACUGCAGAGUCACACGUUCCCUAAUUUUUAUACACUACUAGACAAAGCCAUUGGUUUGGAGAACAAACGUAAGGAGCUCGGGGAACAAAAGUGGAAGUUUCAGUCACAAGGUCAAUCUAGCAGCAACACCUGCCCUUGCUUCAACUCAUCACAGGGAUCACAAUUUCGUUCAGGAGGACAAGGUGAAAGCUAUCAACAGAAUCAGCAAUUCCAAAGUACCACUCAACAACCACAGCAAUUCAAUCAAUAGGCACAGCACACCUGAAACCCACAGCAAAACUGAGCAAACAAUACCACAGGAGCACCCAUGUGUAACAAUCCAGUUACCCCAGUUCGACCCAAUGGAUGCUUCAAGUGUGAUGAAGUGGGACAUUAUGCCAAUAACUGCACCAAGCACGAAAUGUAGACCCCUCAGAAGACCAAUGGUUAGAAGUCUGGUCAGCAAUAGUUGCAAGCGCGUAAUGCAAAUCCAAACUCUCAGGAAAACAUGGCUAGCAGAACUUCAUGCAUGGUAGGGCGAACCACGUGAGAAUUGAGAUAGCCCAGGAAGCUCCAGAUGUUGUUUUCGGUAUGUUCCUCAUCAAUUCUGAAUCUGCAUCAGUUUUAUUUAAUUCUGGAGCAUCACACUCAUUUAUAACCAAUCAAUUUGUGGCAAAGUAUAACAUACCUAUGCAACCUAUGAAGAAAACUUUGCUAGUUAGCUCACUAGGUGGUGAUAUAAGAACAAGUCAAAUAUGCUUACAAGUCAAUGUGAAAAUCAUGGGGGUAGAUUUCAUAGCCCACCUAGUGGUCCUAAACUCCAAAGGUAUUAAUGUGAUUCUUGGAAUGAACUGGUUAGGAGUAUGUGAUGGAAUUAUCCUAUAUGCCAAGAAGUCGGUGCUUUUUAACUAGCCCUCAGGGGACAUAAUUGAGUUUGUGGAUACUACCUCAUCUGAAGAAAAGGGUAUAGUCAAUCAAAUAAAAGGAAAAUCUUUGAAGGAUAUCAAGGUUGUAUGUGAAUACCCCAACGUCUUUCCCGAGGAUUUACCAAGUAUGCCGCUUGACUGAGAUAUUGAGUUCUCCAUUGAUCUUUUACCUGGCACUUCACCAAUAUCUAAGACCUUAAAGAAUAGAUGUUAAGGAUUUGGUUGAGUUAAAGAAACAAAUAGAAGAAUUAUUAAGUAAAGGUUUUAUCCGUCCUAGUUCUUCACCUUGGGGAGCACCUAUACUUUUUGUUGAUAAAAAGGAUGGCACCAGAAGAAUGUACAUGGAUUAUAGAGCUCUUAAUGAUGUGACCAUUAAGAAUAAAUAUCCACUCCCUAGGAUUGAAGAUCUAUUUGAUCAGAUGAGAGGUGCAAAAGUCUUUUUCAAAAUCGAUCUGCAAUCAAGCUAUCACCAGUUGAAGAUCCUAGCAGAAGAUAUACCUAAAAUGGCGUUUACAUCCAGAUACAGCCUAUAUGAGUACACUGUGAUGUCUUUUGGAUUGACCAACACUCUAGCAUAUUUCAUGUACUUGAUGAACAAGGUGUUUAUGGAGUACCUAGAUAAGUUUGUGGUAGUGUUCAUCAAUGAUAUAUUGGUAUUUUCUCGAAAUGAAGAAGAGCAUGAGGAGAACUUAAGAUUAGUGUUACAGAAGCUUCUAGAGAAUCAAUUAUAUGCCAAAUUGAGUAAGUGUGAGUUUUGGUUGAAAGAAGUUUUCUUCCUUGGACAUGUUAUCACCGAUGGAGGAAUCACAGUAGACUCAAGCAAAGUUCAAGAUGUGCUGAAUUGGAAUCCGCCCAAGAAUUUGUCUGAAAUCAGAAGUUUUCUUGGAUUAGCAGGUUAUUACCGCAUGUUUAUUGAAGGUUUCUUGAAGAUUGUCAAACCCCUCACUUCAUUGUUAGAAAAGGGAAAAGAGUUUAAAUGGGAUGACUAGUGUCAAGUGAGUUUUGAAGAGUUGAAGAAGAAGUUGACUACAACCCCUGUACUGAUAAUGUCUGAUAUACACAAAGGCUUCGAUGUUUAUUGUGAUGCUUCACGUCUAGGUCUUGGAUGUGUACUAAUGCAAGAAGGUAGAGUAGUAGGUUAUGCCUCAAGACAGUUGAGAAACCACGAGCAAAAUUAUCCAAGUCAUGACUUGGAACUAGCUGUCGUUGUGCAUGUAUUAAUGAUUUGGAGACAUUACAUGAUCAGGAACAAGUGUCAGAUCUUCACUGACUACAAAAGCCUAAAGUACAUAUUCACUCAGAGGGGUCUUAAUUUAAGGCAACACAGAUGGUUAGAGUUGAUCAAGGACUAUGACUUGGAUAUUCAGUAUCAUCCCGGCAAAGCAAAUGUCAUAGCAGACGUCCUAAGUUGAAAAGGUCAAGCUAAUGUGACUAUAGUACUAUUGAUAUCUCAAGAGUUAUGUUGGGAAAUGGAGCGACUCAACUUGGGAAUCGUUGCCCAUACUGAAUCUAUGACCAUGGAAAUUGAACCUACACUGGAACGAGAGAUAAGAAAAGGGCAAUUGACGGAUGCUAAAAUCAAGGUAAUCAAGAUCCAAAUUGAUUUAGGAAAGGCCCCAAACUUCACUAAAGAUUAUCAAGGAAUGGUUUGGUUCGGGAAAAGGAUCUAUGUACCAGAGAUUGACCAUCUUCGUGAAUGCAUAUUGAAGGAAGCACAUGAUUCAGCUUAUUCUAUUCACCCUGGUAGUACUAGAUGUAUCAGGAUUUGAAGGAAAAAUAUUGGUGGUAUGGUUUGAAAAGAGAAGUAGCAACCCACGUUGCUUUGUGUGAUGUAUGUCAGCGAGUGAAAGCAGAGCACCAAAGACCAGCAGGUUUACUUCAGCCAUUGAAAGUACCUGAGUGGAAAUGGGAAGAGAUCGGAAUGGAUUUUAUUGUUAGGUUACCCCACACUCGCGACGACUAUGAUUCCAUAUGGGUUGUUGUGAAAAGAUUGACUAAGGUUGCUCAUUUCAUUUCGGUUAAAAUAACCUAUAGUGGAGCCAAAUUUGCAGAGUUGUAUAUGUCAAGGAUUGUAUGUCUACAUGGUGUUCCUAUUGCGUUCCAAUCUCUUGCGAGGUUAAGAAACAACACAAUAGCUAGUAAAUGAAUUGCUCUCUAUUAAAUGAAGUGUCUGAAUCUCGUUACAUGUGGGGAGGACCCCCUUUUAUAUUGUCCGGAGGAUCCCUACAAUUUACAAUUUUACCCUCUCUCACCCACUACAUCCUCAGUAUAUUCUGUACACAUUUGUCAUCUCAUGAAGUCACGUUUUUUGUCCUCCCGACAAUCCCGUAAAUCACGCUCUCACAAGGUAUCGUAAUUGGCGUCGUCUUGUCGAUCACGUCGCCUUCCCCCUUAGCUUUGUGUCCAUGCCCUGAUUCGUCCGCCACUCCUCAAUGAUGCCCCUGCAGCAAGUUGGCUUCAGUCUCUCGUGUUAUACUGACUUUGGGCCCAUAAGUCCCCCAGCGAGGUUGAUGCUGCUACUACGGGCGCCGAAGACAACGGACGGGCAAUGAGUCAGAAAAACAAAGGUUAGCUCAUCUUACCUCCGCCUUCGAUUUUGGUUUGUCCCGAAGCUGAGUAAUCAUGGCCCCGAUCGAAGCUGAGCCCUUGGCGUGAAGCUGCGAAGUCCGAUGAGCCCUGGCGCAUAGAAAAUAAAGGUUAACCCACCUUGCCUUUGCUUCCGGUUUCGGUUUGUGCCGAAGCUGUAAAGUUCACCGAAUCUUGUCGCAUCUUUCGACAGAGAGACGACCUCGAGGGGGGCUGUUUUGGGCGAUUCCCCAACAGUUCCAAAGAAGAUAGUUUCUAAUCAAGGUACUCAAUUCAUGUCACGUUUCUAGCAGAAGCUACAUGAAUCAAUGGAUACAAAGCUUAAUUUCAGUUCUGUGUAUCAUUCACAAAUGGAUGGUCAGACUAAAAGAAUCAAUCAAAUCUUAGAAGAUAUGUUAAGAGCUUGUGCUUUAAAGAAUAGAGGUAGUUGGGAUAUAAGUUUACUAUACGUAGAAUUCACUUAUAACAACAGUUAUCAAGCCAGUCUUAAGAUGGCCCCGUUUGAAGUGUUAUACGGAAGAAAGUGCAGAACACCAUUGUACUGGAGUCAGAAUGGAGAAAGCCAAGUCUUUGGACCGGAAAUUCUUAAGGAAGCCGAAAGACAAGUUCAGAUAAUUUGAUAUAAUCUCAAGACUGCAUAGUCACGACAGAAGAGUUAUGCUGAUACUCGGAGGAGAGAAUUGACAUGUGAUGUUCGAGAUUACGUGUAUCUCAAGGUAUCACCUAUUAGUGGUCUUUGUCGAUUCAAGAUUAAAGGGAAGCUAUCACCUCGUUACAUUGGUCCUUUUCAAAUUUUGGAAAGAAAAGGAGAAGUGGCAUAUCAGUUAGACUUACCUGCUCAGCUAUUAGAUGUUCAUGAUAUGUUCCAUGUAUCUCAGUUGAAGAAGUGUCUAAGAGUACCGGAAGAACAAUUACCACUGGAAGAACUCAAUGUGAAGGAUGAUUUGACUUAUUCAGAGUACCCUGCCAAAAUACUAGAAAUAUCUCAGAGGGUCACUCAGAGCAAGGUAACGAGAAUGUGCAAAGUAUAGUGGAGUCAUCACUCAGAAGAUGAAGCUAUUUGGGAAAGAGAAGAUGACCUUAUCGAAGAAUUCCCUCGGUUGUUUUCCAAUCUCUCUGAAACUUGAGGACGAGAUUCUCUUUAAGGGGUAGGAUUUGUAACACUCAAAAAAUCCAUCAUAAACACAAUUUAAAAAACAUGUGGUCUAACUCUUUCUUUUCCAAUGACUAAAUAAAAUACUAUUAUGAAAUUAUGGCCUUUAAUAAAUUAAAGAACAAUUGAAAUAAUUGUUUAGAGACAAGUGCUUGUUAGGGUUCUUCGUUUGCUUCGGUUUUUUGUUUGCAUUUGCAAAAUUUUAAAUCAAAAAUAUUAUCAAUCUUCUUUAUCUCUUUUUGUCCAACUCAGCAGGUCGGCCCACCUUUCCUCUUUCUUUCCCUCCGGGCCCGCUCUCUCUUUCCUUCUCCAGCCGGCCCACCUCCUCAUUUCUUUGCGCCAACCCAAGCUGAUCCGCCGGCCCCUCAAGCACCUCCCCAGCCCAACUCCCCCUCUCCUCCCACCGACAGGCAUGGCCCGCCUGUCAGGCGCGUCCUCAACCUCCAGUUGUACCGCAACUCCAGUGCCUGCUUGCCUCCUGUCGCCACUCGAGCUCCUGUGCCCCUCUGCGUGCUUGCACCACAUCGCCUUCCCACGCGCACGCGCCGCUAGCGCCCUCUCUCCUAACUCCAGUAACCAGCACCCCAUUUUCCACCCACCAUUAAUGGCUACCGGAGCUCGUUUCCUCUCAGCGGGCGCCGUCUCAACUCCUCAUGGCCUAUAAGUAGCGCCUGCUCCCUCUCCCCGGCUCCCUUCGCCCAUUCUCGCCACCGCCACCGCCGCCCGCACUAGAGCGCCACCGCAUCUCACAGCACCGCCACUGCCCAAAUUCCUCCACCUCUGGGUCAAACACAGGCCUUUCUCGCCCGCCACCGCCGCUGGUAAGGCCUCCCUCGCUUUCCCCUCGCUCACAUAUGUCGCCUGCGCCACCCGCAUUGCUCACCGCCGUGCCUGAGCUUGUCGGCGAGCUGCCGGUCAUGUGCCUGUGCGCGUGCGGGAGAAAGGAAGGAGGAGGAGGAUAAGGCUAUUUUGCAAUCUAGUCGCUGAACUCUCUAAUAUUCUCUUUCUAGAUUCAUGUGUCUAGUAAAGCUUGCAAAGAACCCCCUGCAAUUCUUAUAACCUUCCUUUUUAACUCGAGCUCUACAUUCUUGUAGAUCUAACCCUAUACUUUUCUUAGCACUGUUCACUGAGUCUUGUGAAACUUCCUUGCUAGCCCCUGAAGUAUAUAGUUAAUUCCAUUUUAGCCCCUAAAACUUGUUUACUCCAUACCUUCGUUGUUUUAACUCCGAUUUCAGCGAUUCUCGCGAUCACGCGAGUAUCUCUGCAUGAUCGUUAGUUUUAGGAGUUUGUUUUAAUUCAUUUUUCUUGUUUAGUGUACGAUUUUAUUUAUUGUUUGUUUUGCUUUGUGUGAUCAUGUAAAUGACGUGCCGUUCGAGGAGACUUAGGAGCAGCAACUGUUCAAGGAAGAGUUCCCUUAGUUUGCCGAGGAAUGCAAGUGGUCAUCUCCCCCUGCAUAUUCUUUUUCGUCCCAAUAAUAGCAUGCUAAAUCACUUUACUAUUUUCCUGUAUAUGUAUAAUUUGACGGGAAUACAUAUUAAAGACUUACCUAGUUUUUAAUCCUGAUCUUUGAACACCGAUUUUAAUCUUGUUGGGUAAAAUUGCUUAAUUUUGGGAUGGUAAUAAUUUUGAGAAUAUUAAUCAUGACCUUUAUUUAUGCUAUACCUGUGCUAAUACAAGAUCACUCUCUCGAAACAUGGAGAACCACCCAGGAAAACAGUGUAACCACAAGAACUAUCAUGGCUCUGGUCUUGGCUAAUUAAUUAGAGACUCUAGUCUGGGGUAAUCUUACCAAAAGGGAAAGAGGGACGGCAGUUGAUGGGGUAUAACCCGCAUCUCAGACUGAUCUGCUCUAUGGAAGCCUCGCAGUCUUGAGAGGGGCUUAUGCUUUACUACCGAUCUGGAAACCUUAGCAAGUUACCACUUACUAGGGGAUCUUUGUAAAGGCCUCGUAGCGUCCCUAUGCAAUCACACCUCGGAAGUGUGCUAUUGUUCUUGGCUAGCAUAGCAUGGUUGGGUUUAAAGUUCUUUCGAAAUUUUACGUGACUUGUGGGGAAAUUAGGUGCUUGCUAAUUAAAAUUUGACCAACUAAAAUGCUAACCGCUUAAAGCCUAUGAGCCUCCCCUUGUUAGCCAUGCUUGUUUCCCCCACUUGCUGAGUACCAACCAUAAGUGUACUCACCCUUACUCAAACGCUAUUCAGAAGCUUCUGAUGUCGUGGAGUUCUUCAAUGACUUCGAGGAGUUCUAGGCGAGCGUUCACCAGUCAAACUUGUGGAGAAGCUACCACUGUGUGUGUAUUAAAUUUAUCGGUGAAUGAUUGUAGACCUUCAUGUCUACAUUUCGGAGUGUAAUAAAGUUAUCUACUAUUUUAUGUAUAUUUUGAACACUAUCUUUGAUGUUUCACUUAUGAAGUCCACCUAUCCACGUUGUGGCCUCCGCGGCGAUGCCAUCGGGCACACGCUCCAUAUGCAGGUCCCUGGAGCUUGCCGUGUUGCCGUCACCGAGGUACUUGCCGUCUUGCCGUCACCGAGGUACGCCACCACAUACGGCGAGCUCAGCCACUUCAGGAUCCUUAUCUCGCUCUCCAAGCACACCAUCGCCAUCGCCACCACCGACGAACUCUUUGUGUGGCACGAACGCACUGGGUGACGGAGCGCCUCCGAGGGAGUUGGUCACGACAGAGAGGAGGGAGAAGGGUGGUGGAGCCCACAGGGGCAAAAUCAUCUUUUCGUCUGACAUUUAACGAUUCUUGGAUGGAAAAUCCAUUACAGUAUCAAAUAAGGAACGAAAGUUGAACUCAGUGUUAAAUAGGGAACGAAAAUUUGUUGAGGGCUAAGAAAGGAACGAGUAGUUUUUUUAGUACCAAAUAGGGAAUUUUCUCUACUUGAAACUGGUGACUUGGUGAUUGAAGGGGGAGGGGAAGAGAGAGAGUGGGAGGGGGGCGGGUCAGGUGGGUAAGGGGAGAGGGAUUGUGGGGAUCUUCUUCACAAUCACUUUUUAUUAUAUCGUGGAUCUGGAUGACCAAUUUAAAACUUGAACUUAGGGGGUGUUUGGUUCCCACUUGCUUAUUUUUAGUCCCGUCACAUCGAAUGUUUAGAUAUUGAUUAGGAGUAUUAAAAAUAGACUAUUUACAAAACCCAUUGCAUAGAUGGAGGCUUAACGGCGAGACAAAUCUGUUAAGCCUAAUUAGUCCAUAAUUUGACAAUGUGCUGCUACAGUAACCAUUUGCUAAUGAUGGAUUAAUUAGGCUUAAUAGAUUCGUCUCGCUGUUUAGCCUCCAUCUAUACAAUUAGUUUUAUAAUUAACUCAUAUUUAGUCCACCUAAUUAGCCUCCGAAUAUUCGAUGUGACACGGACUAAACUUUAGCUUAAGGAACCAAACACCCCAGAACUCCGAAAUAGUUUAAGGACAUGCAAUGCAAUUCGCUCUAAAAAAAUAUAGCCUAUUUUUUAUCAUUAUUAAAUGGGUAGAAAUAGGUAUGCGUUUUCAAAAAGGAAAAAUGUCCUAUUAACCUCCCUUUACUAUGGGUCGAGUACGUGUUUCCUGUCGCGCUGCUUGGAUUCCCACCACACGCGCCACUUGGAUUAACUCGGCUUGCGAUCGCGCGAAGAGAGAGAAUAUGUUGCCAACCAUGAUGGGCGACAUGCAUGUUGGACAAAACCGGGAUGGAAUUGGGUCAGGGAGGUCAGUGUUCGAUAUUCCGUUUUAAUUAAUAAUACAAGAAGGUAGAACGGUCGAUUUUCGAGUCACGGAGAAAAAAUGCGGACUUGCUCCGUUGUUUAGGGAGGUGAAUAAGGAUUUUUUCCCCCUCCCUGCAGGUUGUGACUGGUUGGACCGCAACGACGCCACAAGAAUCCAUAUAGACCACAGCAGAUUGGCCGUGAUGGGAGUUCAUCUUCGUGUGAAAGGAAUAAAGAGGUUUGGAUACGAAGUGCUAAACUUUAACGGGGUUACAUCGGAUAUUCGGAUACUAAUUAGGAGGACUAAACAUGAGUUAAUUAAAAAAACUAAUUGUAGAAUCCUAUGCUAAUCCGCGAGACGAAUCUAUUAAGCUUAAUUAAUCCAUCAUUAGCAAAUGGUUACUGAAGCAUCACAUUGUCAAAUCAUGAACUAAUUAGGCUUAAUAAAUUCGUCUCAUGAAUUAAACUCCAUCUGUGCAAUUAAUUUUGUAAUUAGACUAUGUUUAAUACUUCUAAUUAGUGGCAUCACAUUGUCAAAUCAUGAACUAAUAAGGUUUAAUAAAUUCGUCUCGCGAACUAAACUCCAUCUGUGCAAUUCUGUCUCGUAGAAGAAUAUGAGUCAUUUCCAUGUGUGCCAUUAUGAAAGACGGUAAAUUCGCACAAGCCAUUAAAAAGAUAAACUCCCACAAGUGCCAUCGUGCUAAACUUUGUUUUCUCUCCAAGCCAUUCCUUCCACAUUUUGUUACUUUGUCACCGUUUGGGAGCCCUGACAAGUGGGACCGGGCAGAGGAAAAGACCCAAAUACCCUUGAGUACUCACUGUCUUCCUCUCACUGGCUCACUAUCUCUCCCUAUCUGGCUCGACUCCUCUUCCCCAAAACCCUAGCUACUGCAGCGUGGAGAGAAGAGCACCCAAGCCCCCUGUCCUUGCGGCUGCGGCACAAAGAGAAGAGCCCCCACCCCCCUCCCUUGCGGCUGCGGCGCGGAUUGAAGAGCCCCCAAUCCCCCGGAAGAGGAGGCCUGAAGACCGUGGAUCUGCCGGAUUGGCAACGCAAUGGCCGCGAACAAGGGGGCGUGCUCGGGCGACCGACCUCCUUGGCUUCCUGACGGGUGAGUAUCCCACUUCAAUUGCAUCAUGUCAGUUAGGUGUAGUAAUCGUGGUCGAUAUAGUGUGAUUUUAGUUAGACAGAUGGAUGUGAGCUCGUUGUUGUUCAUCUGUAGGAUGGACCCUGCUAGUAGCUACAACCUAGAAAUUCGGAUAACUGCUCGCCAUACUCGUUGUCGAUGGUUUAUCUUGGACAAAGUCGUCGAUGCUGAUCGUACCAACUUCGUAGAUCUGGUUGCUGAAGUUGAGAAUAAGUAUCCUUAUGCUUAUGGGGAUGUUGUGAGAUUGUUUUACUUCUGCAUUGAGACACAGAUGAACAUCCAAGUUUGCAAUGACCAUGAUUUGCUUGACAUGUUUGCAAAACAUAAAGCUUCCAAGUGUUGCUUCCUCACUUUAAGUUACCACAGCCCUAGUACUGAGCCUCUUGAAAUACCUCCUUGGGAUUUUAGUUGUUAUUCCAAGUCUGUUGAUACACCCUUCACCCCUUCAAUGCCUUGUCCUAGCAUUCCACAACCAAGCCAUACCCAGAGUGAAACUGAAGAUGAUGAAUACUUGGCUAACCCAAACCCAUCCAAUGAGCAUGUCGGUGUUGAUGAGGAAGGGCUGUAUAUAGACCUUGGUCCUCAACAACCACCACCUCCAAUACCUCAGAGUCAAGGUUGCAACAUAGAAAGGAAUGGAUCUGAUGCAGAAACAUACUGUGAAACAAACAGUGAUGAUGAAUCUGUGUCUGACGAUGAAAAUUAUGAAAUGGAGGAUGUAGAUGAUAUUGUUAAAGAUAAUGAGCCUGACCAUAUGCCUGAUGCUGACUAUGACAAGAAGGAUCCUCCUAUGAUAGUAGGCAGUGUGUAUAGAGACAUGUAUGCAUUUAAGAUGGCUUUAGCUUCACAUGCUGUGAAACAUGAGUUUCAUUAGGACAUUGAAAAGAGUGACACAGGAAGAUACAAAGUCACAUGCUGUGGGAGAACUAAGGGUUGCAGGUGGAGAAUUCAUGCCUCAAUCAUGAAGGAUGCUGAAACAAUUAAGGUAAACUGUUAGUGCUACAUCAAAAUGUGUAUGCUUUUUUUAUCUGUCAGUUGUGCUUAGGUAUAAGUAUGUCAUUUUUAUGUCAUUUGCAAGUGAAGAAGAAUCCAUUUCCCCAUACAUGUGAAAGCAUAAGGAGGUCUGGGGUAUGUAAAGGGGUCACACAGUUUUGGGUCUGUGAACAAGUUAUUGACUGGUUGAAAGAAGAUGCAUCAGUUGGUGCUUCUGAACUCCAAAGGAGGCUGAAGGAUGAGCACAAAAUUUUGAUACCAUAUAGGAGGGUGUGGCAUGGUAAGAAUCUUGCAUUGGAUAAAAUUUAUGGGCCAUAGAAUAAAAGUUUUGAUAACCUGUAUAGAUUGAAGGCCCAACUAGAAGCAUCAUGUCCUGGUUCACUUGUUGUCAUUGAUCACCACACCAUUAACAAGAAAAUUAGGUUUAACAUGUUUUUUUAGCCCUGAAACCAUGCGUUGAUGGUUUCCUUAGAGGUUGUAGGCCAUAUUUGGCAGUAGAUAGCACUUUCUUGUGUGGAAAGUUCAGAGGUCAGUUGUGCAUAGCUUGUGCAGGUGAUGCCCACAACUGGAUGUACCCAGUAGCAAUAGGUGUCAUUGAUUCUGAAACAAAUGAAAAUUGGGAUUGGUUUAUGAAGAGGUUGAAGGAAGCAAUAGGGACCCCACCUGGUUUGACAUUCUCCACAGACUGUGGGCAGGCAGUAAUGCAUGGUGUUAGUGAGGUCUUUCCAAAUGCUGAACAUAGAGAGUGCAUGUGGCAUUUAGCUCAAAGUUUUAAGAAAAGGUUCAGUGGUAAGAUUUUUUAUGAGCACUUGUGGCCAUCUUCCUACUCUUGGAGCAAGUACAUGUUUGAGAAACACUACCAGGCCAUGGCUGCUGCCAAACCUAAGGCUAUGAAGUACCUGCAAGAGAAUCACAACAAGUUAUGGACCAAAAGUCAGUUUGGUACAGUUUGCAAGGUGGAUUAUGUAACCAAUAAUUUGGCAGAGUGCUUCAAUAAAUGGAUAAAGGCAGAGAAGACCAAGCAUGUCGAUGAUUUGAUGGAUGCAAUAAGGCAGAAGCUGUUGAUUAAAUGGAAUACUAGAAAAAAGGUGGCUAAACAGUUUGUGGGAAAGAUUUUACCUCAUGUUAUGCAGCAGCUGAGGGAAGACACCUUCAAGCUAGACAUUGAGGUCAUCACAGAAAAUGAAGGAGUUGCUGAAGUUUGUGCUAAGGGAGGGAUUGGGUUCAGAUUUGUUGUGGACUUAAGGAACAGGACAUGUUCCUGCAGGGCUUGGCAAAGGUUAUUGAAGCGUGCCCACAUAAGUAGAGACUAAAUGUGAUCCAAUUAUCAGUCCUAGGAGGCUGAUAACACAUUUAUUCAACAGAUAGUUCAGAAACCGUACAGCUCCCGAAGGAGCGGGCAGGCAAGCCACACCCAAAGUAAAACUAAAGCGAUAACAAUACAAAUCCAAGUUGCAGUCCAGUCGGACUCCGGGCUGCAAUCAGAACUAAGCGUCAGCGGAAGCAUCCUGCAAAAGGGCCAACACCGCAGGCAGCGUUGGGGGCAGACGCAACCUCCUACUCGAGAUCCUCGGCGACGAAGUCCGGAUCCUCCUCUGAAGCAACAAAACAGGGGUGAGUACAAAAGUACUCCACAAGUCCAACCCCAUCCACGGAGGGGAUACAGCAAGAAUAUGCAUGGGUUUCAACAAGGAUAUGGUUAAGGUUGAUUUGCAAUAAAGCUAGAUUUUUGACACAUGCAGGGUUUUAUUUCAAAGAAUUUUCACAAUACAUUUUCUUUGGUAACCGAAACAUUAAGUGGGGUUGAUCCUACACAAAGGAUCCAACUUUUAUCGCUACCGGACUCCCCGUCCGCCGUAGCGCACGGCACAACUGCCGGACACUUCCAAAAUCCAACACACACCAUAAAAACCAACCAUCUCCAAAUGCUAGUUAUGUGACCAAGCCGUAACUCAUCCAAUGCCGUGGAAACGGCUACCCGGAUAGGUUUUAACUCUGCAGAGGUUGUACACUUUUCCCACAAGUAGGGUACCGCAUCAUGAUCACCUUAGUGACGGUGCGGAUCCUAACAAAGCCAUUACCCACCUUAGCCAACACUGACUAGUCAACACGGAAGCACCCAAGGGGUUAACGACCCAUCCACGGGGCUGAAACCGGGACCUAAGUCACCCAGAGCUUAGUCCUUUUCCAUAGGCUCCCGUCGCUUCCCAGCACACCUGAAGCCUAGCAGUUUAGCUAGUGGGGUUUAUGCUAAGCCGUUGCCCAUACAACGGUUGAGUGGUUGCAUGAUGGUUGAAUUAGGCAAGAUGACACAUCAACUCGGUCCUUAGUCAUGACAAGAUGGAUAUCUCCCAACUCUGCUCAACCACUAAGGUACGAGCUCAACAAUCCGGCAUUCCACACAAGAAACGCCCAUCCAUCUCAUCCACCACCUUUCUUUACACCCAAAAACCCAACUCCUCAGUUGAACACACUCACACAUUUAUUUUCCGAAUAAACAGAUGUAGUCAUGAUUGAAUUUAGGUAACGAGUUCCUAAGCAUUCUAGCAGUAUUUAUCAUCUAAACAGAGCAAUUCAUAUUUAGAGAUAAAUAUGGGACAACAAGGAAUAAUCAUAACAACCAAGGGGUGGCUAUCCAACCAUGUCUUGCAAUAAAACAAUAUGCAUUUUAUAAAACAGGCCAAUAGGUGGUGUCUGAAAAAAAACUGGGUAUUAAAUAUGCAUCAAAGGGUGAGAUUGGACUUGCCAUUCUCAAAGCCUUCCGGGAGCUCCUGCUCGCGGUACUGGUCUUCGAGCUCGGGCUCGCGGUCGAACUCCUCCUCGUGCUCCUCCUCGGGUACUCCGCGAUCUACGGCACACACAAACGAGCACACAAUAAAUAAAAAGGAAAAAGAUUUUACCCGUUGAGCUCCGAACAGGAAAUGUGAACGGAAAAUAGGUAGGAAGGGUAUUUUCAUGAAAUUUGGAUAUGCCUCGGCGGAAAUAUAUGAGAGGAAGCCGUGGUCGAAUUUGGGAUCGAUCGGAGAAAGUUUGGUGCAUGAAAUGACGGGUUAACGGAGUAUUAGGGGCUGUAAGAUGAGGUUUAGGACUAAACCACGAGAACCAGGGACCUAUUUAUAAUUUUUUUCUGGAAGGUGGAAGGGCGUAUUCGCGAAACUUCUUUGAGAGAGGUGGGAGGGCUGGUUUGUAAUUAGAGGAAAGGAGGGGGUUAGAUCGAAAUUGAAGGGGAUUCUCCCCUUCUUCUUCCUGGAGCACGGGUACAGGGAGGAAGGAGGCAACCCGACGGUGGGCCGGCCAGUCAAGCUCGCCGGCGGCGAGACCAAGCGGCGGGGGAGGUAGAGAAGACCGAGGGGACUCCAUUUUGACCCUCACCUUGGGGAUUCGGCGAUGGGAAGCGAGGGGGCCGGCGUGGGGAAAAAGGGCGGCGGGCAGAGCUCUGGCGGCGGCGCACAGGGUCGGUGGAGAAGGGGGGAGGCGAGCUAGGAGGCGAGGCGAGGUGGUGGCAGGGGCGGCCGGCCUCGGCCCCUUUUAUAGGCAACGGGAGGGGCGGGCGGAGGUCGGAAGUGAUGAUGGUGGCCAGACUUCCGGCCGGUGGCGUGCCGGAGUGGACAUCCUCGUGGAUGGCGUGGUGGCUCGGUCGACGAGGAGCACAGGGAGUCCACCGAGGUGAUGGCCGGCGUGACGUGCGGUGGGACGGCGGCGACCGGCGGCCGGCGACGCGGCGCGUGCGGCCAGGCGCUAGGUGCCAAAGGCCGGGCGUGCGGUGCGCAGGCGGGCUCGCGGGCGCGGCCGGGCGGACUGGUGCGGAGGAGCGAGCGCGCUCCGGCGCGGGAGUGGCCGGGCGCAGCGCGUGCGUGCAUGGAUAAGCAUGGACGCGUGCGAGAGAGGAGCUGAGCGCUAGGUAGCAGUGUGCUGUGGUGCGUGCGUUGUGCAGGUGGGACCGGGGGCGGCAGGAGGUGGCAUGCAGCAGCUAUGCGAACAGUAGAGGUGCAGGGGGCCAGCGCUGGGGGCCAGGCAUGGGCCCAGGGAAGUGCACGCGCACCAAGAAAAGCCAGGCACUAGGGGACAUGCACCGGAGCAUGCGACAUGUACUGGAGCAUGCAGCAGGGGGGAGAGAGAAAAAGGACCAGGCGCAUGUGUGCGGAGCCAGAAGCAGUGCAUGCGGCCAGCACCAAGUUCCAGGAGGAAGAGAAAAUAAAAAAAGAAACGGUGCAUGCAUGCAUGCAGUACGUAGGAAAAGAAAGCAAGGAGCUGUUGGUGCGAGGAAAAAAAAAGGAAGAAAAGAAAGUGAAGGAAAAUGAAAGAAAAUGAAAGAAGGAAAAGAAGGAAAAAGAAAUAGAUGGUGGCGAUUGCGGAAAUGGUCGCGGGCACGCGCGACGGUCUUCCAUCCGGCACACGGCGAAAUUUGCGGGGAACGGAAAAAGAGGGUUGACGACGUCAGGUGCCGGGACGGCGGGUCCGGCGGAAAGGAAAUGAUUUCUCGGGAGCUCGACGGUCGGGAAAAAAAAAUUUGAAAUGAGUUUUUAACGAGUGAUUUAAUUUGGUAAAUUCCACGGGCGUUACAAACCUACCCCACUUAAAUUGAAUCUCGUCCUCGAGAUUCGGCUGAACUCUUAAUAGAUGGGGAAACUCCUUCUUUAACGCAUCCUCGCGUUCCCAAGUAGCUUCUUCUUCACCAUGCCUACUCCAUUGGACCCUGCAAAUCCGCACUACUGAAUUUCUUGUUCUUCUGGUGACGGUGUCCAGAAUCUUGACGGGUACCUCCUGAUAUCGUAGAUCUUUUUGUAAAUCUAUGGCUUCCACCGAUACUUGCUCUUCUUGCACCCUCAGGCAUUUUCUUAGCUGGGACACAUGGAAUACUGGGUGUAUAUCUGACAUUUCCUCGGGUAGUUGAAUGCGGUAUGCUACAGCUCCAACUCUUUUUAACACCUGGUAUGGUCCAAUAUACCGGGGGGCUAAUUUUCCUUGCAUUUGGAACCUUCGGGUACCUCGAAUCGGAGAGACCUUAAGGUACACGAAAUCCCCUUCAUUGAAAAUCAACUCUCGUCUUCUUUUAUCUGAGUAACUUUUCUGCCUAGACUGUGCUGCUUUCAACUUCUCUCGUAUCUCAGCCACUCGUUCUUCUGCUUCUUUGAUAAAGGUGGGUCCCACUAGGGUGCGCUCUCCUACUUCCGACCACAUCAACGGGGUCCUGCACUUUCUUCCAUAGAGAGCCUUAAACGGUGACAUGCCUAAGCUGGCUUGGUAACUGUUGUUAUAUGAGAACUCUGCAUAGGGUAAACUCUGUUCCUAGUCCUUGCCAUAAGUAAGGACACAUGCCCUUAACAUGUCUUCCAUGAUCUGAUUUACUCUUUCUGUUUGGCCAUCGGUCUGGGGGUGAUAGGCUGAACUAAAAUCCAGUUUGGUGCCCAUAGCUUUAUGCAGACUUUUCCAGAAUCUCGAGGUAAAUUGGGUCCCUCUAUCCGAAACAAUUCUUCUAGGCACACCAUGCAGCUUCACUAUGUUGUCCACAUAGAGUCGAGCUAGCCUUUCUCCACCAUAGGUGGUCCGUACGGGUAAGUAGAGGGCAACUUUAGUGAGUCGGUCCACUAUCACCCAUAUGGAGUCAUUCCCUUUUUGAGUCUUGGGCAAACCCACUACAAAAUCCAUGCCAAUCUCGUCCCAUUUCCAAACUGGAAUGGGUAGUGGUUGCAGUAAACCGGCUGGCUUCUGAUGUUCGGCCUUAACCCGUUGGCAAAUAUUGCAAUGAGUGACGAACUGGGCUAUGUCCGCCUUCAUUCCAUUCCACCAGUAUUUCUGUUUUAGGUCCAUAUACAUCUUGGUGGAUCCCGGGUGGAUGGAAUAUGCUGAGUUAUGGGCCUCAUCCAUGAUGGUUUGCCGGAAAUCACCUUCCUUGGGCACACAAAUCCUAUCCUUGUACCACAAGGUCCCUUUUACAUCCACUCUGAAGUCUGGGGCUUUAUUCUCUCCGGUUUGCUUGCGAAUCCUCACCAAGUCCUGAUCCGAACCUUGGGCCUCUCGGAUUCUUUCCUCCAAUGUGGGCUGAACACUUAGCUUGCGGCUGGUGUUCUGAGGGAUAAUGUGUACAUUUAAUCGGGCCAUUUCCUCUUGCAAGUGGGUGUCCUUAGGUCCGAUCUGUCCAUAGGAUUUUCUGCUCAAGGCAUCCGCGACCACAUUAGCCUUACCGGGGUGGUAGUGAAUUUCCAGAUUAUAAUCCUUGACCAAUUCUAACCAUCUUCUUUGCCUUAAAUUCAGAUCUGGUUGGGUGAAGAUAUAUUUUAGGCUCUUGUGGUCUGUGUAGAUCUCACAUUUGUUCCCGAUUAGGUAGUGCCUCCAGAUCUUGAGGGCAUGCACUACGGCUGCAAAUUCCAAAUCAUGGGUGGGGUAAUUUUGUUCAUGGGGCUUAAGUUGGCGGGAAGCAUAUGCCACUACCUUCCCAUCCUGCAUCAGGACACACCCUAACCCUUGUCGGGAAGCAUCACAAUAAAUGACGAAGUCCCGCUGGAUAUCCGGUAGGGUUAAUACUGGGGCGGUCGUCAAUCUUCUCUUCAGUUCUUGAAAACUCCUCUCACAUGACUCUGUCCAAUUAAAUUUCUUGUCCUUCCUAAGUAGCUCUGUCAUGGGUCGGGCUAUCUUAGAGAAUCCUUCAAUAAACCUCCGAUAAUACCCAGCUAAACCAAGAAAACUCCUGAUUUCACCAACAUUGGUGGGUUGCUGCCAGUUGGAGACGGCUUCAACUUUCUCAGGAUCGACUGCUACUCCUUCUGCGGUCAAAAUAUGACCAAGAAAUGCCACUUUCUCGAGCCAAAAUUCACAUUUGCUGAAUUUAGCAUAGAGUCGGUGGGCUCUCAAUUUCUCCAACACUACUCGUAGAUGCUGCUCAUGCUCUUGGACACUCUUGGAGUAAAUAAGUAUGUCAUCGAUAAAGACCACAACAAACUUAUCUAACUCUUCCAUGAACACCUUGUUCAUGAGGUUCAUGAAAUAAGCAGGGGCAUUGGUCAGUCCAAAGGACAUCACUGUAAAUUCAAACUGGCCAUAGCGGGUGACAAAAGCUGUCUUCGGGAUAUCACUUUCCUUGAUCUUGAGCUGAUGGUACCCUGAUCUCAAAUCUAUUUUUGAGAAAUAUUUGGCUCCUUUCAACUAGUCAAAUAGGUCAUCUAUUCUGGGAAGGGGAUAUUUAUUCUUGAUGGUGACCUCAUUCAGUGCGCGAUAAUCCACGCACAUCCUCAUGCUUCCGUCUUUCUUCUUGACAAAGAGUACUGGAGCUCCCCACGGGGAUGAGCUAGGUCUGAUAAAGCCACUCUGUUGCAGUUCACCUAACUGUUUCUUCAGCUCUGCCAACUCAGAUGCUGCCAUUCUAUAGGGUCUCUUGGCUAUAGGAGAGGUUCCAGGGAUAAGGUUGAUUACGAACUCUAUGGGGGCAUUCCAGGUAGUUCUUCAGGAAAGACAUCAGGGUACUCACUCACUACCGUAACUCCUUCUAUGGCCUUGGCUUCCAUGCUAAAAACCAUUGGGUCAGGUCCACUUCCCCGAGUGUGACAGGUCACUUGUACACCGUCCUGAUUAACCAGGCGUACCACCUUAUCGGCACAUCCUAUGUGGCCAUCAUGUAGGCUUAACCAAUCCAUUCCAAGGAUCACAUCUAUCCCCUUAGACUCAAGUACUACCAAGUCUGCUAGGAAUUCUACCCCACUUAAAUUGAUCCUUACCCGGGAACAACCUAGUCGACACUGGAUGUCGGCUCCAGGCGUCCGGGUUAUUAGGGGUACCUUUAGUAGUAUUGUAGGUAUGUGGUGCUUAUCCUCAAAGCCUGAUGAUAUAAAUGAAUGUGAUGCUCCAGAAUCGAAGAGUAUUGUUGCCAAGACUGAGCUGACUAGAAACUCACCGAGUACCACGCCCUGAGCUUCUUGAGCCUCUUGCGCGCUGAUGUGGUUGACGCGGGCUCGUCCGAACGACUGCUGGGGUUGCCUCAUCUGGUGGCUGUUGUUGUUGUUGCUGGGGUUGUUGUUGCUACCGACGGGAACACGGUUGGCUCCUGAAACUGCUGCCCUUGGCCCAGUCACUGCGUUGGAGAAGGCUGAUGCAGCUGGCUUGUUGGCGUAGGGGCAGUUGGCAAUGAAAUGCCCUGGCUCACGGCAGUUGAAGCAUACCCUGCCGUUGUUGGUGACUUGACUGGCACUGUUCUGAGGGGCCUUGGCAGGGUUCUGGCUUCUGAACGAGGCAUUGGGCUGAUGGGAACCGGAGGCUUGAGACUGGGUCUGGUACUGCAUGGGAGCUUGGGAUCUGGGCAUGGGGUGACCAAAGCUUCUUGGUUUCUGGAACCUGUCCUGCUGGUGGGUCUUGCUGUUCAGGAAUCUGCGCUUGUUGUCCCUCCUUUCAUCUGCCUUGGCCCUCUCAGUCAAGAUGGCCAUGUUCAUCAGAGUAUUGAAAUCAGGGUAGAUCUGAGGAGUAAGCAGGGUCCUCAGUUCUGCGCUCAAACCCUUCUUGAACAUGUCUUGCUUCUUCUCAUCCUUGUCUACUUCUUCUGGAGCAUAGCGGGCCAAGUCCAUGAACUGAUAGGUGUACUCUUCCACGGACUUGUUGCCUUGGCGCAGUUCACGGAGCUCAUCCGCCUUGCGCUUCAUGGUAGCCGCAGGAAUGUGAUAGCGGCGGAACUCUGUCACAAACUCAUCCCAGGUGAUAGUGGAGGCAUCCUGGGCGGCAGUGCAGUAGUUCUCCCACCAAGCUAGAGCAGUCCCAGUGAGUUGAUGAGCAGCCAGGAGAACCUUGUCCCUGCCCUCACAGUCGAAUGGCUCUAGCUUCCUCUGGAUGACCCGCAGCCAGUCAUCUGCGUCCAGAGGAUUGAUGGACCCGCCAAAAGUAGGUGGCUUGGUCCGGAGGAAGUCUGUCAGUUUCUCAUUCAUGCCCUGUCCGCGGGGCCUUUGGCGAGUGAUGGCAUUGGCCAAAGCUUCCAGCAGAAGGGUCUGGUUGUUCAUGACUUGGACCAGAUCAAUGACUGGUGGGGGCGGUGGCUGCUGUGCUCCCACUUGACUUUCCCCCCUGCCCUCGGGCUGAUUCACUUCUUGCUCCUCAUGGUGCACCGCUGGUGGGGGUUCCUGUCUUUCCAGCUGUCUUUCUGCACUAGGGGUGGCACGUGCUUGACUCGGGGAGGUCCUGGUGGCACGCUUGGGAGGCAUCUGCAGAUUGAGUGAACUUUCAUGAGACUUGGAUUUGGAUAUUAAGGUGAUGUUUAGUUAAUUAAUUCGGAUUUUCGAAGAGACAGAAUCCACCUCCUGUCGACAAGCACACAGACUAACAAACAACAAGAACAAAUGAUUUUAUUAUUUUGCCGGGGCGGUUACAACACAUGGGGUAGGGCCAAAACACGCACUACACGACCGGUACAACAACACAACUGGGGGGGUACAAGUCUAGACUCAGGAUAGCUUCUGGUGUACAACUCUAGGUGGGGCACUCUAUUCGCGGGACGAAUCUGCACACUGCGCGGAGUAGUCUUCUGGCGGAAUAAGGAGGGCCAGCACCUCGUCCCUUAGGGUCCCACCUGCGGGAGGGGGUUUCGAGGCUUCUCCAUUGGCCACCUCAGAGUCCCUUUCCAAAGGCGGUGGUGCUGGUGGGGCAUCAGGGCUCUUCCGCUUCCCGGACCCCUGGGCAACAGGGACUCCAUCCAAUACUGGGGCCUCGUCGUCCUCCACGACCCGCAUUUUCCUUCUUGUGCGGUUCGAGUGGUGGACUUCCUUCAAUGCCCGCGCGUGCUGGUCCUCGGCCUCUUUGAGGGCCUCGAUGGCGAGGGCCUCAUUGCUUUGGGUGGCCGCGGCUCGUGCCUCAGCUGCUGCCAAUCUCACCUGGAGUCUCCUCACCAUAACCUCGGCGUCCUCGGCUCUGCGGAUCUGCUGCUUCAGAUGGGCGGCCUGCUCGUCGCAGAGUUCAUCCAAAGUGAGGAGAUAGGCAGCCAUAUGGAGCACGGUGGGGUCAUCCUCGCGCUGUCCACGUCCUUCCAAAGUCCUCACCCGGGCCAGCCAAACCGGGCGGUUCUUCUUGACAGGCGGGUAAAACCUCAUCGGUGUGCGACCGAUGUGCCUCUCAUAAAUUUGGCACAGGUAGCGCAGGGCUUUCCGAGCUGCCACCUGGUAAGUGUCUUUCCGCUGGAAACCAGUGGCAGACACAUUCCAAGGCUAGACGUCGGGGAAGCGGCUGCUCCUGCCCACGUAGAUGGUCAUCUCGCAUCGGAGGGUCCCACGGUCUUCAUACUCCCGGCUAGAGUACUCCGGACGCUCGUAAAUCCCGAGGCGGUCCAUGCAGGCGAACAACAACCUGGGAAAACCGGGCUCCUCCAGGCAAUGGCUGUUGAUCCAACCUUCUUCGGCCAUCUGGAAAGAAUCGGGGUGUAAAUCAGUUUUGUAAUUGAGCAGAGGAAGCAAGAAAUUUUGUAAAUCAUUUAAUUUGGUCAAAAGGGCUUUUCCGGUCCUAAUGGUUACGUCCUACGGCCAACGACGGCUCUGAUACCACCUGAAGCGUCCCCACAUAAGUAGAGACUAAAUGUGAUCCAAUUAUCAGUCCUAGGAGGCUGAUAACACAUUUAUUCAACAGAUAGUUCAGAAACCAUACAGCUCCCGAAGGAGCGGGCAGGCAAGCCACACCCAAAGUAAAACUAAAGCGAUAACAAUACAAAUUCAAGUUGCAGUCCAGUCGGACUCCGGGCUGCAAUCGGAACUAAGCGUCAGCGGAAGCAUCCUGCAAAAGGGCCAACACCGCAGGCAGCGUUGGGGGCAGAUGCAACCUCCUACUCGAGAUCCUCGGCGACGAAGUCCGGAUCCUCCUCUGAAGCAACAAAACAGGGGUGAGUACAAAAGUACUCCACAAGUCCAACCCCAUCCACGGAGGGGAUACAGCAAGAAUAUGCAUGGGUUUCAACAAGGAUAUGGUUAAGGUUGAUUUGCAAUAAAGCUAGAUUUUUGACACAUGCAGGGUUUUAUUUCAAAGAAUUUUCAUAAUACAUUUUCUUUGGUAACCGAAACAUUAAGUGGGGUUGAUCCUACACAAAGGAUCCAAAUUUUAUCGCUACCGGACUCCCCGUCCGCCGUAGCGCAUGGCACAACUGCCGGACACUUCCAAAAUCCAACACACACCAUAAAAACCAACCAUCUCCAAAUGCUAGUUAUGUGACCAAGCCGUCCAAUGCCGUGGACACGGCUACCCGGAUAGGUUUUAACUCUGCAGAGGUUGUACACUUUUCCCACAAGUAGGGUACCGCAUCACGAUCACCUUAGUGACGGUGCGGAUCCUAACAAAGCCAUUACCCACCUUAGCCAACACUGACUAGUCAACACGGAAGCACCCAAGGAGUUAACGACCCAUCCACGGGGCCGAAACCGGGACCUAAGUCACCCAGAGCUUAGUCCUUUUCCAUGGGCUCCCGUCGCUUCCCAGCACACCUGAAGCCUAGCAGUUUAGCUAGUGGGGUUUAUGCUAAGCCGUUGCCCAUACAACGGCCGAGUGGUUGCACGAUGGUUGAAUUAGGCAAGAUGACACAUCAACUCGGUCCUUAGUCAUGACAAGAUGGAUAUCUCCCAACUCUGCUCAACCACUAAGGUACGAGCUCAACAAUCCGGCAUUCCACACAAGAAACGCCCAUCCAUCUCAUCCACCACCUUUCUUUACACCCGAAAAACCCAACUCCUCAGUUGAACACACUCACACAUUUAUUUUCCGAAUAAAUAGAUGUAGUCAUGAUUGAAUUUAGGUAACGAGUUCCUAAGCAUUCUAGCAGUAUUUAUCAUCUAAACAGAGCAAUUCAUAUUUAGAGAUAAAUAUGGGACAACAAGGAAUAAUCAUAACAACCAAGGGGUGGCUAUCCAACCAUGUCUUGCAAUAAAACAAUAUGCAUUUUAUAAAACAGGCCAAUAGGUGGUGUCUGAAAAAAAAACUGGGUAUUAAAUAUGCAUCAAAGGGUGAGAUUGGACUUGCCGUUCUCAAAGCCUUCCGGGAGCUCCUGCUCGCGGUACUGGUCUUCGGGCUCGGGCUCGCGGUCGAACUCCUCCUCGUGCUCCUCCUCGGGUACUCCGCGAUCUACGGCACACACAAACGAGCACACAAUAAAUAAAAAGGAAAAAGAUUUUACCCGUUGAGCUCCGAACAGGAAAUGUGAACGGAAAAUAGGUAGGAAGGGUAUUUUCAUGAAAUUUGGAUAUGCCUCGGCGGAAAUAUAUGAGAGGAGGCCGUGGUCGAAUUUGGGAUCGAUCGGAGAAAGUUUGGCGCAUGAAAUGACGGGUUAACGGAGUAUUAGGGGCUGUAAGAUGAGGUUUAGGACUAAACCACGAGAACCAGGCACCUAUUUAUAAUUUUUUUCUGGAAGGUGGAAGGGCGUAUUCGCGAAACUUCUUUGAGAGAGGUGGGAGGGCUGGUUUGUAAUUAGAGGAAAGGAGGGGGUUAGAUCGAAAUUGAAGGGGAUUCUCCCCUUCUUCUUCCUGGAGCACGGGUACAGGGAGGUAGGAGGCAACCCGACGAUGGGCCGGCCAGUCAAGCUCGCCGGCGGCGAGACCAAGUGGCGGGGGAGGUAGAGGAGACCGAGGGGACUCCAUUUUGACCCUCACCUUGGGGAUUCGGCGAUGGGAAGUGAGGGGGCCGGCGUGGGGAAAAAGGGCGGCGGGCAGAGCUCUGGUGGCGGCGCACAGGGUCGGUGGAGAAGGGGGGAGGCGAGCUAGGAGGCGAGGCGAGGUGGUGGCAGGGGCGGCCAGCCUCGGCCCCUUUUAUAGGCGACGGGAGGGGCGGGCAGAGGUCGGAAGUGAUGGUGGUGGCCGGACUUCCGGCCGGUGGCGUGCCAGAGUGGAUGGCCGGUGAUGGCCGGCGUGACGUGCGGUGGGACGGCGGCGACCGGUGGCCGGCGACGCGGCGCGUGCGGCCAGGCGCUAGGUGCCAAAGGCCGGGCGUGCGGUGCGCAGGCGGGCUCGUGGGCGCGGCCGGGCGGACUGGUGCGGAGGAGCGAGCGCGCUCCGGCGCGGGAGUGGCCGGGCGCAGCGCGUGCGUGCAUGGAUAAGCAUGGACGCGUGCGAGAGAGGAGCUGAGCGCUAGGUAGCAGUGUGCUGGGGUGCGUGCGUUGUGCAGGUGGGACGGGGGCGGCAGGAGGUGGCGUGCAGCAGCUAUGCGAACAGUAGAGGUGCAGGGGGCCAGCGCUGGGGGCCAGGCACGGGCCCAGGGAAGUGCACGCGCGCCAAGAAAAGCCAGGCACUAGGGGACAUGCACCGGAGCAUGCGACAUGUACUGGAGCAUGCAGCAGGGGGGAGAGAGAAAAAGGACCAAGCGCAUGUGUGCGGAGCCAGAAGCAGUGCAUGCGGCCAGCACCAAGUUCCAGGAGGAAGAGAAAAUAAAAAAAGAAACGGUGCAUGCAUGCAUGCAUGCAGUACGUAGGAAAAGAAAGCAAGGAGCUGUUGGUGCGAGGAAAAAAAAAGGAAGAAAAGAAAGUGAAGGAAAAUGAAAGAAAAGGAAAGAAGGAAAAAGAAGGAAAAAGAAAUAGAUGGCGGCGAUUGCGGAAAUGGUCGCGGGCACGCGCGACGGUCUUCCAUCCGGCACACGGCGAAAUUUGCGGGGAACGGAAAAAGAGGGUUGACGACGUCGGGUGCCGGGACGGUGGGUCCGGCGGAAAGGAAAUGAUUUCUUGGGAGCUCGACGGUCGGGAAAAAAAUUUUGAAAUGAGUUUUUAACGAGUGAUUUAAUUUGGUAAAUUCCACGGGCGUUACAGUUAGGAAUACCAUGCAAGCAUGCAAUUGCUUACAUAACUUCUAUACCUGGUGAAAAGCUAGAAGACCAUGUGGAUGAAUGCUAUUCUGUGGCCAAAUUCAAAGCUGCAUAUGAAGGUUCCAUCCCAUCCAUUCCCAACAAGUCAAUGUGGCCUGAUGCGACACAUGGAUUCUUCAUGCAUCCUCUCUUGCUUAAGUCCACAACUGGUAGAAGAAAGAACAGGUACAAAGGGGCACUUGAAGGAGGUAGAAGGAAGAAAUCAAAGAGACAUGAGUGUCCAAUAUGCCAUGAGUUAGGGCACCACUUGUACACUUGCAAGAAUGGGAGUCCAGCAGACAUAGCUGCAAUAGAGGUUGACAGGUGCACUUCUCUCAGUUACAUUUAUUCAUAUAUGGUAUGAAUUGCAUUGUUGUAAUGUAACAUUUAUUUGCAUGCAGGGGUCUACCUAAGAAGAGGCAGAAAAAAGUAGCUAAAGCUAACACAGAGACAAGCAUUGUUGUGGCCUCAAGGAUGGUGUUCCCUCCCAAUGAAGCAGUGGAGAAUGCUGUACACAAGAAAAGAAAGAGAUGUCACGUGGAUGUUCCUUCUUCUUCAACCUCUGUCUCCAAAUCUACCAGGUUUGCAACUUCUACAUUUCUUUAUCUUUUUGGCAAUGCCUACAGUCCCUUAUUACUUCAUGUUUCAUCUACCACAAGAUCUGGAACUGGAUCCAACGAGCCUAUUCCGCUUCAAGUUGUGCACCUUGCCCAUUGGCAUGAAGAUGUGGCAGUUCAACCUCAGCCACAUGAAGCUUCUCUGCUACAAUUCGUACACCAAGGAGGAAAGUUGCAAUUAAGAAGAAGCUAACACCAAGAAAAGAAGGGUCGGCCACUGCAACUAACCCUUCCAGUUCAGCAGGAAAUACCAGAAGUAAGAAGCAACUCAUGAUGUAAUGGAGAUGUUGGGGAACAAUCUGAAUCUGAACCAUGUUGGUGAACAAUUUUAUAUUUCUGGACUCUCAUCAUCCAUCCAUCAUUGACUCAUUCAUUCAUUGAUUCAUUGGCAUACAAACACAGUGACACACACACACACACAUAGAACCCUACUUUUUCAUUAUUGCAUACAAGGCAAGGAAGAUGGAAACAAAGACCAGUUUCUCAAUCCAUUUCAGUUGCUGCAUAACCCUGUCUUGCACUACCCUUCCAUCCUGACCACCUUCCUGGAUGAGAAGCAUUGAAGUGGGAGCUGGUUCUGGCACUGCGUGAAGAGGAAUAGGAGACAAAGGUGUUGUACGAGCCACUGUCUACACACUACUAUCUCCCAUUUCAUCCUCCCACUGAUAGUACUGACAACCUCCAGCCUGAAAACCAAAGCAACAGUACAUUAUGGACAAAGUAGCCGAAACAAACAUUCUAGAGCCAAAUAAAGAGCAAGUUAACAACACAAACUGAAAAGUAAGGACAAUUGUGGAAGACACGGCGCAUGUUGCUACUGGUCAUCGAUGUGAACCUAUUGGCAAGCACACCGCAGUUGGGGCAAAGGACCCGCCUUACAAACGAGCCUGAAGCUUCAGACAUGCUAGCAAGAAAAGAGAGAGCACUGGGUGGGAGCUGAGUGAAGAGUGUGGAGAGAUCUCAGUGGGGGAGGGGUUUAUAGGAGCCACCGGGAGCAUUUUUAGCGCCAAAGCUCCACCAUGUUGGCGCCAAAAAGAACUGAGGGCACGCCAGUCUUUUUCCCCCUCUGUCAGGCUCUGUUAGCGCUACAUUUGGACGGAAUGGCUUGCAGAGAAAACAAAGUUUAACACGAUGGCACUCGUGGGAGGUCAUCUUUUUAAUGACUUGUGCGAAUUUACCAUUUUUUAUAAUGGCAGGAAAUGACUCGAAGAAUAUUGCAAUGCGUUCGGGAGAGAGAGGACGUUGUACGUCGUCGCAUCCAUUCGAGGAGGGGUAGGACUAUGUAUCAGACAUGGACCCCUCGUCUCUGCCCAUUUCUGUCCUGUUGUAUUGCCGAAAAGAUGGACGCAGCUGCAGCGGGAGUACACACAAAAACACAUACACCAUCAGCCCAUCGCAUAGGUUUGGCAAGAUGAUGUUCAAAAAUCAAGUGCAUUAAAUAUAUGUGCGCUAAGAUCAAGUUACACACAUGCAGACAAUAGCGAAUAUCAAAGAUAGUGUUAAAACAAAUAUAGAGAGUGUUAAACUAUUUAUUACACAACCGAUAGUCUUAAAUAAACAUAAUCUUAAUUAAACACGCAACGGAAACUGAAGACGACGACGACGACACCAAGAGCAGUCGACUGAAGAACGAACGCCUAGAACUCCUUAAAGUCAUCUAGGUACUCCACCAGAUUGUCUUGGUCUGAACAACGGGUAUUGCAAUGGUGAGUACACUUAUGGUUGGUACUCAACAAGUCAUGGGGAAUAGUGUAAGGCCAAUCAAAGGAGUGACUAAGGCUAACAACAUCAACAUUUAAUUAAGUUGAUCAAAUUUUAUUAGCAAUUACUAAAUAUAAGUUUAUACCACCCAAAAUUAAGCAUGAAUAAGAAUAAAGCAAUAACAUGAAUAAAAUAACAACAAUUUAAGUCCAUAUUUUGAUGAAGGUAUCAUGUGAGGGUUCAAGCCGCUCUUGACCGUGAGCACGGCUGAUCGAUCGGCUUUACACACUGUAGAGGUCGCACAUCUUUAUCCACAAGUCGCAUAAACGUUCAAAGAACUUUAGAUCCAACCAUGUGAUGCUAGCUAGGCAUCAUACCACACUUCCGACGUGUGAACGCGUAGGGAUGCUACGAGACCUUUACAAAUAUUCGCUAGUAAGUAGUAACCCGCUAAGGUUUUCAGAUUAGUAGUAAGCCAUCACACCCUAUCUACCGUCGUCCCUCUUACCUCUUAACGAGUAAUAUUAUCCCAGACUAGAGUUUCUAAUUAAUUUGCUGAGACCAAAGCUAACUAGUUCUUGUGGUUGUACUAUUUUCCUGGGUGGUCGCUCCAUGUUCCAAUUAAACAUGAUGUCCUUGUAUUAAAAGAAAGGUAUAGCGAAAAUAAAGCAAUAUUAAACAUUUAUGCCAAUUAAACCAGCAAUUCCCACGUAAAGCGACAAGCAUAAGCUAUCCGACAAGAAUAUAAACCCAGUUGAUCAAGGCAAAGGUAAAUGAAAACUAGUCAUCCUUAAUUGGGACCCAUCAAAUUAAUCAUAACAUGUGCAUAGCAUAAUUGUUGAGUACGAGAAAGUAAAGGUGUAUAGGACUGAAAGUAGUGAUCAAGGAUACGACUUUCCUUCCUGGCCUUGCUCGUGCUGCUCGUACUCCUCGUAGGCUUAAUCUUCAACUUCCUCGAACUGCAAACCUUCUAUACGUGUCACACGAGCACAUACAAGCAGACACAAGCAAUAAAUAAGAAAUAGUACACCAAAACAUAAUAAACAGAGAAAAUAUGUUUUUAAAAGAAAUCUACCCAUUACAAUGAUCGCGUGGACAUAAAGAACGCUAAAAACGGAGCUAGGAUGCAAAAGAUAUGCUAAAAAUAAAAUACAGGGGCAUAUCUGCGAGAAAACUAAACUUCUAGGAGUCUAACGUGCAAAAACAGGGGGUCUAACGUGCAAAAACUACGUUACGGACUGCGGGUGAGAUUUUGAGAAAAUAGAGGGGCCUGCGAGAAAAAUGUGAGGGCGAUUUUGUAAAUAUUUUUGACUUGACUAGGACCGUGGGUUGAUUUGUGAGAAAAUUAGGGGCCCUUUUGAAAAAAGGCUCGGGUGCGGGCGCACUAACCUAGGGCGACGAUCUCCAGCCGUUCAAUCAAAGAUGGACGGCCGAGAUUAGAUCCAACAGCGGCUAUCGAUGCGGCCGUCGGUCUGAGAUCGGAGGCCGGUGGCCGUCGGUGAGGGCGGACAGGGCAGCGUGCUGGUUUCUCGUGCUGACCGGCGGCGCAGCGCCGCAACGAGGAGGGGGAAGGCGGAGCUGGCCUGCGCGGGGGAGGUAGGAGCGGGCGACGUUGCGCGGGCGAAGAGCUGCGGCGGCGUGCUCACCUCCGGCGGAACUCCAGCGGCGAAAGACGGCGACGGCGGCGAGUUUGGCAGGCGGCGGCGCGGAAAGCUUGGAGAUGGCGGCGGUGCAACGCUCGGCUAGGGUUCGUGGCGACCCCGGACGGCGCGACAUAUUUAUAGGGCGGAGAGGAACGCGUGAAUAGAUAGAGGGGCACGGGUUUGAAUCGAGGCGGGGAUAAGAUUUCGCCCGGAAGAAACGAAGCGGAGGAGGCGGAAUCCGUUGCGGCGGCGGAGCGGAGUCCGACCGGACUCGGCCAGAGGAGGAAGACGAUGUGGGCCCCACCUGCCAGCGUCCGCGGGCGGGGAACGGGCCGUCGCGGCUAGCUGGGCCGAUGAACGCUUCGCGGGCCGGGGGAAAAGGUGGAGCGGGCCGGGUGCAGCAAGCUGAGGAGGCUGGGCCGAAAUUGAGGGAGAGAGAGUUUUCGGCCCGGAGAGAGGAAGAAAAGGGGAUGGGGUUUGAGAUUUUAGAAAGAGUUUAUAUUUUGAAAUUUAAAUUCAAAUGCACUCAAACAAUACAAAACUUUAUGCUCCGGCAUGAAUGCACAAAAACCUCCUACGGUUUGAUUAAUUUUGAAAAUACGCUUUUAAAAUGCCUACAAAUUCAAACCUGCCCUUAAUUUAAUUUAAAUUUUUAUUAAAUUUGAAACCUCAAUUUUAGGGUGUUACAGAUGAUUUUUUUUCCGUUGUGGAUAAUGGGUGCGCAUAAAGGACUUUGUUUUUAGACCAGUGCGCAUAAAGAAGUUAGAGACGAUGCCAGAAACAAAUUAAUAAGCACAGGACGAACAAAUUACAGCAAUACUCUUUCUCUUUCUAUAGCACAUGAGCAUUUUAUCGGUGCCUAUGUAGUUUUCAGUGUAUAUUUUUUAGGCAUGAGGGAGAAAAACAUAAGAGAAAGAGGAGAAAAAAAGAGGAGAAAUGACUGACCACACAUAGUUUCCAAGUGAACGCAGCGAUGCAGUGUACAGUUCAGAACCCAAACGAUUUUUGGUGUUGUUUUGAAGCACCUGACUAACAACUGCAUCCCGAACUACUGACUCUACACCUUCCUUCUGCCAAAAGAUCUAAAAAAAUUAAAGGAUUGCUAAUAAGGACCAGGACACGCUCAGAUUUGUGGAUAUCUAAAUAAGUUAACUUCCAGCUAGCAUGGAUAGUUAACUGCAUAGCACCACAUCCAUCCUUCCUCGCAUUGAGCCCCUUCUUCUCUCCUUCUCUCCUUACAGCAGACACAAGCGUAAUGGAGACGUACAGGUGCAGGAGGGCGAUCCCCAUCUCGACUUCAAUUUGGCCAUGUGGAAGUAGGACCACCACCAUGUGCAGGAGGGCGUCCCCCGUUAUGCAUCAAUGCUGCACCUAAUGACUGUGACCUGACAGCCCGACAAUUGGUUAUGGGAGCCAUGUGAUUUCGCAUCUCAAAGGCAUCGUUUAUCCUUCCUCUCCCUGCUGCUGCUCAUCCUCCCUUCACCGAACUACUUGUUGCAAUCAGAAGAAAGAUCAAUCGAAUUGAUCAAGAGACAGAUUGGAAGCUAGUCACCGUUGAUGGGUUCGUGAGUGAUGUUAUGAUCCGUCCCUCUAUCAUAACCGUUGGAACGCAGCUGGUGCAGAAGUUAAUUACCUGAAGCAAUUUGUAGAAACGAAUAGUACUGGUUCGUUCACUUAUUUCUUUGUUCAAACUUAAUUUCUGCUUAGAGUUUGUGCCUUGUGGUGAGACUAAAUUAGCUGCUUACUAGUCCACCAACUCGUGCUCCUGCACAUGCUAAUGUUAUUAAAAGAUAUUGUAUUUAAAAAUUAUUUAGAAAUUAAACUCCUAGCUAAUAAUCAAAAUUGUUUACCUACUACUCUCUUAUUUUUUCAAUACUUCAACAUAAUACUUAUAUAGAUAUGUACCUAUCUUUGUCUAGUUGUGAUUGAUUUUUAAUUAAUAAUUACUCUAUGCACUUUUUCAUCCAUAUUCAUACUUUUUUAAUUUUGUAUCGCAGCUACAAUUCUCUAGACAUUAUGUUUAUCAUACAAAUCAAUAUUUUUCAUCGAUUCCUCACAUACAUGUAUAAAUGGUCUAAAUGGUGGGACUCAUCAUGUGUAUAUACUUUAACUUAGUAUUUUUAUAUUAAUAAUGAGAUAAAUAGGUAAUUUAGAUUCAUAUAUUAAUUUACUUUUUGACGUAUGAUGCACAUGAAGAUAAUUAGAUUAAGAUUUAGGUGUUCGCUUUAGGUUAUUUUUAAUAGCGACGUGGGUAACAUAGAUAAAAUUUUAGAAUGAUAUUUUAAGUUAUACUUUAUAAUGAUAUGAAUUAGUAAAUUUUAUGAAUAUUAUUGGGUUACUUUAGAUUAUUUUUUAUAAUAGCUGAGCUCAGUAAUUUAAAUAUAGGUUUAGAGCUCAUUUUUUAAUAUUUUCACAAUGAUAGCGGUGGGUAACUUUUUAGAAAAUAUAAUAAAUCAAUGGCUAUGAUUAUUAGAGUCGACAGGAUUGGUGUUUGAUGUUUUUAUUUUUUAUGAGAAUUGUCUCUUUUUUCUAGUUUGUCUCAUGGGAACUAAUGCGGAGCCUCCAAUGGAAAAAAAUGAUACUAUAUUGCUACAAAAUUAUCACCAUAAGCUACCUCUCGUUUGUUAAAUAUUCGAACACAAUACUUAUAUAGAUAUAUACUUAAUAUCUUCAUCCAAUUGUGAUAGAUUUUAGUUAGUAAUUACUCUAUAAUAUUUUUAUCCACAUUUAUAAUAUUUAACUUUUCACUUUGCAUCGCAGAUAUGCGCUUGAAUUUGUUUAAUGAACCCUAAGUUUGAGACACAAUUUUAACAUAGAAAUCUAUAUUCACAUCACUUUAUAUCUUUAUAAAUGGUGACACACAUCAUGCGUAUAGAUCUUAAUUAUUAUAUCAUAUACCAACAGUGCAAGAUACAGAGGAUAUAGAAUCAUAUAUUGCUGUAUAUUUUUAAUUAAAGUUAUUUGAUUCAAACGUAGGGUUACGUCAUGUUAUUUUUAAUAAUAGCAUGUGUGAGUAAUAUAGAUGCAAAUUUAAGGAGUUACUUUAAAUUCUUUAAGUAAUAGUGGUGUACAAUUCAGUUGCAAAUUAGGGGGUUAUUUUAAAUAUUGUUUCUAAUGGUAUAAGUGGGUAAUUUUGAUAAAGAUUAGAGGGUAACUUAUAUAUAGAUUUAGGGGGUUACUUUAGGCUAUUUUCAUAAUGGCAUGGGUACUUUUUUAGAAAACAUAAUAGAUCUAAUGGCUAUGAUGAUUUGAAUCUAUCGAUUGAUGGUCGGAUGUUUUGUUUUUUUGUGAGAAUUCUAAAAUUUCUCUCUUUUUCUAGAGUGUCCACCUAGGAAUCCUAGGUGGCUUCACCUCGAGGCUUCAAAAGGAGCCUCCAAUUAAUAAUAGUAAGAUUAUGCUGGUUGCAUGCAGGAGAUCGAGCUGCGGGCGCACAGCCGUAUCGGAUGAGGACAUAUCAGCUGGGUUCCUGUUGGUUGUAUACUUGUGUUCCUGCCGGCGGAGAAGCAACCAUGGCCGAGUUAGUGAUCGGGCCACUGAUCUCCAUGGUGAAGGAGAAGGCAUCCAGCUACCUGCUGGACCAAUACAAGGUGAUGGAAGGAAUGGAGGAGCAGCGCAAGACCCUGGAGCGCAGGCUGCCAGCAAUCCUGCACAUCAUCCAGGAUGCAGAGGAGAAAGGAGCCUCCCGACCUGAAGUAGCAGUUUGGCUCAAAGACCUCAAGGCAGCGGCCUAUGAGGCCAACGAUGUCUUUGAUUAGUUUAAGUACGAGGCGCUUCGGCGAGAAGCCAAGAAGAAGGGCCACCACAGCAAGCUUGGACGCCGAAGCCAAGAAGAAGGGCCACCACAGCAAGCUUGGAGCGGAGGUAGCAAAACUCCUAGUCCCCGCUGGUAAUCCCAUUGUAUUCCGUUACAGGAUGGGCAAGAAGCUACGCAGGAUUGUGCAGACCAUCGAGGCUCUGGUCACCGAGAUGAAUACAUUUGGUUUCAGAAACAUGUAGCAAGCACAGCCAUCAAGGCAGUGGCGACAGACAGAUUCCGUAAUCAUUGACUUCGACAGAGAUAUUGUUAGCAGAUCUAGAGAUUGGGAAAAGAAGAAAAUCAUGGGGAUGCUCCUUGAUCAAGCUAGCAACAUGGAUCUCAUGGUUCUUCCAAUUGUUGGGAUGGGUGGGAUGGGCAAGACCACCUUUGUGCAACUCAUUUACAAUGAUCCUGCAAUCGAGAAGCACUUUGAGCUUCAGAGGUGGUGCUACGUGUCAGAUGAUUUCGAUGUUAGUACCAUUGCAAGCAACAUCUGCCAGGCAAACACUUCCAAUUGGCUAUUUUAGAAGUCUUCGUAAGUCAACCAUAUGCAAGAUACAUCAUCUCAUGCAUGACAUUGCUCUAUCUGUUCUGGGGAAAGAAUGUGUCACUAUAGUUGGUAAGCCGAGCGUCAAUAUAUGGUGUUAGUCCUGUUUUCUGGAAAGAACAGGUUACAAGUCUACUGGAUCAUCUAUUGAAGAAACAAACUGCAAUGCUCCAUACGUUGUUUUUUACAGAUUAUUUUGGUGUUCCCCUUGAUAUAUCAAAGUAUACUUCACUGCGAGCAUUACACCUUCCAGCACGUACAUAUUGUUUCGGACAGGAACAGCUUACAAGACACAUACAACACCUAAGGUAUCUUAAUCUGUCGUCACAUGAUUUCGAGAAACUUCCUGAAGGUAUAAGCAUUAUGUAUAAUCUACAAACGUGCAUGCCUCUAUACCAAUGGAUGCAAAUCAUUGACGUGCAUGCCUCCAGGACUUGGACAGAUCACUUCUCUGCAGACUUUAACAUAUUUUGUUAUUGGUGAUGGAUUGGGAAGUAGUACUAUCGGAGAACUUCAAAACUUAAACAUUGCUGGAGAGUUAGAGUUAAGUGGUCUGCAAAAUGUAACAGAAGUGCUUGCAAAAGCAGCCAGUCUUGAAAAUAAAGAGAAACUCACACACUUAUCUCUCGAGUGGAAUGAUGAUGCCUGUGAGAAACCAGAUUCUCAUAAUGGGGUGUUAGAUGCCCUUAAACCUCAUCAUCAGCUGGAGAUGCUAAGAAUAAAGUCCUACAAAGGCACCAAUUUACCGUCAUGGAUAACAGAUCUUAGUCUGUUGCAGCACUUGACUGGGCUCCAUCUGCUUGGUUGUACGCUGUGUGAGGAAUUCCCUCAAUUCUGCCGUUCCAAAGCCCUUGAAGUUCUGUAUUUGAAAAAGUUGGACAAAUUGCGAAGCCUAUGCAGCCAUAUGGUGUCUACGCCAUUUCCAGCACUGAAGCAACUCUGGUUACAUGAUUUGGAGAGCUUGGAGAGAUGGGGUCGCAACAGAAGGAAAAGAAGAUGAAUUAACCUUUCCUGUACUCGAGGAGGCACUACGGGAAACAGUAGAUUUGCCGAGUGCCACAGGCACUCGACGAAGGCCUAAAAACAUUCGCGAAGGCCUUUGCCGAGAGGCAAAAAACACUUGGUGACUUUGAACCCUCGGCGAAAACGAGGGUAAUGGCAGCCAUGGUAACGGCGAAGUUGCCGAGUGUCAAACGGCCGACACUCGGCAACCUCCAUAUAUGUUGUCGAGUGCCAAGGCUCGGACACUCGGCAACUAACUCUAAGUUCGCCAAGUGCCACACUCGGCGAAGAGGCGCCACCGGCCAGCAGCUUGCUUGUUUGCUGAGUGUUAUAGCAGAAACACUCGGUGAAUACGUGGACUUCGCCUAGUGUUGUAGCCAAAACACUCGGUGAAUACGUAGAUGUUGGCCAAGUUCUCGGCAAACCAUCUACACCCGGCAAAUAAAUGCUAGAAUCACAGGAAAUGGCCUCUUUGCCGAGUGUUAAUGCCAAAACACUCGGCGAAGCCCCUCUUUGCCGAGUGUUACACUCGACAAACUAACCAAAUCACCCCUAUUUUUAUUGUUUUGUGAUGUAUAAAAGACCCCUCUCAACAGAUAUCACAGGCAUAUAUCUUACAUCACAGACAUAAUUCACAACCUCCAAUACAGACAUUAUUCAUAAACGUCUUAGUCAUAAUCCAUUGUAAGCAUCAAACAAGCCAUAAGUCCAAGUUCAAGUCACAACUAAGUUUCUAAUAAUUAAGCCACAAAUGCAAAGCCUAAAACCAUGGAGGCCGUGGGGAGAACUGCGACAAAUCCGGGUCUUGACCUUGAGUAUUCGAAGCUGCCGAAUGAUUCUGCACGCAGGAUAAGACAUUUUGAGCUAACAUCUAAAGUUGUCUAAGUUAAACUAUUCAAUGUUAAGCAUAAUGUGUCAAGUGACUCACAGGAGUAGUUGUGGGUGGCUGAGGUGGAGGGAAUAGCAUCGGUGGCGGUGGCAAUGGUUGACCCAUACUUGAAGCAAAAUUCUGCAUGUAGUGGAACAUUUGUUCCUCAACCGAUUUUCUUUCUCCACCCUCCUAGUCUCGGCCUGUACCCUUUGCUGAACCAUCUGCUCCAUCGUCACCGUCAUCUCCUGUUGUUGCUUCUUUGUUGCUUCCAACUCGGCCUACAAUAUUUCAUCGCAAUGCUACAAUGCAAAGCUAAAGUACGUAACAACCAACUAACGAUGAAUGGAAUAGAAAGAACCUGGAGAGCCUCCAUCUGGUACUGUGCAGUGGUUGGUCAUGGCCGUAUCGCUGGGCUCGAGUCCAUGCUCCUUGCUCGGAUCUGGGAGAGAGUGAGAGUAGAGGUCGUGUCGAUUACGCUAUCGCCAAUCCAAUACCGGCCAUGCUUCUUGCCUCCUCCCACCAUCAUCACGACUUCUCCAUCAAUAUCCUCGGAGCUCGGGGGCCUCGCCGCUUUACCCUUCCCUCUAGCCUUCCCUCGAGGCCUCUGGACCUCUUCCUCCUCCUCCUCAAAGCCGUGGAGAAUAUGACAUCACUCUGGAAAGGCUCCUCGAGAUAUAGCACCAACAUUAUAUAAACUGGCAUGCAUGGAGAAAGCACAGAACUAUCAGGGAGGACAUGGUUGAUCAUAAUUGGACUAGAGGUCUAUAGAGAAUGCAAACUAUGGAGAAAAUGGCAGAAUUCAUAAUCCUUUGGGAUUUGGUGCAGGAUGUGGACCGCAUGUGGAUCUUACACUUCAAAAUCAGUAUAUGAGGCACAAUUCAGAGGAUCCUUUACCACCUUUGAACCAAGCGACAUUUGGAGGGCCUACACUGAAGCUAAGCAGUACAAGUUCUUUGCAUGGCUGUUAAUUUAGAGCAAGAUCAUGACAACUGACAAGAUGAUGGCCAUAAACUGGGACUCUCACAUGAUCUGCCCCUAUGUGAUCAGGAAAAUGAAACAGCUAUCCACCUUUGCCUGAACUGCUGUUAUGCCAAAGAAAUUUGGGUCCUAGUAAGCAAUUGGACGUAGGAGCUAUCUGCAUGCCUGCAACUGAUGAGGAUGAAAUGGAAGCGUGGUGGACUCGAUCCUUACAAGCUUUCAGCAAAAAGCAAAGAAGAUCAAUGGCUACAUACAUGAUCAUGACAACGUGGAGCAUAUGGAAGGAACACAAUCGUCGAGUUUUUGAAGGAAAAUCCCUAAGGGCAAUUCAAUUUUUUGAUUUGCUUCAAGAGGAGGUGAUGAUGCAUCAUGGUGUGGUACCCCAGAUUUGAGGUAGUGUAUCUUUAUUUUGGUUAUGAGUUAUCUUAGAGACCUACUUAAUUUAUGUAAUAUCGAUCUAUACGUAACUUUAAGCUUCUAUCUCGUUAAAUGAAGUAGCAGUGCUCAUGCUUUGUUUAAAAAAAAAUCUGAGUCCUUCAGUUUGCCACGUGAGCCGAUGAAGCAGAAACAGAUGAUGAUGAUGGAUGAUAUAGCCGCCGGGACCCACUGCAACCUCGUGCACCAAUCAUGACGAUCUCUAACGGCAAAGGCAUGCAUCCAGUAUGGCCUGAUGAAGUAAUUUAGGCUGCCGAAUUUGUUUCUGCUCGUUGCGCAUAGAAGGCGUCUUUUCGUUUCCUUUUUUUUUUCCCACUCGAGAAGGAAUUCAAUUCGGAUCAUCAAAACAACAGCCCAGUCCAGACUGAAGAAUUUGGUCACCAAAUUUGGAUGGAGGUAAAAAGUCACUAAUUACCUGCAGCACUGAAUAGUACUGGUUCGUUCAUUUACUGUUUCCUCAAACUUUCAGCUGAGAGUUCGUGCAUUGUGGUGAGACUAAAUUAGCUGCUUAAUCUGCUGCAGGACAUCUGUUGGUCGUGUUAAUUCCUGCUGGUGGUGGAGCAAACCAUGACCGACUUAGUGAUCUCGGGCCGUUCAUCUUCAUGGUGGAGAACGUGAUUGAAGGCAUGGAGGAGCAGCGCAAUGCAAGACUGAAACAAAUCAGAUUUUUAUUUCUAAGAAUCCGACUCCGUGUAACCUUGCGAUAGUUCCUGGAUCAGUAGCUGUCACGUACAAAAUUCAACCUAUAAGUGUAUAGGACUUUGAGUAAGAAGGCACGAAGCACUUAGAAAUUACAUUAAUAGCCUGCAGCCUACAAUUAGCUGCAUGGAAAAAACUAUGAUUAGAUAUAAAUAAAACCAUCAGAGGAAGUAGGGUAAUAAUUUAGACAUGUCAAGUUUAGUAUUAACAGUCGCGCAUAAACAAUUAUAGAGUGCGAAAAUUUAAUAGGAAGGAUAUAGUAGAGAUUCCCUUAUAUUACAAUGUUAAUCUCCAGGACGGGGUACCGGUGGAGGCGAGGAGGGGAACCGGUGGAGGGAGGCGAGGGUUUUAGGUGAGGUUGAUGAGGUGGCGUCGCUCCCUUUCUGUUGUGCGAUGCUCCCUUUCUCCGAUUCCUCCAAUCUGUUGUGCGAGAUUGAAGGACCGAAAGAGCGACCAAAGGGGGGUGAAUGGGAGCCUAUAAAAAUUCUCAACGAGAACAAGGCCUAUGUCCCAAACGCAACCCCAAAGCACACCGUGUGUUUAAUCGUCAAGAUGACGCAAGUCAACUCGUGACAAGCUCACCCUAGGAACGAUAAGAGAUGCACAAAACAUAGCGGAAGCAAGAUAUGAAUUGACUCCAACAAGUUUUCUCAACACCCGGUUAACCAAGAUUACUACUAGCUAAUUAUCUAACUAAGCAUGCAUAAUCAAAGAUUAAUUUAAGUGCUAGGCAUGACUAGCAAAGAGUGAUAAAAAAAAUAACGCAAAUAGCACUGAUUAGCAAGAGACACUAGAGAUUAAAACGCUAAACAAAAUAACAAAGAUUAAUUAGCAAUGGCAUGAAUCAACUAACGACCCAAAAGGAGGUGCUCACUGUGCUGGACGUUCGCAUGGUCUGCUAGUGGAUUUUUUUCUUGCGGUCUGGUGCUCCUGGUGACCUGCGCUGGCCCACUUGGCCUGGUGGCCGGCCUGAGCAGCAAGCAGGCUUGAACUGGGCCGCGUGCUGCUGCCACCUCGCCCGGGCCUGCUUGGCAUACGCUGGGCCUCAAGCACCUGAGCACAGCUGGGCCACCUUUCACACGCGAGCUGGACCGCUGACCAGGCUGCUCGCUCCACGCACGUGAGCGCCUGCUGCCUGCCCCUUCCCGGUGGAACAUUCCUGCGAAUGAACAGAGAUGAACAGAACAAGAACACAAGAAGAACAAGAAGAACAGCCGAGACUUCAAAUCAUAAGAUCUCCUCCCAUACUUCACAGAUCGAGAUGAAACUUGAGAUAAGGAUGCAAUACCCCAAGGGCAAAUAGAUCUAUAAAGCAAAUCCUGAAAGAACUCAAGUAUACAUCACUAAUCUUGGAGAAAACCGAAACCCUAACUCAAGAACACGAUUUGGAAGAAAUUAGAAAUCCAAGCCGGAUCCGUGAGAGAUUUAAAAGGGGAUCAUAUCAAAUAUGCUCUCCAAGGUCUUAGCAACAUUUCCGUUCAACCAAUCUCACGAUAUUCGGGCUCAAACGUGAUGAACGAAAAUUCCCCAAAAAUAGUUCCGAAAAUAGGGAAAAAGAAAAACACUCAGGAAUCAAAGAUUUAGCACAAUUUGAGAUAACAAAUAAAGCUAAAUCAUGAGAACAUCUUCUAUACCAGAUGAGGAACUAGCCUCCUCCCUUCAUCCACCCACUAAAGAUAAAGAAAUCAAGAGAAAAGAGUAAUCACUCUCUAAUCUCCCUCUCUCCUCUCACUUUAAGCACAUGACUAGCCUCUAAGCCAAAAGAUAAUGAGUUGCUAAGCAAAGAGGUACUGAAAUAACCAGCCCCCAACCCUAUUUAUAGUCCAGGACGAAAGACUAUACUACCCCUACAGCUACAACUAAGUUAACUACCCACGCAGGGGUAUUUUGAUCCAAGUUUUUAUCCGCGCAUCGGACGGACACGCCGCCUUCACGACUUUGCUUCGCCUCGACGCAAGCUUCGCGAUGACGCCACGUGCCCUCCUUCUCGAAGCCCCGGCCGCACCGGGCUCGCCCCCGGUUUUGAGGCCCAAACCGGGAAACCUGCCUGCGCGGUGGUUUUGAGGCCCAAACCACCCAAACCGUCCAUCUUCGCUUGGCCGCCAUGCAACCUCCUCGAUAUCGACGCGUGUCCGGCCUCCGCCAAGCCUCCCGCUUGACUCGACCGACACCGUCUCCAUCCUGUCAUGCCCUCUCGCCAUUCCGUGCACCAUGUGGACCGCCCGUGACUUCGCCCGGACUCCUCGGGUCCAUCGGUCCAAACCUACUCGCGUUCAUCCUUCACCGCCUUUGGUCCAUCAGCAUGAACCUUUCGCUUGACCUUCACCGCACGCUGUCGACCGCCACGUCGCAUCCUACACCUGCACAUCACAAGCCAAGAGCAACAUCAAACCAACACAACGUUGUCAAUCACUCAUCAUCCAAGGGUGACCACCAUUGGUCCUCAAUCUUCCCCUUGAUGAGUGCAUUGACAACACCACACAAAUUCAUAGUAUUGAAACAGAAAGACAAGAAACUCAAAAUAGAAAAAUCUCAGUCCCCUAAAAUAAGAGCAACGGCUCUACACAACUGAGACAAAAUCAUGUGAUCCCUCAAGAAGAGGCAGAAAACAGGCUCAACACCAAUCACAUGAAAAUCCAAACUCAAAUCAAAAACCGGCUCCUCAAGAAGAGGUAAACAGCUCAACGCGACCGGUACAAGAGCAUAAGAGCAUAACAAGAGUAUAACAACUCAUAAAUACUCCCCCUGAACAUACACACUCCCCCUAAAAUCAUGCAUACAUGCAAAGUCUCCCCCUUGAUAGAUGAAAGAGUUUGUGUAGAUUUCUCUCCCCCUUGUUGACAAUGCAACCAUCAAGAAAAGCAUGAAAGCACAAAGUGCAUGCCAUGGAAAUGUAGAACCUAACAAGCUUCUCAAAUCUAUCACAAUGCACUCUCAAAGGCUACUAGGGAGAUAAAGCUUGAUAGAUCAUAAGAAACAAUAGCAUCGCCAACAAGAUGAUAUCAAGUUACAACAGUGGAGGUGAAGCAAGUAUCAAGUUUUAGCAAUGUAUAAAAAGAUCACCACAUGAGCAUUCACCUAGUUAAGAAUCACCCAAGCAAGAAUAGACUAGUCCAUCAAGACCUCAUACUAGGAAAAUCCAUUCUCAACAAGAGAUCAUUGCAAACACCCACAUAUGCAUCACAAGUCAUGUUUAAAGUUUGUUGAAACCAAGUGUCUACUGUCAGGCAUACACCCCAGGUCCACGAGUAGGCCUUGGACGGCCCACCAAGGGACGUACUCGGACAAGAUCAGAACAGGAUGGGCGUAUCCUACUCGGACUAGUCAAGUAUGUUUAUGGAAAACUACUCGGGCCAUUACCGAGUAGAACUCUAUAAUAGUACCCGACUAGGACUCAGACUUGUAACCCUGCCCUCCCGUGUAUAUAAGGACGGGCAGGGACCCCUCUCAACACCCAACCGGGAUAGACCUCAACACACGAGGACAACUCCAGUUCAUCAAAUACAAACCAACACACAGGAUGUAGGGUAUUACGCGAUCUAGCGGCCCGAACCUGUCUAAAUCGUGUUUCUUACGUCACCAUUGAUUCCUUGAUUCUCGACGACCCUUACCGCAUAAAAGACCACCUAGGGUACCCCAUAGGCGGGUUGCUGGUUCAAAACACCGACAGCUGGCGCGCUAGGUAGGGGACCUCGUCGAGUUUCUCAGCGCGAACUCAAUGGCAAAGGUCAUCAUCAGGCCCGUUUUCCUCAUCGAAGCCGGCGCCACCUUCAUUUUCGGAUCCUAGCUUUGCAUCGCCGACGGCUCGGAUUCGUUCUGACGCCAGAUCGUCGACGACCAGGAGAAGAAACCAGAAGAUCUGAUCGGAAAAAACCAAGAUUUCGAAAUCAACGAGUUCGAGUUCGACUACGCGUCGGAUUUGACUUCGCCUCGGACUACUCCGACCCUCUGCUCAGGGGUCGGGCGCACCUGACCCAAGGACUCAGGGUCGGGCGAGGCGGAGUUUCACCCCUUGGGGUCGGGCGAAGCGGAGCUACUCCCCCAAAGGGUCGGCCUCAGCCGACCCCAGAACUCAGGGUCGGACUCACCUUGGACUACUCGGUCCCAGCCAGUGUCCAAGUCGGUUUCGACCUCAAAGCGGUUCCCGCACGGACUCCGCAACGCAACCAAAGUCCACCAAGGUUUUCUUACUCGAACCCGAUUCGAACUCGGGCAUGACGAAGACGUCGACUCCGACUCGUCCUAUUCACCAGAAAUACCAUUAUCUGGUCCAGCCCAAGGAUUGGUAAUAACUUCGACAUCACAAGGCAGAUUCGUCCACUGGCCGGGAUUGCGACCAUCUCUUCUUGACCGCGACUACAACUCACGCCUUGUCGCCCAUAUAGACAACCUCCCAUAUCAAGAAGGCGUUCCACUCACUUCCAACUGCAAGGAAAGUUCCACAGAGAUUGCAACAUCAAGCUCCGGAAGCUACUACCCAGACAGGGAGAUACUUGUUAUUACUCAGAAUAACAACCCGAGUACUAGCCAGAAUAGAACCCCCAGGCGAUUAGCACAAAUCGACAACAUCUCCGAAGAUGAGUCUACAGCUGACGCCCCUCACAAUGAAACCUCCGAGCAGCGCAACCAAAGAAGGGCGCGCAAUGCUACUCGAGCCGAGCGACGACAGUUGAUGGCUACAAAUAUUCCCAUUACAAAUCUUGAAAGGGCUUUCAACGCAGUCCAGGCUCAGGAGCACAAUACUCCACUCGCGGCUAUCGCCUCAAUCGACCUUUUAACAACAUUGAUGCCUCAGGAUAAGGAUAACGCAGCCACAGCUCAACUCGUGCAGUGUGGCAACGGACUGAUCGCACAACUCGCGGAGCAAGCUUACAAGAUACUCGACAAAGAAUCACCAAUCCCGUCUGUUCCUCGUAUCACAUCUCAUCAAGAAGGUAGCAGGGGAGCUGCAGACAAUAACACCGCCCCACGAAACGAUAACGCAAUCAACCAACCUCGGCAACACAGCCAAGGUCCAAGCAAGCAUAAGGCCCCUGCUCAACAUAAGGAUGUUGGUGAGGUCAGCUGCACCAACUCGGUUAAAAGCAUCCGCCCUACUCGGAAGAAACACGAAAUGUCCAACUUCAGUGAUUUGCGAGAAAUUCUCAACAGUCGGCGCGAAUGGGAAGUCGACAGCUACAACCAUUUUCCUGCUCUCACAAACCGGGUAAUGAAAACAAAAUUACCCGACAAGUUCAAGCCAACCGGAAUCAGCAAGUAUGAUGGCAAGCAAGACCCAAUUCAAUGGCUACGAUGUUACUCGCUAGCCGUCCAAGCAGCCGGGGGCAAUAACGACACCAAAGUUAUCCAUUUCCCCAUAUGCAUGGAACCCGCACCACUGACCUGGCUUGAGUCACUCAAACCCAAGUCCAUUGACUCUUGGGCAGACUUGACAAAGGCUUUUACCAACAACUUCGCCGGCUCCAUGGCUAGACCAGGCAACAAGAUCGACUUAAGUCAAAUUAAGCAAAAAGAAGGCGAGACCCUAUGCGACUAUCUGCGACGGUUCUUCGAAAAGAAGGCUACCAUAGUCGACAUCUCCAAAACAGACGUCAUUGAGUGCUUCCAGAAUGGACUCUAUGAUCGACGAGCAUACCAAGACUUCGGUCGCCGACGACCAGCUGAUGUCAAAGAACUCAAAGUCAUGGUGCAACAGUGGGCGGAUGAAGAAGACAAAGAGCGAGAACGGUUCGGCUCCCACCGUAACCGCGGACGCGACAACAACCACAACAAUGACCCAGAUAGAACUCGGCAUAACGAUGCCCGGAACACCUAUUCGAGUAACCACAAUCGCAAAAGGAAGCCCAACAACACUGUUGCCGCCAUGACCAACUCCGGGAAAAAGGGACACCGCAGAAAUGAUGAAGGGCCAACCUUCACUGAGCUACUAAAAAAGCAGUGCCCAUGGCAUCCGACUAGCAAGCACUCGGCGAUAGACUGCUACAGCAUGCGCCGAGUCAUGCAAGACUUACCCGCACCACCACCCCCUGAAGAGUACACCAAGAAUAGAGAUAAGGGUAAGAAUAAAGCUCGCAACGACGAAGAUGAGGAAGGCGACUUCCAGACAGCUUCAAAAACUGUCAACGUCAUUUUCAGCGGUAUCCCAGGCACUGCAUCCAAGCGAGCCAACAAACUCGUACUCAGGGAGAUCAUGGCCAUCGAACCAACAGACCCUACACCGUUAAAAUGGUCAGAAGUUCCAAUUUCUUUCAGCAGAAAAGAUCAAUGGACAAAAUUUUCAGAACCAGGCCGUUUCCCACUAGUCCUGGAUCCAGUUGUGGCAGGAUCAAAGUUAACCAAAGUACUCAUUGACGGCGGAAGCGGCCUCAACAUUAUCUUCGCCAAGACAUUAAGGAAGAUGUGCCUCGACGUUACUGAAAUGCUUACCCCAACGGAUUUACCUUUCUACGGCAUCGUGCCUGGAAACGCGGCUAUACCACUAGGACAAGUUGUCCUUCCAGUCACCUUCGGCACUAAAGAACAUUACCGUACCGAGUACAUCAGAUUCGAAGUCGCAGACUUCGAGACAUCUUACCAUGCUAUACUCGGACGGCCAGCACUCGCCAAGUUCAUGGCCAUACCACAUUAUGUCUACCUGGUACUCAAAAUGCCAGGCCCCAAGGGGGAGCUCACGCUACGAGGAGAUCUACGGUGAUCCUACGAAUGUGACACUGAAGCUGUGGAAAUUGCUGCGACUACUCAAGCACCCAGUCCCAUACAACAAGUCUUCACAGCUUCAAAGAAGCUCAAUCCAACCGAACUAGAGAUCUCGGAAAACAAGUCGGGGUCCACAAAGGUGAAACCCGCCACUGAGCAAGACUUCAAAUUAGUUGACCUCCAGACAGGUGAUUCUUCCAAGACAGCCCUGAUCGGAACAGGGCUAGAUCCUAAAUAGGAAUUCGUGCUCGUCAGCUUCCUUCGGGCUAACCACGAUAUCUUCGCUUGGAAACCGGCUGACAUGCCAGGUGUGCCCAAGGAACUGAUUGAGCAUUCUCUCAAUGUCGAUCCCAAAGCUACUUCAAAAUGGCAACGACUACGUCGGUUCGCUCAGGACAGACGAGAAGCAAUCAAAAAAGAGUUAGCCAAGCUACUCGCGGCAGGGUUCAUCAAAGAAGUCUUUCAUCCUGACUGGCUCGCCAAUCCUGUGCUUGUUCGUAAGAAAAACAAUGAAUGGAGAAUGUGUGUUGACUACACCGACCUCAACAAACACUUAUCAAAAGACCCUUUCGGGCUACCCAGGAUCAAUCAUGUGGUUGACUCCACCGCUGGGUGCGCUUUGCUAUGCUUUCUCGACUGCUACUCCGACUAUCACCAGAUAAGCCUCAAAGAGGAAGAUCAAGCCAAAACAGCGUUCAUCACGCCCUUCGGAGCUUUCUGCUACAAAACAAUGUCCUUCGGACUAAAAAAUGCAGGAGCAACUUAUCAAAGGGCCAUACAGAUGUGCUUCGAAAGGCAACUUCACCGCAAUGUCGAAGCUUAUGUCGACGACGUUGUCGUCAAAACAAGAAACCGGGAGGAACUCAUUGCUGACUUGGAGGAAACUUUCUCUAGUCUCCGCGCUUUUCGAUGGAAACUCAAUCCUACUAAGUGCAUCUUUGGAGUACCUUCCGGUUAGCUACUCGGGUUCAUCAUUAGCCAUCGCGGCAUUGAGGCCAACCCGGAAAAAAUAUCUGCCAUCACAAACAUGCAGGCACCAGCCAGCAUUAAGGAUGUGCAGAAACUCACAGGCUGCAUGGCCGCCCUCAACCGGUUUAUCUCGAGACUUGGAGAACGGGGACUACCCUUCUUCAAGCUUCUCAAACGCCAGGACAAGUUCAAAUGGACGGAAGAGGCAGAUGAGGCACUAACACAACUCAAAGACUUUUUGUCAAAGCCUCCUAUACUCACCGCUCCUUCUCCGAACGAAGACUUGCUCCUAUACAUCUCAGCUACUAACUACUCAUGUCGUCAGCACGGCAAUAGUAGUCGAAUGGUCUGAACCGGGCCACGCUUACAAGGUCCAACGACCUGUCUACUUCGUCAGCGAAGUACUCUCGGACUCUAAAACUCGGUAUUCACCGAUACAAAAGCUCUUAUACGCUAUUUUGCUCACCUCCCGGAAGCUGCGCCAUUACUUCCAUGAGCACAACAUCACAGUCAUCUCCGACUUCCCGCUCGGCGAAAUUCUCCACAACAGAGAUGCCACGGGUAGAAUCUCCAAAUGGGCAGUUGAACUCGGAGCUCUCACGUUGAACUUCAAGCCAAGGACAGCCAUCAAGUCCCAGGCUUUGGUCAACUUCAUAGCUGAAUGGACUGAAAAUCAAGUUCCAACACCAGUCGAUCGACCAGAACAUUGGAUAAUGUACUUCGACGGAUCCCUCAAACUUGAAGGAGCCAGCGCAGGCGUAUUACUCAUCUCCCCCAGGGGAGACCAGCUCAAGUACGUGCUGCAAAUACACUGGGAAGCAUCUAAUAACGAAGCCGAGUACGAAGCACUGCUACACGGCCUUCGCCUCGCAAUCUCCCUCGGCAUCAAACGACUACUGGUGUACGGCGACUCUCUAGUCGUUAUAAACCAGGUCAAUGACGAGUGGGACCGGAACAAGGAAAACAUGGACGCUUAUUGCAAAGAAGUCCGCAAACUGGAAACCAAGUUCUCUGGCUUGGAAUUUCAUCACAUCGUCCGCGACAACAACGUUGCCGCUGACGUCUUAUCCAAAAUAGGCUCUACUCGCGCAGAGGUUCCAGCAGGAAUCUUUGUACACGAACUGCGCAAGUCAUCCAUAUCCGACCAAGUCACACCGCCAGCAAUCCCGACUGCUGACGUCUCUCGAGAAAUCAUGAUGAUAGAAGUCGACUGGAGGACACCCUUCAUCGACUACAUCAAAGAUCACCAGCCACCAUCCGACAAAAAUAAAGCUAACCAAACCUCCCGACGAGUAAAAAAUUACGUUCUAGUCGGAGACAAGCUCUAAAGGAAAGGUGCAUCGUCUGGAGUACUCAUGAAGUGCGUCACCAGAGAAGAUGGCCAAGAAAUCCUAGAAGAGAUUCACAGAGGAAUCUAUGGCAACCACGCCUCUUCUAGGACACUAGUUGGCAAGGCUUUCAGAGCAGGCUUCUACUAGCCAAUGGCUCUGGCUGACGCCAAACAACUAGUUCAGAAAUGCAAAGGUUGUUAAUUCUUCAUAAAAUAGCAACAUGUACCGGCCUACAAGCUAGUCACAAUACCUCCAACAUGGCCGUUUGCCUGCUGAGGGCUCGACAUGAUAGGUCCGUUACCAACUGCGCCAGGAGGAUUCAACAGAGUACUCGUGGCAAUCGACAAAUUCACCAAAUGGAUCGAGGUCAAACCGGUCACUUGCCCCAAGGCAGACCGGGUCCUCGACUUCUUGGAUGAAAUCAUACACCGCUACGGUUUUCCCAACAGGAUUAUCACAGACCUAGGGUGAAACUUCAAUAACCACGACUUUUGGGAAUAUUGCAAGAACAGCAGCAUCGACGUCCGCUACGUCUCGGUUGCUCACCCGCGAGCCAACGAACAAGUCGAGCGUGCUAAUGGCAUGAUACUCGACGCCCUGAAGAAAAGACUACAUGACGUUGGCAACACCAGAGGUGGAAAAUGGCUCAAAGAGUUACCAAAUGCUUUGUGGGGUCUCCGUACCCAACCGUGCAAGACUACGGGGCUAUCACCUUAUUUCCUGGUAUAUGGCUUGGAAGCCAUAUUACCCGCUGACAUCAUGUGGCAAUCACCAUCCGUUGAACAAUACGACGAAGAACUGGCAACAGAAACACGGUGAACAGAUAUAGACAGUCUAGAAGAAACAAGAUGCGCAGCGCUAGUGCAAUCUGCCAGAUACCUUGACGGUUUAAGGCGUUACCACAACCGCAACGUCAAGGAGAGAUCUUUCAACUCGGGCGAUAUGGUCCUUAAGCGUAUCCAAGACACGUCAUGGUUGCAUAAACUCAAUUCACCAUGGGAAGGUCCUUACAUCGUAUCAAAGGUUACGGGACCGGGAUCUUACAGACUCCAAGAGCUCUCUGGAGAACAAGUACCAAACUCCUGGAAUAUAGAACAUCUCUGUUGCUAUUACCCAUAGUGGCAUCCGAGUAAUUACUCCAAGGCAAUAACUCAUGAUUACUACUCGGGCUAACUUCCCGACUACCGACUUCAAGAUACCUCAGCUUUGACAAGAGUUACCAACUCAACAAGGAUCACUGCCCUGGUACAAAAUCUCCGUAUCAAUAUUUCUUUACUGAAACAAGGAUACAUCGGGUUACAUACGAGUACAAGUACUCGGACUACACAAAGACUACAAGCAACUGCCUACUGGCGGGCUGCAUUUAAGCCUCAGGCUUUUACUAUAUCACAAGGCCACUCAGGUCCGCCGACCACAAGGGGAAGGGCCCACACGCAAGGAAGAUGCGCAAAACGUAGCCAUAUCCAGGUCCUCUACCCAAGGCAACGCCAGGAACUCCAACAUCGCCACUGCCUUGACAGCGGCAACGAUGAAUCCGGCAAGACACGCCUAGAGGGAACCAAGGCUGCUCUUUUGCUAGCCUUGCGGAGCCAAUCCAAUUUACGGCCACACCUCCACCUCUCAGAGGGCGGGAUGAAGACCGCGGCACUCACCACCCAUCACUCGCGAGUUCCAGCGCGUACUCCAUUGGAUCACGAGCUGCAAGAUGAGGCGUGCGGCGAAACCUCCUACGAGGAUUCUUCUAGCAUCGCGGCUAUCCCUUCGAACGCAGGAGUCUGUGGAGGGAAGGUGGCCUCAAUCUGCAAGGAAUCUUCUAGCACCGGUGCACUCUUUGAUGGCUCUCUACACUCAAAAAGAAGCAACCGAAGACAAUCCAUCGCUACUCAGGAACUUGUUUGGUUCGCUCUCCAACUGGCUCUAUUUAUAGCCGAAAGAUGCAACUACCACCUGCCCAAGGAUUACUAUGCGCCCGUGAUCAAUGAGUCUGACGACUCCUGACUCUGCCCACGUGACGGUACUUAUUCCACAAAGGACAAAAGAGUACAGUACACCCGUGCAUCCACAAAGGACAAAGGAGUAUAGUACACCCGUGUCCCUCAAAAGACGAGUACUCGACAGCAUUACGACUACUCGACACUCGGGACUACUACAAGCCAAGCGUGGCCUACGCUCUCACCAUUAUCCCGGGGCCUUGGACUACUCCGACCCCCUGCUCAGGGGUCGGGCACAUCCGACCCCAGGACUCAGGGUCGGGCGAAGCAGAGUUUUCCCCAAAAGGUCGGGCUCAGCCGACCCUAGGAUUUCGGGUCAGCUAGCACUGCGUAAAACUACUCUUCGCAAGACAAUCACCUCAAGCAACAAGUCCAAUGGCCAAGUAUUCAUUUAUCAAAAGUAUCGUUCAAAGUACUUGACCCAAAUACAAGAGUACAUACAAAGCUCAAGGCUCUUCUAAAGUGACAAACUCCGACAUCUUCGAUGCAAUAGGCUCCGCCUCCUCGAGGUACUACGCUUAUGCUUCUUCUGUGCAGUUGCGAGCCACGCCAUCACCAGCUGCUGUCAAGUCUGCCCUCAGAUAGUAGAACUUCACAACUGCAAGGACCUGUUUGCAAAUAGUUUUGCAGAGUCCCGCCACUCUACUCGGGGCAGCCUUCAAUCGUUCGACUAGUAAUUGCAGCCCUGCGCCUUCUUCCACGAGGGCUAUGGCGUUCACCAAGUCUUCAGCUGCUACAGUUAGCUCUUGGAGUUCGCUCCGAAGUCUUCCCAUGGUCUGGGCAUGAUCUCUGCAUGCCACCAUGGCCAUGGCAAGCAUCACGCCAUUUUGCAUCUUUCAGUCCCGCUGAUGUUCACAAGCAGCCUGUGCUUCCGUCAGCGCGGCCCGAAGAUGUUCGGCUUCAUCCACCACUCGGUCGAGAACUUGGCUCCUUGCAGCCGCCUCUUGCUUCUUGAGAUCUACAAGACAAGUUCAAUCACAACCGACUAUAGUUGGGCAUACUCAGAGUAGGGAAAAUACUUACCCUGAUAUUUCUUGUUCAGCGACUUGUAGCGGCUCUCCAGUUUUUGCUGCAGGACCGCAUGAUCCGUACGCUCCACAGCAAAAGAUUUUGCUCCAACUUUAUGAACCCUCAGAGCUUCCGUCAGUCGGGCACAUUCCUGCUCCAGUUGAUGACUUCGUUCCUGAAAAAGUCCGACUACGGAGUGGUGAGUUUCAAACCUCACAACUACUCGGGACAUGCAACAACUCAACAAGGAAAUUUACCUGGAAGCUCCGGAAAACAUCGAUGGCCUUCUGGAACUCCAAGUCAGAGGGCAGGCUAAGUACUGGUCUUUGGGUACUCUCCGCAAGAUGAGGAAUCGUACCCAUAGUAGCACCUACAACAUUUAUCAUGUCAGCUACCUGCUAUGACUACAAUAAAAAGACUACAGAGACAUACCCGGAGCAGUCGCUUGUUUGGCUUUUUCAACACCCACUACGGCCAGCGAUCCGCCAGCAGAUGUUGAUAAGGCAGCACUUCCUGAGCCCGAUGCAGCGGCGGGAACUUCCGCCGAACGGAUGACAUCUUGGAGCAUCGACAUGGUAGCUCCAAGACGACCGGCGUCAAACCCGGGCACCUCCUCAACGACUAAAUCCUCAAAAGGAACAGAUAUUGUAGUCGAGGGAUCCGACCCUACCCCUAUUUCUACAGGGAUAGUUUCCUCUGCAUCUCUGCACCAAAAUGCGUCACCACAUGAUUUCAAGCCAACUCAAAGUCAUUCAAACAGACAAGAAAGCUCACCGGAUUGAACGUGGCAGCAAUCGCACACGUUUCUUCUCGGCGAUAGGCGGCUGAGUACUGGGCGCCGCGGGAACAACUACCGGCGCUGUCUUCUCGCCAAGGCCUAUAAAGCCGAAGUCAAGACUACAGUACCACUCAAACAAAUACAAUCGGAAGGGACAAUGCUUACCACUGGCGAUCACAUUGGACAGCAAAGUACCAGUAGCAAGUACUGGCGACACCUCCUUUGCAACACCCACUACUCCAGCAGACAGCCCCAGGACCGCUUGGUCAGCAAAGGGCAGCAUGGCAGCCGACGGAGCCGCUGAGGAUAGCUCAGGGGCUACUCCAACUUCUGUUGACAGCACCUUCUCCGACACCAUGUCAACAGAUACAUUGCCGACUUCUGGGUCGAUCACGACCAUUUCUUCAAAAACAGCCUCAUCAUCACCAAGCGCCGUAUCUACAGUCUUUACGAACAAGACAAAAUUCGUCGCAUCAUUAGCAAGUUCAAAUUCAUCAGCUACAGAUACGUUCACGACUACAUACCUUGGUACCCCGAGACUUUUCAGGGGUUGAAGCAGACUUAGCCACAGACAUCUUACGGACUACUCUGCGUCUCUUAACAGGAGGAGAAGGCUCGUCCUCCGACUCCUCAGCGACAGCUUCUGACUCUUCUUCCGACUGCGCUAAGUAGCCAGCAAGAACUCAAGACUACAAACAUCAAGUCGGUAUCAACAACAAAUAAGUCAAAAGAGAACAAGUCAGGUGCAAAAGACAUACCACUUCUGGCUCAUACCAGGCGUCAUACUGACGUAGAGCCGCAGGGAUUACUGGUACUCCCUGAUAGUUCCUGAAAAACUUGGCCAGCAACGCCUCUACAUCAUCAUCGGAUAUAUCUUCAUCGGACAUAUGCGAUGGAUCUUUAAGACCUGUGUACUCACUUCCCGAGUGAGCACGUUUUUGAAGCGGCUGGACUCUUCUCUUCAGAAAACUGCUCGCCACAUGAAUUCCAGUAAGACCGAGUGCCUUCAACUCGGUAAUCUGUUGCAUCAAGUGGUCAAGUUCCGGGGUGUCUUCGGGUUCGCUCACCCAGUUUUCCGCGUGUUUGGGCGCGUGACCAGUCACCACAGGCAGGCAAGGGUCGUGGUUCCCAAUAUAGAACCACCUCUUCUUCCACUCACCAUGGGAAUCAGUCAAGUUGUACUCAAUGUAUGCACCCGAGUUCCUAAGUUGGAACCCAGCGCCUCCGAAGACUUCUGUCCUAUGGACACUAGGCUGCGGCUUACAGCGGAACAACUUCCUAAACAACUCGAGGCUUGGAGGAACUCCCAAAUAAACUUCGCAGAGGUGUACGAAAAUGGACAUAUGCAGGACAUCAUUGGGGUUCAAAUGAACAAGUUGAAGCUUAUAGUACUUGAGGAUACCUCUGAAGAAAUCGGAGGUGGGCACUGCCAACCCCCUCUCCACAAAGUGUGCGAGCAUCACUGUCUCACCUGGAUGUUCCUCAAAUUGCCACGCAUUUGGAAAAGCUGGGCGCCACUCGAGUAUUUCCUACGGCUGUAGAAGCUUGGCGUCGACUAGUGCUUGCACGGCCUCCUCCUUCAUCACCGAAUGCUGCCACGUCACUCCAGGCGGCGGCGGCGCAGUCUGAUUCAUCGGCCCCACCUUCGGCGCCAACAACACCAGUUCUUUCCCCUUCUUGGACUUCACCUUGCCCGCCGCCGGAGCCUUGCCCUGGAUCUUCUCGGGUUUCUUGCCCAUCUUUUUGGUGCGCAUCUGCCGAUUUCAACCUCAGCAAAAGGCACUCACUCUCGGAUCUCUCUCAAAGGGGAGCAAUAGCGGCGGUGGUAUUUGGCAAUGGCGACGGCGCAAGCGUGAAGCAGAGGCACGGGGGAGGAAGAAAAGCAGAUCUGAUUACUGCAGGGGGUAAACCUAACCGAAAGGGGGCCCUCCAGUUUUAUCUCCGCCACCUCCGGUUUUCAUGCGUCAGUUGCGCAACGGACAGAUUAAUUGCAGAUUAAUCGCCUUUAACACUCAACGGCUACUCUUUUCAACGGACUGCUGACCACUUCAACGACAGAGAUCACCCAAGUGCUCGGGGGCUGCGGGUACCGUACCCGUUGGUCAGGUUUUUCUUUUUUCCAAGAUCUCCAAGGGUAAAAUGGACAAAAGCUGGUUCGACCCUAAGCCUGACCCUUCGACUCAACCUAAGGCUCGGGGGCUACUCCAUAUGGAGUGUGAUUGACAUCGCACUACCAUAUAAAAUUACUCGGGACGGAAACAACUCGAAGGAGCAAAAAGAGUACCUUCUAGCCACGUGACAGUACUCGAGCACUUCAGUCUGCAACCUCUACGACUAGCUACUCGGAUAGUGCCCGCAGUGCCCAAGACUGUGGCGCACGACUACAAAGUACUCGGGGGCUUGUCGGGCAUACACCCUAGGUCCACGAGUAGGCCUUGGACGGCCCACCAAGGGACGUACUCGGACAAGAUCAGAACAGGAUGAGCGUAUCCUACUCGGACUAGUCAAGUAUGUUUAUGGAAAACUACUCAGUCCAUUACCGAGUAGAACUCUGUAAUAGUACCCGACUAGGACUCAGACUUGUAACCCUGCCCUCCCGUGUAUAUAAGGGCGGGCAGGGACCCCUUUCAACACCCAACCGGGACAGACCUCAACACACGAGGACAACUCCAGUUCAUCAAAUACAAACCAACACACAGGACAUAGGGUAUUACGCGAUCUAGCGGCCCGAACCUGUCUAAAUCGUGUUCCUUACGUCACCAUUGAUUCCUUGAUUCUCGACGACCCUUACCGCAUAAAAGACCACCUCGGUUACCCCCUAGGCGGGUUGCUGGUCUAAAACACCGACAUCUACUUCUUUUGGUAGACAUCUUGUAACAACUAAGCAAGCAAUAAUAUCACAUUAAGCACAAAAACUUGGUGAAUUUAUGAAGUUUUCAGCAUAUUUCUUUUCAGUAUUCACACAAAGUAAAAUACAUGAAGUGCCUUUGCGGCACAAAGAAGCCAUGCUUCCCCAAGGGGUGCAUCAUGGGCUAAACAUUUGCAAUGAUACCUAGAUCUUUGACCCAAUUGAAAAGAACAUGGAUUCCAAACAUAAGCUAGAUAUGGAAUCAGUAUUCAAUCAAGGGCAAACCAUAACCAAGCAUCUACUCAUGGGUGAUAAGCAAGUUAAUAGAGUAGAAUUUAGCAUUGAAUUUCAAAAACAGUUAUCUCAACAAGUGUACAAUAUCAUCCAGAGCAUAACUGCACAUUGCAUCAAAAUCACCAACCACAGCACUAGCUCACAAGUAGCAUAAGGGAGUACACAAGAUAUAUAGGAGAAGCUCAUCUAGUGCAACAUGAUACAAAAUGCAAUAUGAUAUAAAAAGCAUGGAAACUAAGCUAAAAUGAUAUAGAUGAACAACAUGCCAUACCCAAAUGUGAACUAAGGUAAAGCAUGACAUGAUGUUCAUAUGUAUCAUCCACCACAAUAUAUCACAAAAGAUAGCAUGAUAAGCUAUACAUGAAGAACUCAAAGCUAUCAUGAAGAAGUGGCUAUCCUACCAUGUUUUGUACAAAAAUCAUACAAGUAUAAUACAAGAGAAGCUCCAAAACCCAACUCAGAAAGGAAAGCAAACACCCAACUCCCCCCGCAAACGAGCAAAAGUGGCUUGAUCCAGGAGUUUGGUGAAAAUGUCCGCGAGUUGGUUUUGGGUAGCAACAUAGCCAAGGUCAAUGUCCCCUCUCUCAACAUGAUCUCUCAGAAAAUGAUAUCUCACAUCAAUGUGUUUGGUUUUUGAGCGGAGAACGGGGUUCUUGGCUACAUUAAUUGCACUCGUGCUAUCACAAAGAAGAGGUACACGAGUAAAAUCCAAACCAAAGUCUCUCAAAGUGGAAAUCAUCCAAAGCAGCUGAGAACAGCAGCUAGCAGCAGCAACAUACUCAGCUUCGGUGGUAGACUGAGCAACACUAGAUUGUUUGCGAGAAGACCAAGAGACCAAAGACGAACCGAGAAACUGGCAAGUACCCGAGGUAGACUUACGAUCCAAGCGACACCCAGCAAAGUCCGCAUCGGAGUAUCCCCGGAGCGUGAGUGUUGAGGAGGCAGAAUACCACAAACCGAACUCAGGGGUAAAGCGGAGAUACCUCAUGAUCCUCUUCACUGCCUGACGGUGAGAUGUCCUCGGUGAAGCCUGAAAACGAGCGCACAGACACACGGCGAAGUGAAUGUCCGGCCUCGUCGCCGUCAGGUACAAGAGGGAGCCGAUCAUGCUUCUGUACUCCUUCUGGUCCACCGGUUCGCCAUCUUCAUCCGCAUCUAGUGCCGUUGUCGUCCCCAUGGGUGUGGAGAGUGGCUUAGCAUCAGCCAUGUCAAACUUUCUCAACACGUCCUUCGUGUACUUCCCUUGGUGCAUGAAGGUUCCUUCCUUGCUUUGCUUGAUCUGUAGCUCGAGGAAGAAGGUCAACUCACCCAUCAUCGACAUCUCGAACUCCCUGCUCAUGUCAUCUGCAAACUUGGCAACCAAAGCAUGAGAAGAACCACCAAAAAUAAUAUCAUCCACGUAUAUUUGAAUAAUUAAUAAGUCAUUGCCUUGCCUGAGGAGAAAGAGUGUUUUAUCAACUGAUCCCAUUUCAAACCCAUUCCCAAGCAAAAAGGAUUUCAAUCUAGCAUACCACGCUCGAGGUGCUUGUUUUAGGCCAUAGAGAGCUUUCUGGAGUUUGAAAACACGAUCAGGAUAUUUAGGACUCUCAAAACCAGGGGGUUGUUUCACAUACACUUCCUCCUCUAUGAAACCAUUUAGGAAGACACUUUUCACAUCCAUUUGGAAGAGCUUAAAACCUUUAGCCACAGAGAAGGCUAGAAGGAUUCUAAUCGCUUCCAAAUGAGCAACAGGGGCAAAGGUUUCCUCAUAAUCUAUCCCCUCUUUUUGGCUAAAGCCUCGGACAACCAACCUCGCUUUCUUUCUCACAAUCAACCCAUCCUCACCUUGUUUGUUUUUGAAAACCCAUUUUGUUCCUAUAGGAUGGCAAUUUGGAGGUGGUUCAACUAAAACCCAAACCCUGUUUCGCUCAAAGUUCUCCAACUCCUCAUGCAUGGCAUUAACCCAAUUUGAAUCAGAUAAAGCAUGUCCAAUAUCUCGAGGUUCGAAAGAGGCAACAAAUGCAGAAUGUGCAAUGUGUGAAAUCUGCCUAGAGCUAUGCCUAGUGGUGCGUUCAUGUAAGUUACCGAUCAUCUGUUGUGGAGGAUGACGACGCUGAAUGUGCCGUGGAGCCUCUCGCUCUGAAGUCGCCUCCCCCUCAACAGCAGCUGGAUCACUCUGAUCUUCUUCUUCAUCAUCCUGUAGUGGUACUGGUUGAUGGCUUGAAGUAGUGGAAGUAGAGGUAGGACCAUCAACUCUCGUAGUCGAAGUAGAAGGUACAGGUGCAAUAGCUGGAGCUCGGUCAAUCUCAUCAUCCUCUUCCUCACCACCAUCUACACGCUCUUCCCCUUCCUCAAAUAUGCUUUGCCCCAUUUCAUGUUCACCUGCAACUUCAAAAAUAGGAGUUGUGCAAGGCAUAGUUUCAUCGAAAGUAAUCUCACAAGUUUUCACGAUCCGGUUAGUUUCAAGGUUAAGCACACGAUAAGCACGACUAUGAGAAGCAUAACCAAGAAAAAUCCCAUCCGUAGAACGAGACUCAAAUUUAUCCAAAUUUCCUUGCUUGAGAAUGAAACACUUGCAGCCAAACACCCUCAGGUGACUCACUUUGGGGGAACGUCGAUGCAUCAGCUCAUAGGAAGUUUUCUUUAGGAAAGCUCGCAAAAAGAUUCGAUUGGACACAUAGCAAGCAGUGUUGACGGCUUCGGCCCAAUAUUUUCUAGGAGUCCUAUGCUCAUCAAGCAUCGUCCUAGCCAUUUCACAAAGGGUCCGAUUCUUCCAUUCAACAACACCAUUCUGAGGAGGGACAUAAGGCAAUGAAAACUGGUGUUCAAGACCAAGAUCAUUGCAAAAGGUUUUAAAACGAGCGUUCUUGAAUUCUGUGCCAUUGUCACUGCGGAUAGUUCUCAUGGCAUCUUUUGGUCGCUCGUUUCUCAACCUCAAGAUCAAAUCUCGAACAAAUGGAAAUGCCUCAUCCUUAGACUCCAUGAAGAAAACCCAUGAAUACCUUGAAAAAUCAUCAACGAUCACAAGCACAUACCAUUUCCCACCAACUGAGCAAACACGAGCUGGACCAACAGUGUCCAUAUGUAACAGCUCGCAUGGAUGCUUAGUCAUCACCUGAUUCACAUGUGGAUGAGAAGCGGCAACCAUUUUCCCAUGUCGACAGGGAGCACAAACAAGAUCUUUCUCAAACUUUAAUUUGGGCAAACCACGAAUAAGAUCCAAAGUACUCAAGCAGGAAAGCAAAUCAAAGCUCAAAUGACCCAAUCUCCUAUGCCACUUCCAAAGCUCAGAAGAUGAGCCAGCCACUAAACACCGAGAGAGACCAAAUGACUUGGAAAAAUCAACUCGAAACACUUGACCCUCGGGGACGAUCAUACAAACAAGAUCGCCUCGAGAGUCUAAAAUCCUUGAGGUCCCUUGUUUAAAACGGACCUCAAAACCAUCAUCAAGCAAUUGCGACAUAGAGAGCAAAUUGAAACCAAGAGAAUCAACAAGAGCAACUCGCUUGAGCAUGAAAUUCUCACUCACCUUGAUAACACCUUCAGACAACACCUUACCUUUGCUAUUAUCCCCGAAAGUGAUGUACUCCUUGGUCAUCACCGGGGUGAGGCUGGAGAACUACCUGUGAUCACCGGUCAUGUGUCGAGAGCAACCGGAAUCAAUAAGCCACGUGUUCUCCAGGCCUCCGACCUCAGUUUCUGUGUCAGAGUCACUUUCCUUGUCAUCCUUCUUGGAGUUGAGAGCCAUGACACAGUACCCGUCGCGGUUCUUGCCGGAGUAGAAGUAGAGGCCAUUGAAGUUCUUGCCGUCCUUCUUCUUUGCCUUGCGGUCGUCGUCCUCCUCGCUUGAGCUUGAGUCGGUGUGGUCGUCGGUGUCGGAGUCGACGUCGCUGAGGGAGGCGAUGAAGGCACGCGCUUUGGCCUUCUUGCGAUACUCCUUCUUCUCACGGUCGGUGUACUUCUUCUUCUUCUUAGUGCCAACCUUGUUCUUGUGCUUGUUGUAGUCGUACUUGCUCUUGGAUUUGUUCUUGUCAGGGCAGUCGGCGGCGACAUGUCCUAGCUUCCCACAGUCGAAGCAGUUGUUGUUGUUCCUUCGCUUGUUCUUGCAAUUGUCGUUGAAGCGCAUGAAUCGCCUCGUGAUCAAGGCGAGCUCAUCAUCAUCAAGAAACUCCAGCUGCUCCUCUGAAACAGAAACCAAAGAAGACAAGGCAAACAACAUAGAAGAAGAGUUACUCAAAGACUUAGGCUAUCCAGAGCCUGACAUGAGAGCCAUACUAUUUGGAUCAGUAGGGACUCCUUGUUUUGCUCGGAGCCUCUUGUCAACUUCCGUGGAUUUCAACUUGGCAAAGAGUUCAUCAGUGGAAAGUGUUUCAUAAUUGGGUGACUCGAUGAUAGCAUCAACCUUCGUACCCCACACUUCAUGAUCCAAGGCAUGCAGGAGCUUUAAAGCUCUAUCAUGAUCAGUGUAGGGUAAGACGGUGAUAUUUGCUUUCAUCUUGUUCACAAUAGCCAAGAAACGCUGAAACAAAGCAUCGGCAGACUCACCAGGCAAAUGAACAAAGUUUUCAUACUCACACCUAUAAGUCUCAAAGAGUCUAGCCUUCACCUGACUGUUUCCCUCAUGGAAACUCUGAAGUCGAGACCAAAUCUCAUGAGCAAGAGACAGAUCUUCGACUCGAUCAAACUCAGCACGACUCAGACUCGCAAACAGAAUAUCAAGCGCCUUGCUGUUGGCGUGAUACUUCUCCCUAUCAUCCUGAGUCACACGAGUAGUAGGAAUCACAUAAGUCACAUCCUGAGUGAUUUCCCAAACCCAUGCUCCUCUACUAUUUAGAUGGGCUCUCAUACGAGUUUUCCAAUACCGAUAGUCAGAGCCAUCAAAGUAGGGUGCAGCGGUCGAGGAAGAACGCUUAGAGGUCACCAUAAUAGGUUUCGAAACCGAUUAGGGUAUGGAGAAACCUUAACCGGCUCUGAUACCAAUUGAAGGACCGAAAGAGCGACCAGAGGGGGGGUGAAUGGGAGCCUAUAAAAAUUCUCAACGAGAACAAGGCCUAUAUCCCAAACGCAACCUCAAAGCACACCGUGUGUUUAAUCGUCAAGAUGACGCAAGUCAACUCGUGACAAGCUCACCCUAGGAACGAUAAGAGACGCACAAAACAUAGCGGAAGCAAGAUAUGAAUUGACUCCAACAAGUUUUCUCAACACCCGGUUAACCAAGAUUACUACUAGCUAAUUAUCUAACUAAGCAUGCAUAAUCAAAGAUUAAUUUAAGUGCUAGGCAUGACUAGCAAAGAGUGAUAAAAAAACUAACGCAAGUACCACUGAUUAGCAAGAGACACUAGAGAUUAAAAUGCUAAACAAAAUAACAAAGAUUAAUUAGCAAUGGCAUGAAUCAACUAACGACCCAAAAGGAGGUGCUCACUGUGCUGGACGUUCGCAUGGUAUGCUAGUGGAUUUUUUUUCUUGCGGUCUGGUGCUCCUGGUGACCUGCGCUGGCCCACUUGGCCUGGUGGCCGGCCUGAGCAGCAAGCAGGCUUGAACUGGGCCGCGUGCUGCUGCCACCUCGCCCGGGCCUGCUUGGCAUACGCUGGGCCUCAAGCACCUGAGCACAGCUGGGCCACCUUUCACGUGCGAGCUAGACCGCUGACCAGGCUGCUCGCUCCACGCACGUGAGCGCUUGCUGCCUGCCCCUUCCCGGUGGAACGAUUCCUGCGAAUGAACAGAGACGAACAGAACAAGAACACAAGAAGAACAGCCGAGACUUCAAAUCAUAAGAUCUCCUCCCAUACUUCACAGAUCGAGAUGAAACUUGAGACAAGGAUGCAAUACCCCAAGGGCAAAUAGAUCUAUAAAGCAAAUCCUGAAAAAACUCAAGUAUACAUCACUAAUCUUGGAGAAAACCGAAACCCUAACUCAAGAACACGAUUUGGAAGAAAUUAGAAAUCCAAGCCGGAUCCGUGAGAGAUUUAGAAGGGGAUCAUAUCAAAGAUGCUCUCUAAGGUCUUAGCAACAUUUCCGUUCAACCAAUCUCAUGAUAUUCGGGCUCAAACGUGAUGAACGAAAAUUCCCCAAAAAUAGUUCCGAAAAUAGGGAAAAAGAAAAACACUCGGGAAUCAAAGAUUUAGCACAAUUUGAGAUAACAAAUAAAGCUAAAUCACGAGAACAUCUUCUAUACCAGAUGAGGAACUAGCCUCCUCCCUUCAUCCACCCACUAAAGAUAAAGAAAUCAAGAGAAAAGAGUAAUCACUCUCUAAUCUCCCUCUCUCCUCUCACUUGCACAUGACUAGCCUCUAAGCCAAAAGAUAAUGAGUUGCUAAGCAAAAAGGUACUGAAAUAACCAGCCCCCAACCCUAUUUAUAGUCCAGGACGAAAGACUAUACUACCCCUACAGCUACAACUAAGAUAACUACCCACACAGGGGUAUUUUGGUCCAAGUUUUUAUCGGCGCAUCGAACGGACACGCCACCUUCACGACUUUGCUUCACCUCGACGCAAGCUUCGCGAUGACGCCACGUGCCCUCCUUCUCGAAGCUCCGGCCGCCCCGGGCUCGCCCCCGGUUUUGAGGCCCAAACCGGGAAACCUGCCUGUGCGGUGGUUUUGAGGCCCAAACCACCCAAACCGUCCAUCUUCGCUUGGCCGCCACGCGACCUCCUCGAUAUCGACGCGUGUCCGGCCUCCGCCAAGCCUCCCGCUUUACUCGACCGACACCGUCUCCAUCCUGUCAUGCCCUCUCGCCAUUCCGUGCACCAUGUGGACCGGCCAUGACUUCGCCUGGACUCCUCGGGUCCAUCGGUCCAAACCUACUCGCGUUCAUCCUUCACCGCCCUUGGUUCAUCAGCAUGAACCUUUCACUUGACCUUCACCGCACGCCAUCGACCGCCACGUCGCAUCCUACACCUGCACAUCACAAGCCAAGAGCAACAUCAAACCAACAUAACGUUGUCAAUUACUCAUCAUCCAAGGGUGACCACCAUUGGUCCUCAGAGAUAUAUGCUUUAACUGUCUCUAUAUAAUUGAUAUAUAUGGUUAGAUACGUCAUUCUGUGGUAGCACCUCGCGAUCACAAUGUGUGCCUCUAUAUAUGUUGUGCCAAUGCGCAGUCCAUUCGAGGGAGUACCAUAGCGUGGCUGAACUACUACUGAAAAUGAAAGGCCUAGACUCCUGCAACAGCACAGUAUACCCCUAUGUCUACAACCUGACUUCCUCCUACAUCGACCAGAACAAUGAGGCCACCAUGGUGACCACCACCUUGGUCAUGUUUAUGCUGGCCGUGUUCUUCUUCAACCUCAACCUCUUCAGCCGCUUCUCCGACGUGAGCGCAAUUCUCAACCCUAGCGUCCGCCUCUUCCUCUCCACCUCCCUGUCCCUCUUCCUGCCGGUCAUGUCCUACCUCUUCUCCGAGGCCAAGAACCAAGGUGCAACCACGGCUGCUAGUUAUGGCCAGGUCGGCGACGAGCUGUCACUUCGAGCUAGGACGAUCCUCAUGUGGAUGCUUCUUGUGGAGCUCCUCCGCAAGAAGGUGGAGGCCGUCCUGGUCAACGUGGGCAUGCAGUGGUACUCAGGCGCCAUCGAUCGCUUCGCCCGCAUUGUUUGGCUCGGCUACCUCGUCUUCUACAAUGUCAAAAGCCCUGGCAAGAAGGCGAUCUACGGCACCUUAUGGGUCCUCACUGCUGCCAAAUUCCUGCAAAGGGUCGUGGUCAAGAUGGUGCUGGAGCGUUCCUUCGCCUACGGAAGGAACACCCAGCUGCUAAACUCAUACAUGGCCCAGAUCAUCCAACAAGAGCAAGAGGAGCACGUGGGAUCGUCGUCGGAGCUGUUGAAGAAGUGCGAGUACACUGUGAUGGGAGAAGACAACCUGGAGAGGACGGCUGGCCGGCAUGGCUACCAGGUCGAGCUGAACAAGGCAGCCGUUGUCACCGUUGGUGACAUUUGGACGCAGGCAGCAGCCGAGCCGGACAGCCUCCUCCGGAGAGAACACCUCAGAAGACUCUGCCUCUCCUUUGCUCUCUACAAGCUGCUGCGCCGAAGGUUCGAGGACAUUCCCACAACAAGAGAGGAGACCCGGAACUGCCGGAACCUCAUCUUCAAGGGCAUGUUGAAGGAGGAGGCGGAGAAAGGUGCCGAGGUCGCACUGUUCCAAGUUUUCAACGAUGAGACCCAGUUCGUUUGCGAGUACUACCAUUCCGUCCUACCCGUCGUGUUGUCCAACCCUUUCUUCUUCCUAGCCAACUACAUCUUGUUUCCCAUUGUAGUUUGUGCCUUCUGCCUCCUAACAUUCAUCAUUUGUGGCAAUGGGAGCGUGCCCUACGCCUACCACAGCAUCGUAAGUGACAACUACAUCAUAUACACUGGCGCGACGACGCUGGCCAGAUGCCUCCUGAGAAACAUCGCCCAUUCACCCGAGGUGCUGUUCGCCAGCAUCGACCUAGGCACCACCACUCUGCUCAUCCUGGCCUUCGUCUACGAGGAAGUCAUGGAGUUCCUCGUCUUUAUCCUCUCCAAUUGGCUCAUCGUGUCGCUCCUCUGCGAGUACACCGCCAAGCUCCACUGGCGGCAGAGCCGCAUCCUGUGCUGGCUCAUCCGCGGCAUCCUGUGGGUGCGAAGCAUGCUAAGCCACCCUAACUUCUGCUUCAAGCAGCUCUCCGUGCUAGGGUUCUUCCAACUGUCGUCGCCUUCGCCGUUCAUGGUGCCAACCAAGGCAGUGCCAAAGGAAGUAAUGAAGUCAAUCGUGGAUUAUCUGGUGGCUCACUUGGAUGUCUAUGGCAUCGAUGGCCAUGCCGACCCUCUCAAUUCGGCCUGGUCCUCCACACUGCAACUGGAGAAGCACAGGGCAUACCGUCCCCUGCUCUUGCCAGUGUGUGAGAGCAAGAGCAUUGCUGAGUUCAUCCUCACCUGUCACAUUGCCACCGGCCUAAUGGAGGUGAGGUAUCCACAGGACGAAAAGGAAAUGAGAUCUCAUAGCAAGGUGGCGACGACGCUGUCCAAGUACUGCGCCUACUUGGUGGGCUUUUACCCGGGGCUUCUUCCGGACGACAAGAAUGGGACAGAGCACACUUACAAGAAGAUGAAGGAGGACAUGAAUAAGGAGCUUGGAGGGUGCUGGUGGUACCACCUGUCGCUGCAGGGAACCAGGUACAAGAGGCUGAUGGAGAUCGGCAAAUCGAAGCAAAAGGCCGUGACAAUGGUGCACAACGGGGCCAAGUUAGGGACAGCACUGAUCGAGAAGGCCGAGGAGAACAAUGAGGCGCGUGAGCGUGUGUGGGAGCUGCUGAACGACCUUUGGACGGAGGUCAUGGUGUAUGUGGCGCCAUCGGCCGGCGACCUCCACGUGAAGGCCCACAAGGAGGCGCUGGCGCGCGGCGGUGAGUUCAUCACCGUGCUCUGGGUGCUGUGUACGCACACUGGCAUGACCAGGACGGCCCUCGCACCGUGGGAGGUAGCACGUCGUGCGUUUGAACCAUAGAGCAUUCGCUUCCCGUGUGUGCCGAUUUUUCAAGGACAGCUUGCUUGGGAUGGUUCGUCUGACGUGCUUCAUCCUGGUGCUAAAAAAGUCUUCCGGAGCCUCAAAUUUGAACCGGGUACUAAUACUAAUAUUAGUACCGGGUUAAAAUUUGACCGGUACUAAGAGAGUGAAUGAAAUGUCAUUUUUCAAGUAGUGUAUAUUAAAAAUAGAUAUAUAACCACCCCAUGUGAAUGCACGGGAUGAUGCCAGUAAUUCCUAAAGAUAUGCGCUGGGGUGGGGUGCCGGCUUAAAAAGACCGGAAAGAAACGUAGAUAUGGCACACACAUGCUUGAUCUUUGUCGGUGCUUUAACUGUCUCUAUAAAAUUGAUAUGGUUAGAUAUGUUAUUCCGUGUGAAGGACCGAAACGGCGAUCAGAGAGGGGUUGAAUGGGAGCCUCAAAUGUUUCUUUUUAAAACUUAGGCAACAAUCCAAAAACAAACCUCAAAUCAAAACAAGCGGAAGAGGAGAGAUCCACGAGCCACCAAGGUAGCUAGGUGUCUAUGAUAAUGGUUAAAAGACAUAGCGGGACUCUCGAGAAACACCCAGAGCAAAAACUAUGACAAAAAAAGCUCAAGGUAGAGCAAUUCUGUGAGCUCUAGACGGAUGGUCCGCACCCCAGGGGCGGACGGUCAGGCCCAAGCGGACGGUCAGGCCCAAGCGGACAGUCUGCCCUAGGGGGCGGACGGUCUGCCCCUACCACGCAUAAUUCCUUGAAAACGUUGCACGAGCACAAAAACGCCCAAAACUUGAUCGGAUCAAGUCCAAAUGUAACUAAAAUUGAACCAAAGUAUCUCAAGGUAGUAAAGAAGCUACUCCUAAGAAAUCAUCCCUCUAAGAAAUCAUCCCUCAAAGAUUUUUCAAUGAAUGGGAAACAUCAAAUCAUGUUAAGAACGCCACUUUUUCAACCCUGAAACUUGAAUUGGCCCGAUCUAUGAACUCGUGUGGUUUCAAUCGAAUUCCUUCGCUGGAAGGGAUCAACUCACAUCCUAGUUCAUUUCAAAUCCAUUGGUUUGACUCAAAACCCCACAAAAAUCACAAAUCAAACAAAACCGUGAGAGGAGUGAAGAAGAAAAUAAGAACGUGAAGAACACAAAUGGGAAUUGCACAAAGAGAUCAUCUCCAAAAUCCCAGAGGACACGAGGAGGUCAGGGCCUCCAUUCCCGCAACAAAACUUCGGUUCACUACACGGAUUCAGUGUUCAAAUCAUCCGAGCACAUCUAGAGAGAUUAGAGAGGGAGAGGAACUAACUCUAAUCUAAGGAUAAUGAAGCACUAAGCUAGAGAUGAAGGAGAUGCUAAUGAAGUGCUCAAGAGGUCCUGAAACAACCAGCUCCCAUCUCUAUCUAUAGUACAAGACUAGUCACUAAAUUAACCCUAACACUACUACUAGGAUAACUACCCACGCAGGAGUAUUUUGGUCCAAGUUUUUCUGUUCUCAUCGGACGGACACGCCGCCUUCACGACUUUGCUUUGCCUCGACGCAACCUUCGCGAUGGUGCCACAUGUCCUCCUUCUCGAAGCUCUAGCCACACUGGGCUCGCCUCUAGUUUUGAGGCCAAAACCGGCAAACCUAUCUGCACGUUGGUUUUGAGGCCCAAACCACCCAAACCGUCCAUCUUGUCUUGGCCGCCACGCGACCUCCUCGAUGUCGACGCAUGUCCGGCCUCCGCCAAGCCUCCCGCUUGACUCAACCAACACCGUCUCCAUCCAGCCAUGUUCUCCCGCCGUUUAGUGCACCAUAUGGACCGCCCAGGACUCCGCCCGAACUCCUCGGGUCCAUCGGUCCAAGCCUACUCGCGUUCAUCCUUCACCGCCCUUGGUCCAUCGGCAUGAACCUUUUACUUGACCUUCUCCUCACGCCAUCGGCCGCCACACCGCAUCCAACACCUGCAUGUCAUAGACCAAGAGCAACAUCAUUCCUACACAACGUUGUCAAUCACUCAUCAUCCAAGGGUGACCACCAUUGGUCCUCAAUCUCCCCCUUGAUGAGUGUAUUGACAACACCCAACACAAAUUCAUAGUUCAAAGAGAAAGAAAAAAAGAAACUCAAACCACGAAGUCUUAGUCCCCUAAGACAAGGACAAUGACUCUACACAACUGAGACAAGAAAACACAUGAUCCUUCAAGAAGAGGCAGAAAUGGCUCAACACCAAUCAUGUGAAGAUCACAAGCUCAAAUCACACACCGGCUCCACAAGAAGAGGUAAAAAGCUCAACACGACCAGUAAAAGAGCAAAUCAACCAAAGGAUCCUCAAGAAGAGGUAAACAGCUCAACGCGACCGGCAAAAAGAGCACACGAGCAUAAAAGCUCACACAUACUCCCCCUAAACAAAUGCACUCCCCUGAAAAUAUGCAAUUUCUCACCAAAUGAAUUUGUAUAAUAGCCCACACGAGCAUAAAAACUAACACAUACUCCCCCUUAACAAAUGCACUCCCCUUGAAAACAUGCAAUUUCUCCCCAAAUGAAUUUGUAUAAAAGCCUCCCCCUUUGAAAGUCUCCCCCUUGUUGACAAUGCAAACAUCAAGAGUAGCAAGAGAACACAGAAAUGCAUAUCAUGAGAUGCCGAAUCUACCAAGGUAAACAAAUACACCACACAACACUCACAAAGGCUACGAGUUCAUCCAAUGACAGGUAGAUCAUAGAAAGUAGUUGCAUCGCCAUCAAGAGGAUAUUAUGAUAUAAGCAUAAGGCAUAGCAUAUGUCUAGUUUUAGGAAUUUGCAAAAAGAAGAUACAAGCAGGAAAGAACUAAUCCAUCAAAGCUCAUACAAGGAAGAUACAUUCUCAGCAAGAGAUCAUUGCAAACACCCACAUAUACAUCACAAGUCAUGUCAAAGCUUGUUGAAACCAUGUACUUACUUUUGUUUAGCAGACAUCAUAUAACAACUAAGCAAUCAAAAGCUCUCAAAAGCUCGAAGGUCAUCUACCACUGACAUAGAUGCAGCCUGGAGGUUGAAGAUGAGGACUUUUCACUUUAGCCCUCGAAGAAAAAGGAAAUCCUAAUCUAAAAGUGUGUCUUGUAGGUUUCAUGAAAAAGUUUUCAGAAAGUUUAGAUUAUCGCGGUCCAAUCUGUCUUUAAGCUUUUGCGCGUUAGCCCUCAAGUUUCUAUACAAAAUUAGGUUUGUGCCAUCGGUUUCUCGCAUUUUAGCACUUGGAAGCUUCUAACCCUCGCCAGCAAGUCCUUAUAUCUUCUUUAAGUUGGGGGUAGCUGAGAGUAGAGGGGAGAGGGAGAGGGCGGUGGCGGGAGAGGGAGGGGGCGGCGGCAAGAGAGGAAGGGGAGAGAGACGGACGGUGUGUGGGGGGAUGGGGGAGCGGAUAAGGAGAGGCCGGUGCGCAAGGUGGGUGUUGGGUCUUUAGUACCGGGUGGCAUUUAGUACUGGAUGGAGACUCCACCCAGUACUAAAAGCACUCGGUUCCAUCUAUGAGCAUAUCUAGAUGACAGGGAAGCACUUACCCUGCUUGGCUAACCACUGCCUUGGUGACAAGGCAUACCUAAGUACCCACAGCUAAACCUUAUUGCCUGAAGGUCAUCGCAUCUGUCAAAUUUCAGUGAGUUAAAAUUUGACAUGCCAUAAGUAGGAUUAAGCAGCCUGUUUUAAGCGGCUAGCUAGUAGUACCCACUUGGUUUUUUAUUGGUUAUGGAAGUCCUCUUGUCAGCACAAACAUAAAGUUUUCUUUGUUGCUGCUCAAGGACAGGUUAGGCAUCGUGAAUCUACUUUGAAGAAGAAACAUGGAUCUUCCAUCAUACGACUGUGUUUUGCUCUCAUGCAAUUGACGAAUCCUUGAUUCAUCUCUUUAGUUCCUUGGUUGCCCCUUUGCACACUGCUAGGGAAAGUUUCUUCAGUACUGGUUCGUAACCCACCUUUAGGAACGGUUGUGCAACCAGUAUUGCUAGUUCAGUACUAAAGGGGGGCCUUUAGUACCGAGUCAAAUAACCGGUACUAAAGGAGGGCCUUUAGUAGUAGUUGUUUAUACCAACUGGUACUAAAUUGGGUGCCACAUCGCACGUGCUAGAGACCAAUUUAGUAUACCAACCGUUACUAAAUGCUUUUUUUCUAUUUUUUUCCUUCCCAUUUUCUUUUUUGUUUCUUUGUUCUAUAUUGGUAUUAUUUCCUUUACACGUGUACUAGUUAUAAUAUGCUAAUAUAUAUCUAUAACAUUACAUUUGAGAUCUUAGAGGGAACCACUUCUGAUAAUAGUUCAAAUACAUAAGAGAAGUCAUUACUUAAGUUCGUACAUCAUUACUUAAGCUCUAGAGAAAGGUUCAGACACAUGAGGAAAGGGUACAUCCAUGCAUGAUACAUAUUUCAUUCUCCGAAAUGCUUCCUUAGAUAUGAAACAUAGUUUAUGUCUCCAAUCUUAAGUCUAGAACUUCAUCAAUAUAAGCUAGAGCAUGAAUUAGUGCACUCUCUAGCACUUCAGAAUGACGGUCACAUGAACUACCAUUAAUCUCGAACAAUGGAGGCAUUGUCACUUGAAAUGGCCUGUAGAAAGCGAGAUGAGCCUAGAGCUUCAAAUCUCUGGUAUCGGGUUUCCAUCACUGUAACUAUAAUUCAACACUUCCAAGGCUUGCUCCAGAAUCACCUGAAAACUCAUUGCCACAGAGGUUUUAUGAAAGAUAUCCUAAAAGAAGAGAAUAAAGUGAUGAAAUAUAAAAGAUGUAACAUAAUUAAAGAUAAAAGGAUGAUUAGAUAUAUAUUCCAGACCAUAUCGUGUUGAUUCUGCUGACAUAGCCUCUUAGCAGUUCUAGUCAUAUUGCUUUCUCCCUCCUCAAGCGCCUUUAUUUUGAAAUAUGAGAAGUUUGGCACAAAGUACCCAUGAUCCUUAAGUUGUUGCAGGCAUGCCUCCACAGUGGUCCUUUCAAAAGUUGUCACACCUGGUUUAAAAAAAAACCAAGUGCUGCCUAUAUGUAUGUCAGGAUCAAGUUUCAUAUAUAUAGUGGCAUCAUUAGUGUAUAACAGCAACAGUAUCACGUAAAAAGAUACAAAUAAAGACUUACGAGACUAUCAGAGAUACACAUCUUAAACCCUGGAAACAGAGGCUACAAACUUCACAAGCAAUCGACUAGGGGUUGCGUACGCCUAGAACUCAGCACCAUCUUCAUAACAAACUUGAUAGCAGCUUCUUCUUCUAAGCAACGUUGGUUAUAUCAAGGGUGAGCACAUGUCGUACUCAACAAGUGUGCGGAAAAUAUGAAUGCAAGGCUUAAUCAAGGAAAGGCUGACUGGUUGACAGCAUUAAGCAUUUUUAGUUGGUCAAAUUUUAUCAGCACCUGAUUACUAAGGUAUAAGUAUAUACCAACCCACAAUUAACAUAAGCAUAAGCUAUAAGCAUAUGGCACAACCAUAACCACGAUUUAAGUCCAUGCUCAAGCGUAUUAAUCAUGUGCGGGUCCAGGCCGUUCUUAACCGUGAGCACGGCUGAUCGAUCUGUUUUACACUAUGCAGAGGUUGCACAUCUUUACCCACAAGUCGAGUAAAAUUUUAGAAGACCUUUGGACCCAACCAUGUUGUGCAGAUCAGGCACUCAUCACACUACUGAUGUGUGACUGCAUAGGGACGCUACGAGGCUUUUACAAAGAUUUGUUAGUAAGUGGUAACCUGCUAAGGUUUCGGUAUCUGACGUGCAUAAACCUCCCUAGUGGGUAUAGUAUCUUAGAGAAGCCCACUUCCCAAGAGGAAGUGGUUAUACAAUGACUUAGUGCCCCCUCUUGCCCCUUUCAGGUAAGAUUACCCCAAACUAGAGUUUCUAAUUAAUUAGCUAAGAUGAGAGCCAUGAUAGUUCUUGUGGUUGCACUAUUUUCCUUGGUGGUUCUCCAUGUUUCCAUUAAACAUAAUGAUCUUAUCUUAGUGAAAGGUAUAGCAUAAAUAAAACAGGUUUAAUCAUUGAUUUCAUUAGAACCACCACAUCCCAAGUAAAGCAGCUGAGCAUAGCUACCCAAUAGAGAGAUAAACCCAGGUUGACAAGGGAUGAUCAUAAAAACUAGGCAAACCUUAAUAGGACCCAUCAAAUUAAAUACAAGCAUAUGCAACCGUGAUUAAAUAAAGUUAUUGGGAUAAAAGCACAAGGACACACUUGCCUUUCUCCAACGAAAAAUUUCUCUUACUACUCUUCAGCUCUUGCUCUCUUGAAACUCUGAAUUUUCAAAUCUUGCGAACAGCAAUCCUUCUACUUGAAGCAAUCAUCGGCACAAACAAACAAGCAAACAAAUAAGUACAACUAAGAACAACACACCAGUCAAAGAAAAAGCUUUAAAAGAGCGUAAUAAAGGAUAAGGCUUGAUUUUAAGAUUACGCAAAUGUGAAAAACGCUGAGAACGGAACUAUGGUUGAAAAGAUAAGGCUAUCCAGAGAUUUGAAUUCUAAAAGAAAAGACAAGAGCUACAUGCUGCAUUUAUUUUACUUGAGAAAAACAACGUAAAGAUAUUUUAGAGAAAUAUCCCUAGUUAGAAUUAAUAAAGUCGUAUUUAUAUUUACAUAUGAAAAGAUGAUGUAAAACUUAGUCCAAUUUUAUUUAUAAAUAUUACAUUUUAUGCAAACCAAACAUUUAAUUUAAAAAUAAGGUACAUGUAAACAUCUAAGCACAUAGCUUUAUGAUUCGGGUUGAACUAACCAAAUUAAAAUUUAAAAACAUAUUUAUAUUCAUAUUAGUCGAAUUAACAUUUAAUUAUGAAAACUUGAGAUAUAACCUAUGUAACAUUUAAUUGAAUAAACAUUAAUCAAAUUGAAUUUAAUUUAUGAAAAGCUGAGGUAUAUUUCUAAUUGGCUUUUAAUUGGAAGAAUUAUUUAGAUAAGCGUUACUCAAAUUAACUUCAGUUUAUGAAAGAUCGAUAUAUAACCUAAUAUGCUUUUAUUUAGGAAAGUAUAUGAAGUAGGUAUUAAUCAAAUUGAUGUUUAUUAUGAAAAGCGGUGUAUAACUCUGAGUAGAUUUUAUUUAGAGAAGAAACACGCUUAUCAGGCAUUAAUCAAUUUAAUAUCAAAUUUAUUUUCAAAAAAUUUAUGAAGGCAAACAUAAUGACUAACGUGUAAUUUAUGUUGUUAUGAAUCUAACGCAACUUGAACUGAUUAAAAUAUAGAACCUAUGAGCUAAACAAGGUUGCAAGAAUCUAGUCGUAAUUAACCAUAUACCUCAGGGGUUAGCAAGGAAUAUUUGUGAGACACAAAUAAUAGUGCUCCCAAAUAGAUUUAUGCUCAGGGAUAGAUAUUCAAACGAGGAUGGUUUGGGCUCGGUUGCAGGGACCUAUCUUCCCUAGGGGGUUAUUUGUAGAUUGCCUAGACACAAAGAUCGUUUGAGAAAUUACCAAGUCCUUUAUGGGUCAAACAGCAAAAGUGCCACCUCAUCUUCAACCUCCAACCGAUUUUUGCAUCAGCCCAUGGCCAAGCCGGUCCUGCCGAUGGUGGCGACCGGGGCCAGGGCAACUCGCGCGGCUGUGGUGUGGCUAUGCUGCCCAGUCGGUGACACUCGGCGUGCAAGCCAGGGGUACAGGAUACAGGCGUUGAUCGAAGGCUCAGGAUCCAAGCGAUGGGGCCCCUCUGGCGACGAAACUGGGAUGGCGAACGGCGGUGGGUGCACAUCUAGGCGUCGCAAAGCUCAUGGCGUCCUCCUCUGCUCAGACGGGCGAUGGUCGCGAUGAAUUGGUCGGUCAAGAGAGCGAACGAUGACCUGCUCAUUACUUCUCGUGGUGACGGGGCUCCAGUGACAAUUGGACGGCGGGAAGAGGUAGCGGGCAUGCAGCCUGGCAACGUGGAGCUUGUCCCGGUGACGGACUUCGCUGACGACGCCCAGGUCCGGAGAAUCAGCGGUGGCGCUCAGCUCUCCGACAGGUGCUUGCGGGUGGCGGAGAUUUGGCCGACGCUGGGUGGCAGAGCAAAGGACCAGCAGGCGGCGCAAGGAGGGCGCUCUCCCUUUAUAGGGUUGCAUGGAACCCUAGUGGCGCGCACACCGAGUGAGGCCGGUGGUGCCAUCGGCCUUGCUUGGCCUGGGAGGCACGGGCCGCGAUGGACAGAGAUGACGAAAACAGGCGCACCUUCAAUGCGUCUUGUGUGCCUGCUUCACCACACUAGAUGAUGAACCUGUUUAUGUGCUCCACUGUAGAAGUAUCAUCUUGGCCCGAGAACUUGGUGAAGUCAGGCUCCUUAUAGCGGUGUGGGAACGGUAGCAGAUCGUACGCUGGUGGAUAUGGCAUUCUGUACAUGUACGUCUGCACCUUUGGCUUGAGCCCAAAUUGAUCUUGCAUCACUUUGGCUAUCUUGGAAGUCCAAUCAACCUGCUGCGAUUGUUGUCUGGCUUGCGGCAGGAUGAUGGGUUGCAUAGGUUGCGCCUGGUAGUGGAUGGCCGACGGGAUCACUUGCUGAGCGAUCGACAUUGGCUGUAGUGGUGUAGACGGAAUGAUCGGCCGAGGGGCCGAUAUCUGACGCUGGUAUGGGUUCUCCUGGUGAGGUAUGUUAAUAACCCCAUCAUACACGACUCCCGAGGACUCAGCCUUGUACGGACUUGUAGAAUUCACCUUCUGAUUGGCCUCCGGCGCGGCCUGCUGUGUCAUCGGCUGAAGGGCCGAUGCUGAUGGACUCUGAUGUAUCAUCGGCUGGGAAACCGAUGUAGAGGUGCUCUACUGGUACUGCUGGAUCAUCGGCUGAGAAGCCAAUGGUGUUGACAUCUGUGUAGGAUCCCUUGAUGCUAUGGUGAAAGAUCCAGGUGGCAUCUCGUAGCCUGUGGUUGGGUCCCAUCCCAGCGACGAUCCUGCUGCCUCCCAUGGCACCGAUGAUGUCAACAGCGGCUGCAUUGGAGGAACAGGUGUAGGCUAAAGUGGUGCUUGUGAUGGAGAAGGUGGUGAACCACCGUAGCCCAAGGGCGGUGUAGCGUUGUAUCGUCCACUUUGCAUCUGCAUCAGCUGAGGAGCCGAUUGAAACACAUCGGGUGUCGCCGAAAGGCUUCCGAUCGGUGCACUGAUAGGAGGAGCGUAGACUGGCCUGCAGUACCCCUGGGCCACGCCAUUGGCCAUAGAGCUGAUGAUCGUGUUAUACAUGGUGUUAUUAAUCACUUUGGAUUGGUCAAUGAGAGCUUGGCUCACAGACUGGUGGAUCAUCUCGGACAUCUUCCCCGAGUCCUCAGCGAUGGUGACGUGACGAGGACUUGGGAGAGUGUUUUUCUUAAUGGGUUCGCCGUUCCUGGUACGGCUGUAGGACUAGAGGAAUGCCUUCUUGAACUCUUCAAUGGCCUUCACCAUCUCAGCCCUAUAGUCAUCCUUGAGAUCUGCCUCGGUGACUCCAAUGACGUUGUCAUCUGAAACUUUUGCAACCUUUCCCUUAGUCAUGUUGGAUCUUCAUUCUUGCUCCCACCGGGCGUGCCAAAAGUGUGUUGGUGCAAAAAUUGAAUAGUGGGCCCGAUCCUCGCGUCAAACACACGACCCAGGAGAAUCUUCUUAGCUCCUGUUUGGGUUAUUGCCCUGGUGCGGUUCGCGCGGCGUGCCAGUCAAUCUGACUUGUUGAUUGACAAGGAAGAACAUGUGUCAGAUAACGAGAGUCGAUUGGCUAGUGUUCCGAUCUGCUCUAAAGACGUAUCGGCAGAGUGGCCGAUAGGGUAAAGAGACGAUUGGCCAAGAGAUCGGCCGAUAGUCAUGUAGCAAACUGUAAAGGAAACUGUGAAAAGCGAGCUAAACAGCGCUACGUGAACAACACCUGGAAUAGAUCUAAUUGGCUGUAGCACAAUAAAUUGAUAUGAAAAGUAAGGUAAAAGUCGAUCGGACGUGUUCUAAGCUAGAUAACUAGUGAUAAAAACUAAAACAAUAGGAAAACCUAUAAUUCUAGCAAGUAUCGAUAACUGGUGAAUAAAUCUAAACCAGACGAUAGCGAUGCGCCCGAAGUCAAAGCUUAGAUGUUACUCGAGAAGAAGAACUUAUGUUUUGGCUGGAGAUCGAGUUGAUGCAGUCCUGCCAAUUCGCACGAACUCGUGAAAAAAGAAAAGAACUUAGCGAAGUCGCCGACUUGAAAGUAAAUGCGUGAAAUAGUAGAUUUGUAUUGAUUUGAUGUGUGGUUUUUUACAAGCCCCUCGGGGCACCUAUUUAUAGCCUAUUACAAUACACCUCCUGGUCGAUCAUGACUUGACUCUAUCUCUAAUUUAAAGUAAUGAAUCUUGAAUCUUUACAUACAAAUUUGACUCGCAUCGGAGUCGAACUCCACCUAGGCCUUCACGGGCCUAUCCUGCUUCUAUCCUCCAAGCGGCCUCCUUGGCCCAUUCAAGCCCUUAUCGACGCAUCGGCCGAAUCACUUUGGCCACCAUCGGCCGAUCCUUACUGAUGCUAUCGGCCAUCACAUAUGGCUCCUAUUGGUCAAAUCCUUUAACCAUUGCUUCUCAUUCAAUUUCAUCGGCCAUUUCCCUUUCUUCUUGACGCCGAGCCAGCAUGUGUCAAAAACCGGCGUCAACAGUUGUAUUCUUAGUUGCCGAGUGUUUUUUUACUGCACUCGGCACAGAUGUUUUUUGCGGAGUACAAUAUGUUUGCCGAGUGCUGCUCUCGAAGCAAUGCACUCGGCAAACCCCUAGGCACUCAGCAUAUAUAUUGUUUCCGGUAGUGCUGUAAUAGGACCUGUUUUCUUUAUUUCCUUUUAAUUUGUUUCUUGAGCUGUACUUGUUACUUCUCUUCUUCCUUUAUAUAUAUAUAUAUAUAUAUAUAUAUAUAUAUAUAUAUAUAUAUAUAUAUAUAUAUAAAAGCAGGAGGGGAUUACCCCUCCUGUAAAACUGGCUGCUUUGGCAGCUCUCGUACGAAUACAGAUUUCAGGUUGGUGUCUCGGCGCCGUUGUUUCGUCGAAAAAAAAAAUCUUGAAUGAGGGACACGGUUUGCCGAUGAAUACUGCUGAAAUCAACAAGCUGGCCAAGAGCUUUAAAAAGUGGUUGACUGUUGAAAGCUAAAGAAACAAAGCGCACUCAGUCAAAGACACAACUUCCACAAAUUAAACAUGAGCGCGAAGCAGUUCAUCACGAUGGAGACACACGACUGUGCGGACAUGAAGCUGUUGAUGCAUGCGGUCUCCUGAUCAAGUACCAGAAGGUGAUGUACCAUUACCUGCUACUGCUGGCGGAGGAGAUGGUGCCGGCGGAGGGUUCUGCCAUGAGACCUUGUACUCCAAAUCUUCUUCCGUCUUGCAAGCGACCUCGCCGCCGUCAGGGAUGCUUGGAUAGCUGCGGAGGAAGGUAACCGGCCAGCAAUAAUAGGUCUUGUUGAUGCUCUUCUCCGAUAGCGCUGGCUUGUAGGUGGUCUCCACCACCACCAUUACGGGGAAGCCGAGGCUUCGGUCGACGAGGUGCCUGUCGUAGAGGUAGUACAGCGAUGCAUUUUGUCCUUGCUGUGUGAGGCUUAUCCACCUUCUGUAUCUGUGCGAGCUGUGCGGCUGCAGCUCGAAGCUGACAUUCCUCUCCGGAUCCGGCUUGAACCAGGAGAGCUCCACCAUCUCCACGAAGGACGCAUUGGGGAUGUCCAUGAUCCUGACGAUGUUGAUGUUGCCCUGGAUCUGGCCGCGGCCGCUGGGGUUGAGGGCGUGGAUGAUGAUCAACAUCUGCACCUCUUUCGCUGGCUCGUACACACGCGUGGUGUUGUUAUAAUUCCACCACCAUUCUAUUGUCUGGACAUAGCCGUAGCUCUGGAAGCCCAUCUCCACAGGGCGGUGGACGAAGACGAUCACCAUCACCACCACUGCAACGGCGAGCACGGAGACCACAAUGGCCACCAGUGAGCGCACCGUGGCUAGGAAGGGGAAUGUAGUGUUCUCGCCAGCGCGGCAUGCUGCCAUUUUUUCUGUGUCGGUUCACGUAGGUAGGGUGGAUGGACUUGUCCAGGGACCUGCCAUAUAUACCCAUAAACUACUGUCCGAAUGUCCAUUCCCUUUGAUUAGAUGACUCAGAUUAAUUAUGACUUUGCUAAUGGCCGAAGCUAGCUAAUUGUUACUUUCUCUGUCCCAAAUUAUUAGUCCCACAUUUUUUUUCUAGAUAUAUAUUUUUUACCUAUGUAUCUAGAUGCGUAAUAAAAAACUAUGUAUUUAGGAAAGUCAAAAUGAUUAAUAAUUUGGGAGAUGACUAAAAUUAGCACUACGCUGUUUGGAUAGUACAUGGGCUAAUAGCUCUGGCAAACUUAUUUAUUCUGCACUUGGUUUCUACUGCUCCAGCUUGAUUUUGCGUGCGUGCGGGAAACGGAUUAGGUGGAACAGUUAGGGGUGUUUUUAUAUUUCUUGAUAUGAUGGUUGCUAUUAGCCCCAACUAGCUAUGUUUGGCCAGCUAAUAAAUGGGCUACUGGUUAACAGUGGACUUUGGCUAACAAUUAGGCCGCCUAUUAACCUCUCAUGUUAGGAUCAGCCAUGGCUAAGUUUUGCACACACACAUGUACACACACCAAUCUUCAAAAUUUCAGCCGAACUCCACCAUCUCCAACAGAGUUUUGGAAUUUUGGAACCAGCAGAACUCCACCAUCUCCAACAGAGUUUUGGUGGUACUAAUAUUUUUUUAGAUUAAGGAAAAUCAUCCGGCCUCGGUCAUCCACGAGUGAAUGCAUGCCUAUAGCCAAACUUACACGAUCUUAACAGAAACUUAGCGCUUUGGCUGCUCUAGAAGUACUCACUACUAGAAAUACAACCUCUCGUCUAGUGGUGGCGGGGGUGGCGGCGGAAGGGGGUGGCGGGGUGGCGGAGGAGGAGGGCCGGGGCAGCAAGGUGCGUGGCAGUGGAGGGGGCCUAGGCCGGCUGGGUGGCGGCGGAGGGGUGGCGGAGUGGGCUGGGGCUAGUGGGGAGGGGCAGCUGCAACAAAUGAGCUCAAAUUAAACCUCAUUAAGGUCAAGUGGAACCAUUAGAGCCUAAUGGAACCUUUGAACAACAACACAUCCAAGUAAAAAGACACUUUUGACCCUCACAAGCUAAACUAGUAUUUGAGCCAUAACUCGAAUUUUUGUUUAAGAACAUCAAAAUCUGUCCAACUAAGAGUUGUAGAACUCAUAUUCACUAGCAGCUUUAGUAUUUAACAUUUGCUUUGAAUCUGAACAUAAAGCAUUCAAAAACUCGAUUUUCAAUUCUGUGCCGAUUUGUGCAAAACGUGAAAAACCCAAACUUUGGAGCCCUUUUUCUCUCAUUUUCAUAUGUAAUAUAAAGCCAAACCUUUUACAAAAGUUUUAGAACUACGAGCCAUGAACAAUUUUGAUUAAAAGAGUUAGGCCAAAAUCUACACAAAAGGGUUUCGAAAAUGCAGUCAAACAUAGCCAAAUCGGUCAACCGGCGCGAAACUGAAAUCUCGUCUAAAGUCUGAAAUUCCAGACUUUUCGCUGAACUUUGACUCGAUUUAUCUUCAAAUCCGUUUGAGAUCUGAACCAAAACCUUUUGUAAAGUUUUAAGUCGAGUCGUAGAUCUACAAGUUUGACAAAGGGAUAUUUGAAUGUUUAGUUCAGAAAUUUUGAAGAAAUCGCCCUCAAAUCUGGCCCUUUCCCUGCCCUUUCCUUGUCUCGCGGUAGACUCGCCAGAACGCGACGCGACGCGCGUCACGCCUAACGGCCACCACGUGGCGUGCCUUCCCCGGCAAGCCAGCUUGCCGCUGCCCAACCGGCACAACUUCAAGACAAAACAGAGCGCCGUCCUAGCCAACCGCCCGCCGAGGCCAUCUCCCACCCCUGCCCGCGAUCCCGACCAACCCCUAGGCGUGCGCCACGUCAUGGCCACCCGUUGGUCAAGCCGCCUCUGCCAAUCCAUCGCCAGACAACGACUACACGAGCGCCUCGCUCCGCCAACUGUUGGUCGCGGAAAAGCCGCGCUUGCGCGCUCCAUAUCGCGCCGGCCCAAUACGGGCGAGAUUGCAUCCCACGACCUCCGCCCCGUGCGCCAAUGGCGUUGCCGCCCCAUCUCCAGGCGUCAGCGCACCACCUCGCCCUCUGGCCCCAGCCUCCAGCGCCUCAAGCCUCGCCUCGUCGCUCCGCUCCCGCCCUGGCCCCAUAAAGGGACCAGCGCCCCCGCCGGAGCCCCUUCUUCCCGCGCCACAACCUUCGCCGCCCCUGUUCCACUGCGCCGCCACCGAGCUCCAAGUGAACCCCCUGCUCCGCUGCUCCCCGCCCCUCGCCACCGCCACAGCCAGCUUCGUUGCACCCCGCGGAGCUCCCAAGCCCGCUCGUUGGACUCCCGAAGCCGCCGGAGCACCGAAACGCCGUCCGCACCACCAUCGCCGAGCCCGAGUCGCCGCCGUCCGCGUUCCACCCCGGUGAGGUUUCCCCCAAUGCCCGAGACCUCUCCAAUCAACUCACGUUGAGCUUAAGCUCCUCCUGACCCAUCCUUAGCCCAAAGACGCCGGCGCAUCGCUAGGAUUCCAAUCGCCGCCGCCGUGCGCACUGUGGGGACAACAUUGCGUCUCCCCCGUUCUUUCCAGGGUCUCCCGUGCAAAGUGCAGGGGCCCAUUCGUAAUAAGUGAAAAACCCGAGGGCUUUAAUCAUGAGUUUGCACGGGAAAAGUCAGCCGAGGGCAUAUAUGUGAAGUGGAAGGGUAUGGUUGUGAAUAAAAGAAAGUCAGAAGGGCCUAUAUGCAAAUGUGUUUCGGUUAAUUAAUAAAAAUUGGCAGAAAAUAGGAGAAACAUUGUAAAUGCACCAAAAAUUGUAGAAACCUCAGAAAACUUCCAAACAAAAUUUGAUGGACUCAGUGAACUGUCUACUUUUAUAGAAAAAUAAUUUUGCACCUGUCACUGUAGAUAUUUUGCAGUUAUGAAUUAAUCCUUGCAUGUGCUAAUUAAUUCACCAUAAAUCACAGAAAAAUGCUAAAAGGGUAAAACCAACUCUGUGAGGAGCACAGCCUAGCCUUUGAAGUCCCUGUUUUUCUUUAUUAAGUGAAAUCUGCACUAGAAUCUUUCUUUUUGCACAGUAAUUAAUCCAGAGAUGAGAAAACUGUGAAACUAGUUGGGUUGGUUCUGUUUUGGAGUAUAGUUUGCAGGAAAAAUAAAGCCCCUUACCAGAAACAGAAGGGAAAACCUUUUUCUUUUUAGAGAAAGAUAACUAAGGAUAAUAUAUGGAAAAUAGAUCUCCUUGUCUGAUAAUUAUGAAGAAUUCACCAAAUCAUGUAAGCCAUUCUUGGAACACCCUGGUAAAGUUUCAUGACCAGAGCAUCUGUAAAUUGCAAGAUAAAAAUUAUUAAGCCCUUUCUACCUUAGGGUGAGAAGGAGCUUUUAAUUAAUUUUGUAUAUCCUUAGUGAACCUCAACUUUUUACAGUAGCCCAGCAGUGACAAGGUUAGGGUGCUGGUGAAGUUUCACCCUCUUUCGUCGCUGUUUGGUUGGUUAAUUAAAAUUUGGAAGAUGAACCGGUUAAAGGAAAUAAAGAAAAGCCUUAAUUAAAGAAAAGAAGAGAUAAGGUAUAUUGGAAGAGGUACAGAAAAACAUUUAGAAACAGGAUAGUUUUCCGAUCUUAAAUAACUAAUAAGUUAAUAAAUGUGUACACAAUCACCAUAUUGAAGCCGAGGGUUUUAAUGGUAUAAGCUUGCUUUCUACGCCAAGUGAGCUGUCUGUGAUGAUCUAGUGUUAACCAGUGUGCAAUCAAGUUUACUUCAUAAUAAUGCACGAAAUGUCAUCCAGACUCUUGAAUACAAGUUUUCAUAUCCUUGCAUUGCAUCCCGUAGAGCUGAACGUUGCUGACGAGAUGUACGAGCUACACCUGGCGACCGAGGACGACAUUGCCGCAGAGCUACACCACGCCGAGGUUGAGCCCGUGACCGAGCAAGCCGAAGACCCGCCUGCUAACCCCGAGUUUGAAGGCAAGCCCCGGAGCAUAAAUUCCUAUGUUUUAACUACUUGCAAUCUACUUGAUUAUCUUGCUUGUGCAUUUACAUUUUCUAGGAGUUGCAAUGAAACCUUAAAUGCAUAAAGUUAGUACCCUUGAUCUGAACACUAGUAUGGUAGGCUGAGUAGUUGCAAUGCUUAAUAGGACUCGGUAAAAGUCGAGUGACUUCCUGUCACUCACGAGUUAUAGGAGUUGAUUGCUUCCUUUUUGCAAUAAGGAUGAUGGACGGGACAGGGCUAUUUGCAUUAUUUUGGUGGUUGGUAGAUUGCCCCAUCUAUCUAAAUUAAAAUGGACUAAGGUUGAGAUGUGAUAGUGUUCGUGAUCAAGUGUUUAAAAAUAUUAAUCUCAUACCUAGUAUGGGAUAGGGAAGCCUAGUACCUGAUUGAACCGGGGUGGACCUUUCCCCCGCUCUCCCUGGAACGUAGUUCCCAUGGUGCAUCAUGUGGGUACAAGUGCAGCCUCGAUACGGCGGAGUCCGGGACCGUUGGGGCAUUGUAUGCCAAGGGAAGUGGGAUCUGGAUAAAUGCCGUGAAUUGAUGGGGACGGCAUGAUAUAUGUGAACCUGUUGGGUAGUAGCAUAUGUCGUGGCAUUAGGUUCACCAUGCAUGGUUAAGAAAUUCAAAUUGAUUCAUCUGCCUCUCACAGUUUGGGACUACUUGAUCGCUAUGCUACAUUGAGUAAGAAUGGAAGAUGAUAAUGUUAAUAUUGAUGCUUGCUAUUAAUUGUUUGGAAAACCUUGCUUGCUUAGUAUAGUGCUAAUGUAGACUGGAUAAUGAACUUAGAAUUUGUGGCUAAAACAUUGAAAGUAAGGACCUACACUAGUCGCUUUUGGCAAAAACAAACCCCUCUAGCCAAUAAGCUUGCAUGUCUAGGUGUUGGUGGAGUAGAUACCACCCGUUGGGUAAGUCUUGUUGAGCGUAGUCGCUCAGCCUUGCUUGUGGCAUAUCUUUUCUGGAAUUGAUAUUGAUGAGUUCGCUGCAAGUGUUACUUGGCCUACCCAACUCCCUCCAGGUUGGACGGUCGAGUGGGAUCCCUCCUCGAACGGCGAGGAAAGGGGUGAUUGAUGUCGUGAUUAGCUUCGUCAUGAUAUCCUGCAUCGAUGUCUAGUUAUUGUUCGUUUUAAAUUUCACUGCUUGAACACUCUCCAACUUUAUGUUUGAAUUUCGAACUCUGUUGUUGUAAUAAAUCAAUGCACUUGUUUUAAUUUGAAUGGAUUGUUGUAAUCUCUGUAACCGCUCACCUUCGUGUGAGUUGCUUUUCUCGAUCCUGUCAUGUGGUUUUAUCGAAAUGAAUCCGACGGACGACCGAGUUGACUUGCUUAAAACACAUGAUCGCGUAUUAGGAGACUUAAGUGUGUUUUAGUUGGGUUAAUCCGGGCAGUUCCGCCACAGCAGCAGGUUGGCGGCAGAGGGGGAUGGGGUCGGCGGGGUGGCCGUCGGCAGAGGGGGGCAGGGUCGGCAGGGGAUUUUCAUUUUCUUUAUUUUUUAACACCCUCUAGUACCGAUUAUUCCAAACUUUACUAGAGGACCCCCCUCUAGUACCAAUUGGCCAGUACCGGUUGCACAACCGGUACUAGAGGGGGGUUUCUAAUCGGUAAAAGAGGCACUUUUUCUAGUAGUGACUAUAGUUCAUACUCAAAGUUCGCACGCCAAAGAUAAAUCUACUUUUAGGACCCCCUAACACCCAAGCACCCGAGGGAACGUCCUGCUACUAAAGAAUCCUUCUCCUGAAGUUCCAGCCAUAUUUGUUGAAGAACUCAAAGGUAGUGACUUCAAGCCUAUUGUAGUUCUUCUUCAGAUCAAUUUUCUCUUCCUCCUUAGAUAGCACCGCCCAUGCUCUUGUCCAAUAAGUCCCUCUAAAAAUUACCUGCAAAAAGGAAUUAGUGGUUGUGCCUUUAAAUAGUAAAUCAUUUCUAUUCAACCAUAUAGCCCAGCAAAGUGCAAUAGCUCCUACAAUCAUCUGGCUUCUAACCUUCCGAGGAUACCCUCUAGUCCAAGAACCCAGCAUAUUAGGAACACUAACAGGCGAUUGAAUUCCAAACGAAAAGAACAUUGUACUCCAAAUAAAUCUAGCUAAAUGGCAAUCAAAGAAGAGGUGUUGCACUGUCUCUUUUGAAUUGCAAAAGCAACGCUUGGUACUUCCUUGCCAUCUCCUCUUAGCAAGGUUGUCCUUUGUUAGAAUCACACCUAUUUUCAAAUACCAUAACAAGAUUUUGAUCUUUAAUGGUGAUUUUAACUUCCAAGCUACACACAAGGAUGGUAUUCCUUCAGCUUGCAUUAUCUCUUUGUACAUUGACUUCACUGUGAUGUCUUUGUUUUUAUUCAGAUUCCAAAUAAAUUCAUCUUCCUAUACCUCCAUACCAUGUGCUACUAUCUCAGCCACUAACUUAGCCAUUCAUUUAAUUUGUGUCAUGUAAGUGCUCUUCUGAAAAAAAAUAUUUAGAAGGACAGAUCCACAAACUUUGACCACAGUGUCAUCUUUCCUUCUAACUAUAUUAUACAAAGAUGUAUAUCUUUCCCUCAAGGUUUUCUUUCCAAUCCAUACAUCUUCCCAUAACCUAGUUUUCUUCCCAUUGUGUACCUCAAACUUACCAAUUGACAAUAAUUAGUCCUUUAUUUCCAUGAGGCUCGCCCAAAAGUGUGAAUCACCUCUUUCUUCAUCACUUGGGAUAGAGUCUUAUUAACUAAAUAAAUAUUUUCUUCUGAGUAACUUUUUCCAUACUCCUUCCUCGUUUAGAUGUUUAAAUAACCACUUGUUUAGCAAGCAUCUAUUUAGAACUUCCAGAUUGGAAAUACCCAAGCAUCCUACAUUCUUUGGUGCACAAAGAAUACUCCACUUGGCCAGUCUAUAUUUCUUUUUGUGUUCAUCACAUUGCCAAAAGAAUCUAGACCUAUAAUAAUCCAAUCUUUUAAGAACACCUUCAGUACUAACCUUGGUAAGCUAGAGAGGACAUUGGUAAGCUAGAGAGGACCCUUAGAAGCUAUUCCUAGAGUUUCAUUCAAAUUCAUUGGCUACAUUGUUGGGAUUCGUGAUUUAAGGUUGGAUUGCCUGGACCAGUCUGACCGGUCAGGUAGACUGGUCUGACCGGUCUGCACAAUCAAACCCUAAAUCAUGUCUUUUUGUUGUAUGAUCAAUGUAUCUACAUAGGAAUACCUCAUGAACAAAAAUUUCCACAUCUUAAGUGAUCUAGCUACUAUGUUUGGUCUCCAGAACCAUUGGUUCUACUCUGGGCCCAACUGGUCUAACCAGUUGCUCAUAUCGGUAUGACAGGUCUAGUUCAGAGUUGCCCCAAUUGUUUUGAUUCCUGGUUGUUCAGCACCGUAGUGGCAAGGGGCCAGCUGAUAGUGAUGAGAGAAGCAGUGAUGGUGAUCCCAAUGGUGGAAAUGGUAAUGGUGAUGAUAAUAAUGAUGAUGAUGAUGGAGAUGAUGGUGAUAAUGGUGAUGAGAAUGUGGGUGACAUAGCUAUGCCCACCAUUCGUAGGCCAACCUAACCCAUUCAUAGAGGACCUACAAAUUAUUUUGGGUAUGGGAUGACUGAGAUGGCAAAAACGCUAAGAAGAUAGGAUACAUACAAUGUGCCUAAGACUGCUCAAGAAUAUAGAUUUUGGAAUUCUUUCCGGCAGGACUUCUAUACCACAGUCAUUCUAAAGAAUUCCAAAAUCACUCAUGAGGCACAGUGGGUAGAUUGGGAUUACAUGAGGAAGAAAAAUGAUCCCAUCUUCAAUGAAGUCAUGGAGGCUUGUGCUAGCAAAAGGAUAAAAACAUCUCAUGGGCUUCAAGCAUAACUGGAAUAGGAAGAUCAUUGCCCAGUUCUAUGCCACUAUUUAUUUUGGACAUAUUGCAAAUGAGAGGGCGAUGUUUUGGAUGACAGAGGGUGAAAAGCAUCAUAUCACUUAUUCCGCCUUCACAUCAUUGUUCAGAAUCAAAGAUGAUGACACUCUUCCUAAGCUUCAUGAUGAAGGUGUUCUUGAGAAUUCAAAAAUGCAUUUCAUGUAUCCCAAGAAUAGGACAGGAGAUUGGGGGAAGGUCAAGAGCCUUUACACCAACUAUGCCAUUUUUAACCAGCUAUUAAGGAAGACCCUCACUCCUAGAGAUGGGAAUCCCUCACAUGUAACUCUCUUUUAGAGGAACUUGAUGGCAGUGUUGAAACUAGGGGAACCUCAAUUUGAUGUGGGUGACUUCAUUUGGCUAGAAAUCAAGAAUUUAAUAGAAAAUCCUUAAAAGAUUUGUAGCUACAGUCCCUACAUCAUUUACAUGAUUGAGAAGGUGACCAAGAGCAAGUUUCCUAGUGAUGUAAAGCACAAGCCUUUGAGACCUCCAGUGAGCAAGACUCCUACGAUCCCAUCUCCACCACCAGAAGAACCUAAACUGCAAGAACAAGGGGGCAGAAAGGCAUGAGCAAUAGCAAUUUCAGCAGCUAGCUGGUGCCCAGGCAAAGACCGCUUUGUGCCUGGGAAACGCAGCCACUUGUAGAGGUAGCAUGAGAAGCCCUCUUCUCCAAUGAAGAAGUUUAUAAACUUUCUGGUUGGCAUGUGCAAAAGUCAGAGAGACAUUGAGGUUGAACAACGGCGACGAUGGACGGCUAGUAAAAAAGAGAGAGAUUUGAUUAAGAUGAUGCAUAAUCACAUGAAUCUUCAGCCUCCUCACUCUCCCAUUUCUCCUUCACCUCUAGAAGUUGAAAUCCCAUCAGUUGUGGCUAGAAUUGGAGAAUACAUGGCACCUGGCUACUUUGACCAAUAUGGCAAUAUGUUUUAUCCAGAUAUGGGAGGCUCAACCUCAACUCCUCCACCUUUUAAGCCACCUCCAACCGGAGGAUUUGAUGCUUUUGUCUCAGAUCUUGGUCCCGGCAUUCAUGGUGGUGCAUAUCCCUUCUAUCCAGGAUCCGCUUUUAUGCCUUUCACAGGAUCUUCUUCUUUGGCAGCGGCUACUGGCACCAUUCCAGGUCAUCCUCAUGCAGCAGUACCUCUAUCUCCUACAGACACAACCGAGUUUGAUGCAUAGGCUAUCUUUGGUCCUCCUCCUCCUCCAUCUACUCAGGGUAUGUCUGACAUCACUCUUGCCCCUCUCGAAGAUAUCAUAGUGUCAGAUUCUAUAUAUCUUAUGUCUCCUAUGCCUUGGUUGGAUUAAGGACUUCAUUGGCCUGAGGACUCACCAAAGGAUAGUAGAAGUGGAUACGGAGAUCAGUGACUUCAGUUGCACCUUCUCGAGGCCCUUUUAUGGAUGAUUGAUGACAAAGGUUGAGAAGAAAUGGUUUAAAACUUCAUCUUCAGGAUUUAGUGUAGCUGAGCAGUUGUGACCGAUAUGACCGUUGGCCAUUACUAGCCAUUACAACCAGGACUAAAGAUCCCCUUUAGUCCCGAUUGUUAUUACCAACUAGGACUAAAGCUCCCGUCUCGGUGGUCGUUGGUGGUGGCUGUUUGACUUGGGACUAAAGGUCAAGGUGUGACAGCCUUAGUAAUUAAGCAGCUAAAUUAGGAAAUCAUCGAAGUGAUUAAGAAACUAAAUCAAAGAAUCAAAAAAGGGAUUAAGGAAUAAGUUAGAGCUAACUCUAAGUUGCUGAGAGUUAAGAACCCAAAAACACCUUAGAUUUUGGCUAGAUGUUAAAAAUUUCUCCUAUUGAGAAUAACUUGUGAGGCCGAUAGAAACCAACUUCAUAUAAAAACUUAAACUUUGAACAAUAUAAAGAUAGUAGAUCUUUUCAAAGUGAACAACCUUCAUAAUUAGCACCUUUCUUCAUCUUGAGCAAAGGGUGUUCCCAAAAUCAAGUGGAAGUUCAGUCAAAUUUCAAAUCUGAUUCAAAAAUAGCUUUGACCGACUUCCACCAAGGACCCUACCAUCCUAUCUCCAACUUCAUCGAGCUUCUCCUUGUUGAAAUUUAUAAAAUUCAUAGUGCAUACCUUGUUUCCUUUUGAAAUUUAAACCGUGUAGUUCGAACUUGGUGUGAGAAUACGCGUUAAACCCGAUACCGUCACCACGAUGCGCAUCACGAGCAUCAUCAUGCAUAUUUAAGCAUCAUGAAUAUCUAUUUGUGCAUAGUCUACCAUCAUGAGCAUCAUUUGUGCAUAGAUGAACAUUUUAACCACACAUUAAUAAGUGCCCAGAAUUUUAUUAUUUAUUGGUGAAAAAUCAAAUUUGUGAAGGAACCCCAAUUUAUUCCAUACCACUAUGCCCCAAAAUAUUUUAUUCAAAUACUAGACACCAUUUAGUGAUUUUAAAAUAUUUUUACUAAAUUUUUCAAAGACGUUUGAUUGGGUUAAAAAUUCAUUUAAAAUUCAAUUAUAGCUAUUUUGUUUUGAUGAUUGUGUGCAAACUAUAAAAUAUUUUGGAUUGAUUCUUGUGGCAUUGGAUUAUUGGUGAUUUGUUCUUUCCAACGAGUAUUUUUGAAGAAUUUUUGAACACAGUUAGCUAGGUUGUUUAAGGGGACAAAGUUGGCAUGAUGUUUUUCUUAGCCGGGCCCACACGUCAGCACCUUCUUCCAUCUCCCUCUGCCUGGGCGCCAGAUGCACACACAGCCCCAAGAUCGCCGGUUGGCCACCCCCUAGCCCCUGCAGGGCUCCUCCUCCGCCCAUAGGCCACCCAAACUCCUCCCACGUGCCCUUCCCCUCUCUCCCACGCCUCCUAUCGCCCCUGGUUGGGUAGCCCCUCCAUUGAACACGCAUGGCUGCCACCAGGCACAGCACCUCUGGCAACGCCCUCCCCUCCAAUCCUCGCGCCCGGUGCUGUGUCACCUCGUCCGUGCUUAUCCUCGACUCGCCCCGCCUAUAAAACCCAAGCCCCUGCCUCCCCCGGACCGCACCACCCCCAAUCCUCCAUGGAGAGUACACCGAGCUUCAAAAAUCCCCAUCCUUUGCGGACCAAAUUCGUCGUCGUUAUUGAGUCUCAGCUCGAUUCCUCACAGCCACACGAUCCCCUCGACAUCAUGCUUCCGUUUUGCUACCUCCCGGCCGUUCUCCCUCGCCGGAGAGCCCUCUCCACGGGAGCCCGCGUCUGCCCCUUCCUGUUGCCCGGGAGCUUCCUGCGCCGCCCCAUCUUCCUCGUCGCCACGCCGCUGGUGAGCACCUACUCGGCCCCGUGCGCGCCCCUCUUCUUCCCCAAGCCGCCCAUUCCUUUCCCCGCCGAUGGCCCCCAAGUGCAUGGGCAUGCCGUAGAUCCAGGAGCUAGAUUGCAAGAUUGUCUCGAUUUUCUUUAUUUUCUAGAUCUAAAAAGGCUAAAACUUUGGAAAUUCAUAGUAAAUUGUAGAAACAUCACAAAAUAGCAAAUGAAGAUGUUUUGGAAUCCUUGUGAGUAGGACUAUGCAGUAGUUGUAUAAUAUGAUACAUUUUAGUAGAAAAUGUUUGCGGUAGAUUUAUAUCUAUGCUUUUUAGGGUUAAACUCAUAUCUGUAGUUAUGUUGCUCCGUUUGCUGUGAAAUUGUUAUGGUAGGUUAUACAUGAUGCUCUUGUACUGUGGUAAAACUUUCAUAUCUAUUGGUGCAUGUAUGACUGAGUUAUUAAUUUAACUUGUUUAAUGCUUGUUAGGUGAUUUAUAAAUAUUAGGAGUGUUUAAAAAUAGAAAAUAUGGUUCAACUACCUUUAUAUGAUGUUUUUAUAUAAUAAUAACACAUAAUAUGGCUAUGUGUUUAUAGAAAAUGAUGAUCUUUAAAAAUUAUCUUGCUUUUACAUGUUUUCUUGCAUUUGUAAUUUGUCUUUUUCAUAGCAAUUAAAUUAUAAAACCUGGGCAUGUGAAAAUUUUACAGUAACCAUGUUUUGAUAGCAUAUACCACUCAUAAAAAUUUCAGCCCCAAACUAGUUGUUCUCAUAUGGCACUAAAAAUAAUAUAUGUACAUGUCAUUCAAUGGGAGUUAAUAACAAAUAGACAUAUUUCUAAGCCAUGAGAUGCCACUUCAAUUAUACCAACUUUGUGAAAUGUAGUUGAGCUAUAUGAAUGUUUGUUUGAGCCUUUGAAUGAUUUAUGUAUGAAAUCUCGGUUGGGAGAAACACGUGAAAACCAAUAAUAUGCUUGCUAUCCCUCUAUAAUAGGUUGUGUGAUGUAUAGUUAAAUAACUCUAGGUGCCUAUGUAUUGCAUGAUCUUAUGUUUGCCUUGAAUGUUUUUACGUGAUGCAUCUUAUGUGACCAUUCUUCGUAUUCAUAUACUUGCAUCUUGCAUCUCAUCUAGAUACGCUAGAUAAACCACGUGAAGGACAUGAUGAUGGAACCAAACCCAAAGACGGUGUAUGGUGGAACUAUCCCGAAGAUGGAAGGACUAAGAAAGUGCCAAGAUGGGAGAUGCUCGCCAAGCGAGUGUCGUCUAACAAACACUAACCUAGUGUUGGAUUCCAGGCAAGUCCCGGAGCAUAAAUUCCUAUGUUUAAAUACUUGCAAUAUUUUGGUUGUUUUGAUUGUGCAUUUACGUUUCUAGGAAUUGAUUGAAACUGUAGAUGCAUGAAUAUAGUGCCCCUUGAUCUGAACACUAGUAUAAGAAUGUCGAGUAGUUGCAAUGCUUAAUAAGACUCGGUAAAAGUCGAGUGAUUUCCUGUCACUCGCGAGUUGUAGGAGUUGAAUGAUUUUCAUUUGGUUGCAACUAUAAGGACGAUGGACGGGGUCGGGAUUAUGUUGGUACUCGGUGGUUUGCCCCGUCUAUCUACCGGAAAUUGGCUAAGGUCGAAAAGUGGUGGUGUUCGUGAUCAAGUGUUUGAAAGUACUAAUCUCAUACCUAGUAUGGGAUGGGGAAGCUUAGUACCUGAUUGAACUAGGACGUGGCUUAUACCCCUGCUGUCCUUGGAACGUCGUUCCCAUAGUGCAUCGUGUGGGUGCAAUGGCGGUCACAGUACGGCAGAGAUCGGGACUGUGGAGCAUUGCACACCAAAGGCAGUUUGGACCUGACACAUACUUAGGGAUCGAUGGGGACGACUGACAAGUGAAGUGACCCUUCGUGGUGCGCGGAUGUCGUGGGAUUAGGUUUGCCAUGCAUGGUUAAUAAAUUCGAAUCGAUUCAUCUGCCUCUCACAGUUUGAGACUGCUUGAUCGCUAUGCUGCACUGAGUAAUAAGUGGAACAGUAUGAUGAUAAUCUUGAUGCUUGUACUUAAAUUGUAUUGAUCACUAUGCGUGAUUAGAAUAGUUAAUCAACUAUAAUGGUUAAUCAACUAGAACCUGAUGCUAAAACUUGAAAGUAAGGACCUACUUUAGAUGCUUUUGGCAAAACAAACCCCUCAGCCAAAAAGCCUUGCAUGUCUAGGAGUCGGUGGAUUAGUUACCACCUGACGGGUAAGCCUUGUUGAGUAUUAGUAUACUCAACCUUGCUUGUGGCUAUCUUUUUCAGGUGUAGUUGCCGGUGUUGACUUGUUUGGGAACCGUCCUCGGUUGGCGAGGAUGGUGAUUGUUGAUGUCAUGAUCGGCUUCGUCAUGAUGUCGUGUAUCGACGUUUAGCUUCCACUCGCCUUUUAUCUUUCGUUGUUGAACCCUUGCAAGCUUUGUUUGGAUUUUCAAAACUUUGAUGUAAUAAUUGUUGAACUAUGUUUAAUGUGAUGGGAAUGUUGUAAUCUCUGUGUAACUACUCACCUUCGUGUGAGCUCGCUUUCCUGAUCCUGUGUAAGUGGUUUAUCGGAUGAAAUCUGACAGAUGACCAAGUUGACUUGUUUAAGAUGCAUGAUCGCGUGUUAGGCGACUUAAUUGCAUUUUAGCCGAGUUAACUUGGACGGUUCCGCCACACAAAGCCCUUUAGUCCUGGGUCCAAAAACGAUCGGAACUAAAAGUGCUGGAUGGAAGGUCGAUUCUCUACUUAGUGCAAGAGCCUCACUUCCGGACAUGCGUCCCUAUGAUCCUUUAUAUACUCCAAAUGUCUUAUUGGCUUGCUAGACAGACUCAUACUUGCCAUGGCGAUGUGUAUCCCUCCUCUCAAAGGAUGGAGCAGCAAGCACCUUGUAGUUGCGGCCAUGAUAGGAACCCUGGUCGUGGUCGCCAUCGCCGCAGUCAUCAUCGUCGACCUCACUCCGCCUCAAGUCUUCUUCUCCAUCGAAGAUGCAAGCCUCCAAUUCUACAACUUCACUCUCUCUGCCAACAACACCAGCCGGCGCAUGGAGGUGCAUUAUACCACCCUCAACACUGAGAUAUGGAUAACCCCGUCUGAUUGGUAUUCAGCCGAGUUGAGCAUGAGCGGGUUCACGCAGCAGCCACCGGACAACGUGACCAAGUUCGCCGGGUGGGCCGAGUCGUAUCAGCUGGAUAGCAUGAUGGCGUCGGCGCAGGGCAGCGGCGCGGGGAAUUGGCCAAACUGCACCGUGGUGGUGAUAGCCAAGGUGUUGUUCAAGGUCGGGCUGGCACGCACACGGCCGUACCACAUCAGGGUGUCCUGCUUCCCCGUCAACUUCCGCGAUAAGACUCGGUACGCCAAUUGUACCUACUGAUCUCUCCAGUUUAGGAAGGGGAGAAGAGCCGAGGCUUUCUAGGGAGGUUGCCGGAGGAGGAGCUGAGGAAGGAUGGGGCGCGGCAAGAUCGAAAUCAAGCGGAUCGAGAACUCUACCAACCGCCAAGUGACCUUCUCCAAGCGCCGCAACGGGAUCCUCAAGAAGGCGCGGGAGAUCAGCGUGCUCUGCGAUGCCAAGGUCGGCAUCGUCAUCUUCUUCGCGAUUUGCUGGGCGCUCGAUCUGCCCCGCCCUCCGCCCUCCGCCCUCCCAGCCUUGCGUCGCCCCUGUCACCCCUCCCCCGUGAACUUCCUCAAUACGACUCGGUACGCCUCCCAAGCAAGUAGCUGAAGCAAACAGGCUGAAAGAAAGGCUUACCUUAAAUUCUGUCAGUCUCUGUAUGGCUGUUGUCUGGAGGGCUCCAGUACACCUUAGAUCUGCUGUUGUUGGUGUUGUUAAUGGACUCCUGAUAUCUGCUUCCGUUCAUGUUCCAGUUCCAUUUGGUCUCGAAAUUAAAGAUAUAUUCUUCAUCAUAUCGGUAAUGUCGCGCGGUUCUUGGUUUCAAGUACUGCCUGCAUUUGUUUUUUCUUUUCCUUGUCAUUUGGUCCGUCAGAACUAAGUUUGUUGAAUUCCUUCUGAGUAAGCUUGAGACGCUGGUCGUGCUUGUUUGUUGGUGUGCCUACGUGCCGCAUAGUUUGUCGUAGCAAAUACUUCCGGUUCCAUAUCGCCUGUGUACUACUGGACCGGGAUGUUCUUCAAUCUGUUAUGACCCUGUAUUCUGUUUUUAUAUAGAUCCCAUGUAUGUAUUCUGAAUGCACAGCCCCUGCUGGGAAAUUGGUUUCCCUACUGCGUGUCUGUGUUUACAUGCAUCUUCUAACUGUGGUUCCAAUGGCCCGUCUAGGCCCAUACAGGCCUAUCAGGUGGACGGGCCGGCCGGCCUCCUGGAUCAAAAAGGCCGGUACCCAUCCCUUCUUGGCCCGCCCGCUCCCGCUGUAGAAACAAAACCAGAGCCAGCAGAUCCCCCGGGCCCUGAAGAGAAAGAAGACGACAACAGAAGAAAGAGCUCGCAACGAAGCCGGCGGAAGCCCCCAAACCCUCCCCACCCCAGGCAGCAGCGGCGCGAUGAGAUGGUCGACGACCCACCGCCGGCGGCGGGAACACCGUCGAGGACAUCGUCCGCGCGGAGGUGAGCAUCCCCGGGCAGCCCUCGUCCUCUUUGCUAUGAGUGCCGGGGAAUCCGAUCUCCGCCCGCGCCGACCUGGCUCUGCUCGGCUGCCCCGAUCUGCCCGCGCGGGUGGCGGCGCCUCGCCCCUAGUUCGGUUUCAGGUUAGAGGUGUCCCAGCGUGGUGUCUGGGCAAGGGGAAUCCAGCAACGAGGCGUUCUCCCUCCCAUCGACUCGGUUGGCGCGGACGGACGCGGUGGGUCUGGUUGGGGAAUUUGUGCCCGUUUCGAUUUGGGUGUAGAAUAGGUAAAUAUCUUCAAAAUUGAUAGAAUUAGGCCCGUUUAUAUCGGGAGCUCCCUCCCUGCUACUUGGGCCAUGACGCUUUGGAUCGCCCACAAAAAUUCACAAACGCAGGCAGGGCCGAUCAUCCCGGAUAAAUCCAUAAUGGUUUUUACCGGUUACCGACCCCGGCGGAUUCGAUUUUUACCGAAAACCGGUCGGUAACCGGUAAAAACGGGACGAAUUCAAAAAACGAAUUGCCAGCACAACUGGUAAAAACCGCAUAGUAAAGGGGGCAUUCCAGCGGCCUGCAAGGCGGUUUCCCAGCUGGCCCGUUGUUAUUCCCCACCAAGCUUUAGCAUCUUUCCUUUGUGAUUGUGCGCUGGUGGGCCCGGCGCCGGGGUGAGAGAAGACACGGCACCUAAUACUUUCCUCACCUUUGCAGUGCCGUGGGCCCGCCACUUCCAUUCUGGCCCACAAGUGAUGGAGGCGCGCGAGGAGGGGUAUCGGUUUCACGAUGAUUAAUAAAGAAAGGCCCAAGACACGUCACGCUGUGGGGGAAAGGGAAGACACCGCACCGCACGCACCUCCACCACUUGCGUUGCCUUUGCCUUUGCUUUUCCCCGAGCUCGCCCGCCUAGGAGCUCCAGCAGCCGGUCCGCUCCGCCGCCGGUGCGGCAACCACGCCGCCGUCAGACCGCCUCGCGCGGCCACCGGUCGUCCCCGCGAUACACCGCCGCCGGUGCGCCGUGCGCGGCGGCGCUGUCCCGCCGCUCCUCCGCCUACCGUCCGCCUGCGCCACCACCAGCGCACCGGCAGCACCGCGAGCUGCUGCGCCACCCCGACGUUGGUCCUUCCUGAGCCCGGUGUCGUCACCAGCGUCGCGGAGAAGCUAAUUACCUGAAGCAAUUUGUAGAAACAAAUAGUACUGGUUCGUUCACUUAUUUCUUUGCUCAAACUUAAUUUCUGCUUAGAGUUUGUGCCUAAAUUAGCUGCUUAUUCUGCUGGUUGCAUGCAGGAGAUCGAGCUGCGGGCGUACGGCCGGAUCGGAGGAGGACAUAUCAGCCGGGUUCCUGUUGGUUGUGUACUUGUGUUCCUGCCGGCGGAGAAGCAACCAUGGCCGAGUUAGUGAUCGGGCCACUGAUCUCCAUGGUGAAGGAGAAGGCAUCCAGCUACCUGCUGGACCAAUACAAGAUGAUGGAAGGCAUGGAGGAGCAGCGCAAGACCCUGGAGCGCAAGCUGCCAGCAAUCCUGCACAUCAUCCAGGAUGCGGAGGAGAAAGGAGCCUCCCGACCUGAAGUAGCAGCUUGGCUCAAAGACCUCAAGACAGCGGCCUAUGAGGCCAACGACGUCUUUGAUGAGUUCAAGUAUGAGGCGCUUCGGCGAGAAGCCAAGAAGAAGGGCCACCACAGCAAGCUUGGAGCAGAGGUAGCAAGACCAUCGAGGCGCUUCAGCGAGGCGCUUCGGCGAGGCGCUCGUAAUCCCAUUGUAUUCCGUUACAGGAUGGGCAAGAAGCUACGCAAGAUUGUGCAGACCAUCGAGGCCCUAGUCACCGAGAUGAAUACAUUUGGUUUCAGACACUUGCAGCAAGCACAGCCAUCAAGGCAGUGGCGACAGACAGAUUCCAUAAUCAUUGACUCCGACAGAGAUAUUCUUAGCAGAUCUAGAGAUCGGGAGAAGAAGAAAAUCGUGGGGAUGCUCCUUGAUCAAGCUAGCAACAUGGAUCUCAUGGUUCUUCCAAUUGUUGGGAUGGGUGGGAUGGGCAAGACCACCUUCGUGCAACUCAUUUACAAUGACCCUGCAAUCGAGAAGCACUUUGAGCUUCGGAGGUGGUGCUGUGUGUCAGAUGAUUUCGAUGUCAGUACCAUUGCAAUUAACAUCUGCCAGACCAAUGAGAAAUGUCGUGAAAAAUCAUUGCAGGAGCUCCAGAGUAUAAUAAGUGGAAAACUGCCAGACCUCAUUGUGUUAGAUGAUGUAUGGAAUCGGGAUGCUGAUAAGUGGGGAAAACUAAAGAGUUGCCUUAAGCAGGGUGGCAAGGGCAGUGCAGUACUAACAACAACUCGUGAUGCACAAGUGGCUCACAUUAUGACCAUGGGUGUAGCUGAAGCCCAUAAUAUGGAGAAUCUGAGUGACGAGCAUUUAAAGGAAAUUGUCCAAAGCAGAGCAUUCUGCUUGCAAAAUCCAAAUAUUGAAGAGCAAGAUGGCAUUCUCAGUGGAUUUGUUCGUCGAUGCGUUGGAUCUCCCUUGGCUGCCAAAGCCUUUGGCUCUAUGUUGAGUAACAGGACUAGUAUAAAUGAAUGGAAGAAUAUAUUAGCUAAAAGUAACAUUUGUAGUGAGAAAACCGGAAUUUAUUUGUUCCUCAAGCUCAGUUUUGAUGACCUAUCCUCAGAUAUGAAGCAGUGCUUUGCAUUCUGUGCUUUAUUUCCUAAAGAUUAUGAGAUCGAUGUGGACCUCUUGAUUCAACUGUGGAUGGCACAUGACUUCAUAACUGUGCAGGAGGAUGACAAUCCAGAAACCGUAGGAAAAUAUAUUUUCGAGGAGCUAACUCGGAGGUCAUUCUUUCAAGAUGUCAGGCAAACACUUCCAAUUGGCAAUUUUGGAAGGUUGUCGCUUCGUAAGUCAACCAUAUGCAAGAUACAUGAUCUUAUGCAUGACAUUGCUGAAGGACUGAAAGGGCGACCAGAGGGGGGGUGAAUGGGAGCCUAUAAAAAUUCUUUACGAGAACAAGGCCUAUGUCCCAACCGCAACCCCAAAGUACAUUGCGCGUUGUAUCGUCAAGAUGACGCAAGUCAACUCGUGACAAGCUCACCCUAGUACCUAUAAAACAACACUCAAAUCACAGCGGAAACAUAGCAUGAAUCGACUCCAUCAAGUUUGCAUAUAUGAGACAAAGCAAAGAUACUACUAACCAUUUACUAAAUUAGGCAUGGAAAGAUUAGCAAUAAACUAGGCAUGAUUAGUAAAAAAACUAAACAAGAUGUCAAAGAUUAAUUAGCAACGUGCAAGAACUUAAUCAGUAACCCACUAACAUGAUUAGUAAGUGACAGUUCUAAUUAAGAAGCUAAACAAAAGAAUAGAGACUAACGAGCCAAGUUCCAAGAAUUAACCGUUCGCUACUUUCCUGUCAGCCUGCUGGCUUGCAACCUGCGCCAGGCCCGAUGGCCUCCCUCGCUUUGCUCCUGUUGGGUCGGUUGGCCUGCCGCAGCUAGCUGGGCCUCUAGUGCUGCUGCCUGGGCCGUCAGGCUUGUCUGGCCCGCGAGGCAAGCAGCUGUCCUCCCACUCGGCCUGCUGCCCAAACAGGCCUGGCCCGUGCACUGCUCCCCUCCUGGACCGUGUGCGUAGCUGGGCUGCGAGCUGGACUGCUCCCUGCAGCUGAUGCUGGCUUCGGUCUGGCUCGCGUGCACGUCCCGUGCCUCCUCCACGCAACGACCUGCGAACAAACAGAGCAAGAACACCAAGAACAACCAGAGAACAGGGAAGAACACGUUCAACUUCAAAUUCGAAAUCCUCCGUCAAAUCUCCAUGAAUUGCGACGAAACUUGAGACAAGGAUGCAAUACCCCUAAGGAAAAUAGAUCUAUGAAACAAAUCUUGAAAAACUCAGGUAUACAUCACUAAUCUUGGAGAAAACCGAAAGCCUAACUCAAAAACACGAUUCGGAGAAAUUCGAAAUCCAAGCCGGAUCCAUGAGAGAUUUAGAAGGGGAACGAAUCAAAGAUGCUCCCUAAGGUCCUAGCAUCAUUUCCUUUCAACCAAGUCCACGAGAUUCGGCUCAAACACGAAGAACGAAAAUUCCCUAAAAAUAGCUUCGAAAAUAGGGAAAAAGAAAAACGCUCGGGAAUCAAAAAUUUAGCACGAUUCGAGACAACAAACAAAGCUAAAUCACGAGAACAUCUUCUAUACAAGAUGAGAACUAGCCUCCUCCCUUCAUCCACCCACUAAAGAUGAAGAAAUCGAGAGAAAAGAGUAAUCACUCCCUAAUCCCCCUCUCUCCUCUCACUUUAAGCACAUGACUAGC
Molecule: long non-coding RNA, 96516 nt
Filed under: Setaria viridis
Lineage: Eukaryota; Viridiplantae; Streptophyta; Magnoliopsida; Poales; Poaceae
Description: long non-coding RNA (SVIR_LNC010006)
Source: RNAcentral